This 167369-nucleotide long non-coding RNA is filed under the name Triticum aestivum (bread wheat). RNAcentral's name for it is "long non-coding RNA (TAES_LNC028382)". The record is from RNAcentral. Lineage: Eukaryota; Viridiplantae; Streptophyta; Magnoliopsida; Poales; Poaceae.
UUAUUUGUAUUUUAUUUCAGAAUUUAAACAACUAGUUUGGGCGGGUCACACACGACGUUGUGUGACACUUUAUUUGUCACCGCUGCAUCGACAUAUCCAUCGACUAAACAACGGUGAUCCAACUAUAUAUUACUAGAGACCUUUCCUUAUCAGUAGGCACCAACUCCGGUGCCAACGCUGAAUGGCACACUAGUGGUGGUUCUAUACAAGGGCACAUUGACACGGCACAUCGUUGGCAGGGUACGGAGCGCAAUGGAAGUCAUCACCUCAAGCUGAGCUAUCUGGUGUGGAUGCAAAAAGGUACCCUGUGCCAAUUGUUGUUGUUGAGGUUGUUGCCCGAGUUGCUGCUGCGACUGCUGUUGGGGUUGGGAAACGCAUUGGCCCAACUAUUGCGGUUGCUGCUGCUGAGUUUGGAUGGAACCCUGAACCUGUUGUUGUUCUUGCAGGACGAUGGAGUAGAUGAUAGCACGGAUUGCCUCAUAGCGGGAUUGCUGGGGGAUUUGCGGCAACUGCUGGCAACAUUGUUGUUGCAUCACAUGGCAACUGCUCUGCUGCAACAUUUGCGACCUAGCAAGACUUUGUGGCAUUGCCACAGGGCUGCAUUGCUGCUGGAGGAAUACCUUGCAUGGGUUUAGUUGCUGCAAGAUAGAUGGAUGAACAAAUGGUAUUUGUUGUUGCGGUAGAACUGAUUGUUGUUGUUGCGAAAAUGGUGGUUGUUGCGGUAGUACUGGUUGUUGUUGUUGCGAAAAUGGUGGUUGUUGCUGUGAAAAUGGUGGUAGUUGUUGCUGCGAAAAUGAUGGUUGUUGCGGUAGAACUGGUUGUUGUUGCUGCAAAAAUGGUGGUUGUUGCUAUGAAAAUGGUGGUUGUUGCGAUAGAACUGGUUGUUGUUGCUGUGAAAAUGGUGGUUGUUGCUGUGAAAAUGGUGGUUGUUGUUGCUGUGAAUAUGGUGGUUGUUGUUGCUGCGAAAAUGGUGGUUGUUGUUGCUGCGAUAAUGGUGGUUGUUGUUGUUGCUGUGAACAUGGUUGCUGUUGUGGAAAUGGUUGUGGUUGUUGUUGGAUAGGUUGUUCUUGUUGUUGGUGCCAUAAUGUUUGUUGUGGUGGUAAUGGUUGUUGCUGCGAUGGUCUCUCCAAACCAGGGAUGUGGCUAUUCUCCAUUUGUGCAAUGGCACUUGUCGCCGCAACGGCGAGGAGGGCAAAGAUGAGGAAGGUCUUCAUGGUGGAUUGGUGUUAACUAGUGUUGCUUGGUUUUGAUGCUUGUGCUUGUGACGAUCUUUAUACUUCAUGCCUAUUUAUAGUAGCCCGGGCACCACCUUUUUCUUCUUUGCAUUAGCUUUAAUAAUUUUGUUUGGAUGCAAAAAUGAUUUUUGGUACAAUGUGUUAGGUUGCACUAGCUACACGCGUACUUUUGGAUUGAUCAUCAAAGUUGCUUUUUAGUUGUGCAUAUGAUCACACAUAAAGUACAGAAACCUUGAUGUUUGGUAUAUAUGACUCACCUUAUUCACUUUACAUGUCACACACUUAUCUGGAUAGUAUCACUUUUGCAACCGAGUUUGGAACCUUGUAUAGGCUGUCAUCCAUAAACAAGAAAGGCAAAACUUGUGUAGGACUAAGUGUAGAACUAACUUUGUAUUUUUCCUCUAAAAUGAUUAGAUGAACCGACGCCUAUAGAGCAUGACAUGACUCAUCGAAUUCCCUUUACAUGUAAAGGAUGGUAAUUGCUUACAAGCUACUCCUACUAGCAUAUAUCCGGUCCUAACUCUUGACACGUCAUCAUCAGUUUCGCCUAUUUUUUUAGAUAAAUCAUCAGUUUCAUCUAUUUGUGAAGGGUUUUUUUGGGGGAAAUGAUAGUUUUUUUAUGCUAGGGGGAUUUUUUUGGGGGGGGGGGAUGACGCUAGGGGGAAAUGAUAGAUGGGGCUGGAACAGAGGCCCCCAGCCUGGAGCGAGAGAUUAGGCCCAACAUAAGUGCCGUGUGUUAGGGCACCAAUUCGAUUUGGGCUAUAGUUCUCGUAGGCCCCAACGACACAAGCCCAGCCCACACUCCGCGGAUCUGCGUCCCUCCCUUCCUCGUCCUCCUCGCCGGCCGGACCGCUCGCCGUCGCAGCCUCUCCCGGACGCCCACCGCUCGCGGCCCCUCCACGUACCUCCGCGGCAGCGGAGACGUCAGCCUCCCUCCCACCCUCAACAUCCGGCCCCCCACCACCACCACCACCGCUCGACAAAAAAGGUCACUUUUGAAGCUCCUCCGUCGAUUGUGGGCCGUACGUCGACGGCAGCCACUCCGACCUCCCCAUCAACACAAGGUAUCGAUUUGUUUCGUCUGUCUCUUCCAACGAUUCAAUGCACAUAAAUCCGAGAGGCAGACCCAUCUCCAUGCUAGCUGCACGGAUUAGGAGGGUCAGGCAUCAGAAUUCAGCUGGGAAGCCUGACAGUAAUGUACAUUUGUGGCUUUAGUAGCUGAAUAUAACUAUGUGCUUUCUGAGAAUUUCACUUCAAAAGUUCCAAUAAUCAUCAAAUUUCCCCCUAUGCGCGCUAAGCAGGUGGACCAUAUAUUUCUCAUGUCGACGAACGAAAAAACAAAACUCCACAACUAGAAGUCUAUGAUAUUGACACGGAACCGUGCUGUAGGGUCGCAAGUAAAAAUAUGAAAAGCAUGCCUAAUAAGCGAGAUGACGCAGUUCCUGACCGCCCCGCUACGACUAUUGGUUCCAGCGUGGCGUUUGAAUUAUGCCGCGCUAGAUGUCUUUUGUCCGGCGAGGAACAAGUGGGGUCAAGCGUGCUUCGGCAAUUCCCGCCGUCAGAAGACUUCCUUGUAGUCCGGUGUAGAGGUGAGGUUGUGGGGAGAUACAUCGACUAGCACUACUAGGGAAAAGGCUAGCAGCAGCGCGGGUUUUAGAUGUAUCAGUAGUGCGGGUACCCGCGCUACUAAUACGGCGCUACAGCUAACUCAUAGCAGUAACGCGUGAGCACCCGCGCUACUGCUACACAAGUGUAGCAGCAGCGCGGUUAUGAGAAGCUCGCUACCGCUAGUAGCGCUAGCGCUCUUUGGCCGGACGCUCUACUGCUAUUGAGGCGCUGCUGCUAACUUUUGUACACUCGCUACUGGUAAUUUAAGUAGUUUUUUGGCAUAUUUGUUUUGUAUUUGAACCGGCUUUGUAGAAGAAUCUUUAGCACAUAGAAAUGUCAUCAUGAUACACAUACAAAUGCCUGCGAGACCACAAAUGUAAUCAUAGCAUGUACAUACAAAUAGUCUCUUCAUAAUCAUCAUCCAACACAAAGUGAUAUCUUGUCAUCAUCUCGAAAAUAGCAAUACAUGCAAGUCUCGAAUACUUGCAACUACAACAACGUCAUCCAUCUAAACAAAGGUAUACGCAAGAAGUGCUAUCACUAUGAGUGAGAGCGGAACCAUGCAGUACAUGAGGUGGCGGUUAUGAGUCCUCUCUUGCGCUAGCGUGAACCUCAAGUAACUAGCUUCUCCUUCUUGUCUGCUUUUGAAGCCUUUAUGGCUGGCGCCCGUGAACCCAUUCACUUGCGCCUGACACUCAUGCCACUCGUUGUACACCCCCGGAACCUUCCCUUUGUACACGACAUAGCAUUUCCAUCUCGCCAUCAAGAAACUAGGUACCUGUUAGAGAUGCAUGUUCAUGAAGAGGAUGUACAAUCAUAUAUAUGCAACAAAAUAUACUAGAGCAACACUAAGAAAGAAAGGUUAGCAACUAGAUGCAACAUAUACAUUACGCAAAUUAAUUAACUAGAGGUACGCAGGUCAUCGUACGCAAACUAACAAAGUAGCGUUACGCAAGUUUGGCAGGGACCAUGGACAUCACAAAGUUUCAUCGCUACAAAAAGUAUACAAGUUCAACCGACACAUAUCAUCAUCAUCGGCAUCAUAAAUCACUAGAAGUUCCAUCCUUCCAUAUCAUCGAGGACGAACCCUAGCUGCUUGAACGGCGUGAGGUCUAGACGUUGCAUGCCUAUGCGAGUUCGGACGUCAGCUCGCGAUAUAGGGCCGUGGUGGAACAUCCCCUUCUCAUCGACGACUUCUUUCAUGAUGAUCAUCGCAAUGUCGCUUUGGAUGCGAAAGAAGUCAUCUCUAAGUUUAUAAUUCGCUUCUCCAUGAGAUUCUAGCCACUUGUGGAUAUGAUCAUCAUUUCUGCUGUUAAUGCGAAGCUUUUGGUGAUCCGUGUUGAACUGAAUCAUGAGAUGGACGAUGUAGAAUCCAUCCUUCUUGCUUGGUUUUGGGACGUGGAUGCAGGAGAAGUUAGUUUUAUGCGCGAAACCCAUCUUCUUGUUCCUUUGUUUCCUGAUAUGCACGUGGCCACCUCUAAAGUUGAAGCCUUGGAGAGCAUCAUCUAGAAUAUUCAUUAUGUGGGUGUAGUCCUUUUUCUCGUAGUCUCUAGAAGGGUCAAAAUACACGGCGUGGGAGACUUGCGGGUAAAGAAUGAUAAGGACGGCGCGCCCGUUGCUGCGGGGAAAAGACACCUCAAAUUAUUCCCCAUAUGAGAGAGAAGGAAUGAUUGAAAUGUACGAAAGGGUUGUCCGGAACUGACUUACUUUGGAUGAUAAGGCACGAGGACAAUUUCCCGGUCCUUAUUCUGUACCAUGAAGUUUUGGAGGUACUCCCUAGCAGUUUCACGCUCAAAGUCGCCGAGACUCAAGAAAGACUCGUGCAUGUAGUACGGAUCCGCCACACAGAUUUGCGAGACUUCUUCACUCUUCACGACGGAGCUCAUAUGUAGCGCAAAAAGGCGGACGAUAGUAAAAUCAAGCCGCCUUGUUAGAAACAUCUCAAAGAUAUGGUCAAACCGCAGGAAGAACACCUCCGUGGGCCGUGUGUCGACGUAGCACUUCCCCUCAGGCACACGAGCUGCGUAUGUCGGAUAUCCUGGAUCCUUUGAGGCUAGUAGGCUUUUCUCAGUCGACAGCACGUGGUCGUGCAGUCUCCUGAGAUUCCCUGAUAGUGCCUCCAGCGGUUUCGGCGGUAGCAUCGGCUCGCCCGUGAGAUGGAACAUGACCGCACCUUUCACGGGUACACGCUCUUCAGAAUGCAUCGUCUGGCUGCUGUGUGCUCUGGCUUGUUUGGAGGCAGUUACCUUCCCCAAUCUCUUCCUCUCCUUUUUCUUGGGCACACCUUCCAGACCCUUCCUUAACCCCUGCCCAAGUGUUCCCGGGCUAAGUAUUGUACGACCCUCACGCCCGGCUAGUUGAGCCUGUGUUGAGGCGGCAUCUUCAGGCGUGUCCUGUGAGGAUUUCAUGAAGAGAGACUUUUUGCAUUCCAUGGUACGGCCCUGCCCGGGCAUAUCAUCCAUAUCCUCAUUAGCAAGCUGAUAGCCCGAUUCGUCAUAUGGUUGACUCAUCAUAUCUAUGUCACAGUCAUACGCGUUUGUAUUGAGGUAAUCCAUCGGGUCGACCUCCGUCUCAUCAUCCAUUCUCUGUUCUACAGGAGAAAUUACAUCAGCCAGUACUAUUGCACCCCCUUCAUCAUGUCGUCCGCCGCUCUCACACGGCACUACUACAGGAGCUGGUAAUUGCGUAGGUGGGGUGGUGGUCUCCGCACAUGCUUGCUGAUGUGUGGUAGUUAUUGGUGUGCUCUCGGCCGGCUCCAGACGAAUAAGAUUCUUCGGCCAUAGCAGCACCCAACCCUUGCAGCGUCCAAUCCGCGGCGGGGUCUCGUCGUCCGCUCCCACCUGCUGUACUGGAGGAGGCAAAUCCUCGUGCCCCGAUUUCACACUGGUCAAGCUAACCCUGAAGUGCCCAGCGGGGAUCGGCUGGUUGUGGAAUGUGCGUUGAGAGGGGUCCAUUAUCAUCCCCUUUCCCACGUCCACCUUCUGGCCUUUGAUCAAGUAGAGUAUGGUGCAUGGGGUUUCUUUCGCCUGCAAACACAUAUGUCUGUGGUGUAAAACAACCGAAAGGCAACAAAAAUGGAAUAUUAUAUAUAUAUAUAUGUUGGUGCGACAUGUAAUUACCGUGACGGCGUCGAGCUCAGCCAAAGACGAAGGCCCACCUAGCGCGCCUGAGACUGAGGACGGGCUGCUAUGAGCUGGAGCGGCUGCGAGAGGAGGCCCGGUUGCUUGAGCAAGUGAUGGUGCGAUGGUGUUGUUCAUGGAGUUGCUCGCGACGAAACUGGGCAUUGGGAAAUCAUGUACCGUCUUGUCUGGAUUUUCCUUCGCCCAGUUGAUGAUAACUGGAACCAAGUUAGUAGCGAAAUCAUUUCUGCAGGCAUUUACAGCUGCAUUGACUGCCUGCUGUAGCAACUCAUAUUUGUCCUUGGCUGCUUUUUUCGCGUCCUCGGCUGCUUUUUUCUCGACCGCAAGCUUCACCUUUGCGUCGAUGUCCGCCUAACUAAACUUCUUUUUCUGCUUCUUGGCCUCCGGGCCGUCGUUGUAAAACACCUUCCACGUGGCGCCGUCUCCAGCGCCGUGCACACGACCAUAUUGCGGCCGCUGGUCCAACGGGAGUCCCUUAAGUUCGUUCAAGGCCCAGUUGAGAGGUGUGUCCCACUUGGGCCUCAUCGGAGAAGUAGGGCUUUCGGCUGCAAGCCGGUGUUGCUUCUCCAGUAGUCUAAUCAAUUUCCUCGUGAUCUUGUCCGUGUAAAAAACCUUUUUCUCCUUGUCCCACUUGUAGCGGGCCCUGAUGAAGUCAUGCUCCAAGGGGUUGGUGAACUUCGCGAAGGGGUCUGGGAGACCCGCGGCUUCACGUUCCGCGUCCUCCUUAUCCCAUAUGGGCCUUUUACCGAGGUAGCCACGGCUUCCGAGGCGAUGCUUCCCCAUGUUCCGGAGCUGAAGGCUUUUGAAUUUCGCAGCCUUAGCCUUGGCUGCCUUGGUAGCGCAAGUGUCCUUGAACUUUUCGAACUCCUCUUCCGUAAGUGUCGGAUUUUCCUCCAGAAUCUUGGACAGGGGUUCAUCAGCCUCAAUAGCUCGUUUCACCCUCCCUUUCCAGGAGGCCAAAUCAUUGCUGAACAUGCCCAUGGCGUGAUUGUUAAUCUUUUUCAUCUUCGGAUCAUCCCACGGUUGUUCUAUGUUAUCAUCCCGGUCGGGGAACUUGAAUCUCUUCUGCAACUUCGUUAGGAGCAACUGCGUCAAAUGUUCUUUACUCCUUAAGUCAUCAUCGUUGAUGCUCGCGCAUUCCCGUAGGAUGCAUCCUACUUGGUUCCCAUAGCACUUGCGAGGUUCUUCCGGCUCUAACGGCUCAAACUUUCCAGGUGCCAUCUUUGUGAUCACAAGUCGUCCAAUCCCUAGUUUGUUAGGUUUUCGUAUCCUCUGCUUCUUAUGCUUCCUCUUUUCGGUAUCGGCAUCGGGGCCGGUACCUUCCCCGCCGGUCUCGGCGCCGCCAUCGGUGCCGGCGCCGUCGGUGCCGGCACCGUAGGUGUCGAUGUCGGCGUCAGUACCAUCAUCGAGGCCGACCUGCAAACCUUGCUUAGCAGUCAAAUAGUCGAGGUACUCUUGUUCACCCUCAUAAUCCAUCUCGUCUGCAUCUUGGUCAGAAGGCCCAGUUUCUUCGUUGUUCGACAUGUUUCCUAUGAUUAAGUGGCCUCAUUUAUUUCUAAAAGUAUGAAUAAAUGAGAAAUGACAUAAAAAGAAAUCUAUGUGCCAACACUCGAUAUGCCAACUAUGUAGCACAAAUCAUGCCUUUAUUCACGGGAAAUUUCGGCAUGACCUUUGCUAAAAAAUGGACAUAUCGAGCGCCUGAAAUUCACCGAAACGGAAAUGAAUCAACAUUCCUGCGCAACAUAGGCCACUCGGAUCAUUUUCCAAACAUGACAUGUCCAAAACAUGACAUAUGCACAUAUCACAUGUCCAGUUCAAAUUUCCAUAUAAAUUCAGCUAAUUCAUAACUAAAUAGAUAACCUAAUUAAUUAACAUGAAGANNNNNNNNNNNNNNNNNNNNNNNNNNNNNNNNNNNNNNNNNNNNNNNNNNNNNNNNNNNNNNNNNNNNNNNNNNNNNNNNNNNNNNNNNNNNNNNNNNNNNNNNNNNNNNNNNNNNNNNNNNNNNNNNNNNNNNNNNNNNNNNNNNNNNNNNNNNNNNNNNNNNNNNNNNNNNNNNNNNNNNNNNNNNNNNNNNNNNNNNNNNNNNNNNNNNNNNNNNNNNNNNNNNNNNNNNNGGGGGCGAGCGACAUGGUCGGGGGCGAGCACGCCGGAGUCGGGGUCGAGAGCGGGACAGGGGCGAGCGCCGGGGCUGGCACCGGCGCCGGCAGGGUCGGGGGCGAGCGCCGGGGCCGGGUCGGGCACGGCGGAGCGACGGGGGCCGGAGAGAGAGUGGGGAUUUGGGGGGAAAUGGCGGGAUGAAGCUGGGCGAGUGCGAAUUUUGGGUUAAGUGGACGUAGCAGUAGCGGGUUAUGUCAAAACGCGCUGCUACUAUAUUCUGUAGCGGCAGCGGUUUAUGAGAAACACGCUACUACUAUGGUGCGUAGCUGCAGCGCUUUAUGGGAAACUCGCUACUACUAUGGUGCGUAGCGGCAGCGGUUUAUGAGAAACACGCUACUACUAAGAUCUAGCAGCAGCGGUUUUGUGGAAACGCGCUGCUACUGCCGUCGCUACUGCCAGGUUUCCUUUUUCUUUUCCUUUAUUUUAUCCCACUUUUAUUUCCCGAGGGCAAUGAACGAAGGGAGGGCGAUAUAUAUUGCAUCAUUUGACGGUUAAAUAUGUAUGCAAAAUAGGAACAUAUAUAUUACACAUCAUUGGACCCAUGCAUAAUAAUGACUAAGUGUGUAUACAAAUUAAAUAGGAACAUAUAUAUAUUACACAUCAUUGGACCCAUAACAUACGUUUCCUCAGUGCUGACGUUUUCGUUUUUGAGUCAGCUUCUUUCCCUUCUUGUUCGUCGAAGAAUAAUUGAGCCCCUCAUUGUGACUUUGCCUUUUCCAUGGAGUACGAUUUUUCUUAGGUAAUGUAGUAUUGAUUCUUCUUUUGACGUAUACUUCAUCAUCAUCAUCAUCUUCCCUCAUUGGGUUGCUGUACUGAUCAUAGUCUUCCUCGUUGGCGACUCCAUCCAUUCCAAUGAUGUUCCUUUUGCCUCUCCUCACGACAACACGGCUGGGAUUGCGCGGGUCAGUUAUGAAGAAACAUUGUGUCACGUGCUUAGCGUGUACCCAUGGCUCGUUUUUUGCGAUAGCGUUCAUGGUAGCGCUCUUGGCGUCGGGUAUAGUCAUGGUAGUGAACAUCCGGCUUUCUCUUUCGACAUUCUUAGCCCAUCUGACACGGAACAUCAUCGUGCUGUGCAGUCCAGAGUAGUCAAGCUCCCAGAUCUCCUCGACCCUUCCAUAAAAUCGUUCAGUUGUGCCGUUGUCGCUGCCGGUCAUGCAUUCCAUCGUCACCCCUGAGUUCUGAUCAUCACUGUCCAUAUCUUUUGCCUCUGUGUAGAAUGUGUAUCCGUUGAUAUCAUAUGCCUGAUAGGUUACGAGGUUGGGCGAGGGGCCAUGUGCUAAGGCGUAUAUGAGCAAUCCGUCCUUAGAGCCCUCCUCCGGUGGAUUAGCAAUAAUAUGCUCUUUGAACCAAUGCAGGAAAGUGGAGUUGUGCUCUCUAGUAACUUCGGCGUCCGUCCUGCAUACCCCCCGGUCACGAUACUUCUUUGUGAUAAUUUCUUUGUGCAGUGCCACGAAAGGAUCUACCUCGUCUAGGUGUUGUAGCACUACCAAGUUUGCUCUGUCAAAGUCGCUGCGUCGAUCUGAGUAUGCCACGUGCAGUUCCCUGCGACCGUUGCAGUGACCAUCUCCUUUGAGCCUCCCAUCGUGCUUGUUAACGGGCAAACCAACACUAACACCAGGCGGCUGGUCUGCGCCAUAUAAAAAAUUCUCACAGAAAGAGAUGCACUCUUGUGCCAAAUAGCCCUGGACGAUGCUUCCAUCCGGACGGGACAUGUUACGAACGAAUCCUUUGAUGAUCCCAUUCAUCCACUCAAACGGGAUCAUGUUGUGCAGGAAUGACGGCCCCAGGUCUAUUAUGUCAUCCACAAUAUGGACACACAGAUGCACCAUCACGUCGAAGAACGCGGGCGGGAAGUACAUCUCAAGCUCAUUCAGUAUCACAACGAUCUCUUCCUGUAGCCUUUGGAGCUGCUUCACACUGAUCGACUUUCGAGAGAUGACAUCGAAAAAGUUGCAGAGACCAAUAAGCGUGUCACGGACGUGCUUGUCCAUUAUCCCUCUAAGGGCAACAGGUAGUAUCUGCGUCAUCAUCACAUGACAGUCAUGAGACUUCAUCCCGCUGAACCUUUUCUUGUCCGUGUCUAGAUAUCUGCUUAUCUUGCCACAGUAACCGGAACUAACUUUCACUCCGGUAAGGCACUUAAAGAAUUGAUUGAUCUCAGCCUGACUUAAGGUGAAGCAAGAGGGGGGGCAAUAAUCUUCUUUCUUUAAUUUCUUGCCCUUCUUCUCCCGUGCCUCUGUCUUCGUCUCUGUCUCGUCUGACAUUUUACGGGGCGGCAUCUGCAGAUCUUCCCUGAUUUUCAAAUCUUGCAAGUCUUUUCUUGCCUUCGGCCCAUCCUUGGUCUUAUCCGGCAUGUUCAUCAGUGUUGCGAGCAAGCUCUCAAGGACAUUCUUACAGAUAUGCAUUUGAUCAAGGCAAUGAGGUGUAUCGAGUUUGUGCCAGUACUCCAAGUCCCAGAACACGACCUCGUCUUCCAUACCUUCAGCAGCGGCUCCGGCGCCUUUCUCAUCGUCUUUCCCGGCGCGGGGCACUCAUUCCAGUUUUUCAAUAGCUCAUCGAUUUCGGCACCGCUCCGCUUACGUGGAGGUCCUCGAUGCUCAGCGUGACCAUUGAAUAGAUCUCCACGGUUUCUCCACGGGUCGUCCUGUUCAAGCCAUCUUCGAUGCCCCAUGUACAUGAUUUUCGCAGACCCGCCAUCUUUCCUUGACGUUAGCUGCUGAGACGUUGUAUCAUCCAUGCACCGCGUGCAUCCGCAAUAUCCAUGGCACACCUGGCCUGCCACAUAUCCGUAACCGAGAUAGUCCUGCACUGUCGUGAUCAGCGCGGCUCUCAUGUUGAAAUACUCACCUUUGCUGGCGUCCCAUGUCUUGGCCGGUGUUUUCCAUAACGUGUCUAACUCCUCUUGAAGUAGCCCCAGAUACAAAUUAAUAUUAUUUCCUGGUUGUUUCGGCCCUUGAAUAAGCAUGCUCAUGUGAAUGUACUUCGAUUUCAUACACAACCAGGGGGGGAGGUUGUACAUCCAUACAAACACGGGCCAUGUACUAUGGUUGGUGUUCUAGUUGCCAAAUGGAUUCAUGCCAUCGGUACACGCGCCGAGCACGAUGUUCCUUGCAUCACAUUCAAAAUACCGUUAGAAGCUGUUCAACGCUCUCCACUGGCUUCCAUCCUUCACGUGUCUCAGCUUCGGAUCAUCUCCAUCGUCGGGCUUCUUCCUCUCCGCGUGCCAGCGCAUUAGCUUUGCUUCCUUGGGAUCUACAAAAUACCUCUGAAGACGGGGAGUGAUCGGUAAGUACCAUACAACUUUCUGGGGACAUUUCUUCCCGGCCUUCUUGUAUCGAGAAGCAUUGCACACCGGACAGCUUGUUUUUUCCGCGUGCUCCUUCCGAUAAAUUAUGCAAUCGUUGAUGCAUGCAUGGUAUCUAACGUGUGGCAGAUCAAGAGGGCACACGAUCUUCUUGGCCUCAUCAACACUAGUAGGACAUAGAUUACCCGCGGGAAGAAUAUCCUUUAGGUACUUGAGAUGGUCAUCGAGGCUAGUGUCGGUCCAUUUGUUUUUAGCCUUCGUCUUCAGGAGUUGGAGCGUGAAACUCAACCGGGUCACCUCAGGAUUGCAACCAUCAUACAAUGGAGUGUUCGAGUCUACCACCAGUUGCUCCAGCUUAGCCUCCUCUCUAGAAGCAGCUCUCUCAGUACUCGUCUCCUUGCGAAGCAAUGCUUGAACAUGAGGGUCCCGCACAAUUGAACUUAGUACCGACGAACUCUGCUGCGUGGAGUCCAUGUCGUUCUCUCCGCCGCCAUGUCCGGCCCCUUCUCCUCCGCCAUGUCCGGCCACUUCUCCGCUGCCAUGUCCGGCCUCUUCCCCGCCGCCAUUAUCGAUCAUCUCUUCGUCUUGCCCCGUGUCAUCAUUGCCUGCCCCGUCGGCAUCCUCAACAUCUUCAUCCUCAUCUUCAAUUAUCCACCGAGUAUAGCCAUCCAUGAAACCAGUCAUGAGCAGGUGCGCUUCGACACGACCAUCGUCAUGGGGGUCGAGCCAAACUAUUCCUUUGCAUUUUCAACACGGACAUAAAACCUCUGUCCGGUUAUUUUCUUUCAUGUCUUGCACCGCCGACCGCAACCACCUGUCCACCAUUGUUCCACUGACCAUCGUCAACUCUGCACGGUAAUAAUAAAAAAAUUGAUUGUAAAAAUGCAUGCAUGCAUCAAAGUCAUAAAAAAAUUUGGCAUGACCUUCCCUAAAAAUAGGACAUAUAUGGAUCUAGAGUUUGCCCGAAAUUCGCCGAAACGAAAAUAAAUCGACAUUUCGGCAAAACAUAGGCAACUCAAAAGCACAAUUUGGCGGCGUCAACUCAUGCCACAGACACAAUUUCCACAAACAUAUCACACAUACACAUAAACACAUUUCCAUUUUGCAAAAGCAUGAAAUUUUCAUCACCUCUAUCUCGAUGGCCGGAGAUGAUGUUGUAGGGAGAUCAAAAGUGCACAAAGCUAUUCUUGACAAAGAUAGAUCUAGUUAGGGGGCAAAUAGGUCACUUAACUAAAUCCUACAUCUACCUAGCUACCUAAUUUGGAAGGAGACAACUUCAACUAGUGGAGGGGGAGGAAAAAGAGAAAGAAGAUGCAUUAAUUAAUGGAGGUGGUGUAGUUAUGUAGGAGUAAUGAAGAGAGAGAAGGUGGAUAGAGAANNNNNNNNNNNNNNNNNNNNNNNNNNNNNNNNNNNNNNNNNNNNNNNNNNNNNNNNNNNNNNNNNNNNNNNNNNNNNNNNNNNNNNNNNNNNNNNNNNNNNNNNNNNNNNNNNNNNNNNNNNNNNNNNNNNNNNNNNNNNNNNNNNNNNNNNNNNNNNNNNNNNNNNNNNNNNNNNNNNNNNNNNNNNNNNNNNNNNNNNNNNNNNNNNNNNNNNNNNNNNNNNNNNNNNNNNNNNNNNNNNNNNNNNNNNNNNNNNNNNNNNNNNNNNNNNNNNUGUGGUGGAGGGAAGAGAGGAGAGGGGGAGGUAGGGGGGAAGGGAAAAAAGGAAGGGGGAGGGGAGGGACGGGUUGGGGGUUGGUGGGGUUAGCAGUAGCGCGGGAGAUAAAACGCGCUGCUGCUAAGAACUUAGCAGCUGCGCGCUUUGCGGUAAGGCGCUACUGCUAACUGGGACAAAAAAUUGUGGCAAUUUGAAACUUACCAGCAGCGAUCUCGAGGAAACCGCGCUACUACUACGUACUUAGCAGUAGCGCUGUUAUUGCGACCGCGCUACUGCUACUUAGAGUUGGGGGAACACCGCCGGUCGAUAUUUGUAGCAGCGCGUUUCUUGUCGAGCGCGCUACUGCUAAAUCUUUAUCAGUAGCGAGUUUACGUAACCCGCGCUACAACUACUUAGCAGCAGCGCUCUAUUUUGAACCGCGCUGCUGCUAAGAUUCUGUGUAUAGGCUUUUCCCUAGUAGUGUAGGAAGGAAUGACCACAUGAAUGAGCAUACGUAUGAUGUGAUUAAGUCUCUCGAUUGGGUAUCUGGUGCCUUAUGUACGGUGUCUUCUUUUUGUCAAGCUAUGACAUCUUUCAGUUUGAGUGUCUGAUAUUAGGGUUGCAUACGUUUUGUUAUUCAGUUGCCUGUUGUGAACUCUACGGUUAUAUCAUCUCGAUGUGUGAGUCAAUGUGUUUGAACCAAUGUAGAGUUUCAUGUGAAUGUUACAAGUGUGAUUGAUAUGUUCAUGUUAUCCGCGGUUGCCUUGGUAAGAAACUGAAAGAGCAAACCGUUAUCGUGCUAGGACAAAAGUCAUCACUCAAUAUAAGUGCUUCUCUAGAACAGCCACACCUUGUGAAAGAAGAUGGCAAACACCCAAUCAUGUCUGGUUCGAUAUGGGCGUGGCUAUGGGUAGCUUAUAGCGACAUGGAAGCCAGCAUCGCUGGAAGAAACGCCCGGGUGGGCCGGCCUAGAGACAUUUCUUGAUAUCUACCCUUAGUUUUGUUUUUCUGCCCUUCUUUCUUUAUAUUUAUAUUUUUCCCGACAUGUUCACUACUUGAUGCUCAACUGGGAUCUCAUCCUUCACAAAUACGGAGAGCCAUUAUUGUUAGAGUUAAUCUUGACAUGUGUGUAUGUGCAUGUGUGCAUUGCAUGUUAGUGGUCUAGAGAUGGCCGGGUCGAUGCGUCUGUUCUGUGCUGGAGUGAGUCCAGCAGUUUGUUUUGGUCAGGUCGUGGUGGCUAGAGCCAUUCUAGGAGAGGAUCAAGUCAAGUUGUUAGCUGAACUCGGCUGGGUAGUGUUUGGCCGUUGAGGAUAGGCUGUACUAGUGGUGGGCAUGGCCGUGCAUAUAGCUAGCGAUUAGUUACACUAGUAGAAAACCACCCAUUAGUCCCGGUUCGUAAGGGCCUUUAGUCUCGGUUCAGGAACCGGGACUAAUGGGUCGUUACUAAUACCUCCACCCAUUAGCCCCGGUUCAAACACGAACCGGGACCAAUGUGCCUCCACGUGGCCCUGUGCGGCGAGCCCAGUCAGGGGGCCUUUGGUCCCGGCUGGUGGCUCCAACCGGGACCAAAAGGCAUCCACGCGUCUGCAUUCUAGUGGUUUCUGGUUUUUGUUUUUUUUUUGAAAGGAGGGGGGUUGGGGGUUUUGGGGAGUUAAUUUAGGUGUUUCGUAUAUUGUGUUAACUAGCUAAUUAAUAGAGAGAAGUGUCCUCUCUUAUGUCCGUGCUUGGUCGACGCUACGUAGUAUAUAUACAUAAGUAAUCGAGAGAACCAUUCAGUACAGAAGUUCGUCAUGCAUACCGAGAGAAGUGAUCGAUCGACCUCUCCUUCUCCGAGAGAUUGGUCGAACAACAAGUUUUUUACUGGCUACAUACAUGUACAAUAUGUAUAAGAUCUCUUAAUUACAAACCCAUAGCAUUUGAAAUCAACUUCCACAUGGUAUUCUCCGGCUUUACUGAUGACGUGUUCAAGAAAGAAUCCCGCUAAUUCCUCUUGAAUUGCUUUCAUGCGAUCUGGUUCUAGGAGUUCACCCCGCAUCUGCCACGUCUAAUUAAUUUGAAGAAGGGGGUUAAUUAAUACAUAUAUAUGAAUGAAACUCAACAGAAAAUGAUGGUGUAAUAAAAUGAAAUUGUGAAUAUUAUUGCUUACGCACUUCAUAUUGUCUUCUAGAGUAGCCCCGCUUGUUUCUCAAAGUUGCGUUGUGGAUGAACUCGCACACGUAGUAUCCACAAAAAUCAUUCCCUUCCUCCUGUCACAAGCACUUUACGAGAAACAGAGGUCAAUCAAACUGAUAAUGAAGCAUUAUAAAUGGCAUUGAUGAAAGUAUAGCUAUAGAAUCAACGGGAGAUGCACGCAACUAGCUAGCCAGUAGUACUUACUUUCGGGUAUACAUAUCGCAGCUCCUUCGGCAGUCCCGGAGCUUGUGCGGUGAACUGUUUCCGAACCCUGCAAGACAAAGAAAAUAAUUAUUAUUACUUGAGAUAUCAGGAAAUGAACAAAAAGUUGCCGAUAUGGUGCGAUAAUGAUCGAUUGAACUUACUUGCUGAGCAUUUCAGUCAUGUCCACAUAGGUGCUGGGAUCUUUCCGUCUCGAGUCUAAGACGGUUACUAGUCCACGCUCAAGCUUAAUCUCCAGAAGAAUAUAGUGGUACCUGCGCACGCGUGCAUAACUCAUCAAUUACAUUAACCUCGCUCGAGUAAUAAGGGAAACCGAAUAUGCACACGACAGUAACACUCACGGGCCGUUGUAAGGAAAGAGUAUGGUAUCUUUGUUUUGAUUUUUGAUCAACGAUUGUAGCAAGUUGUCCUCGGCCUCUUCGACGUUCUUUUCAACCAGAAAUACAUCUAUGAUAUUUGUGUUAAUGAACCCAAUAUCAUAAAUUUUUUGUUUUUUGCACUCGACGAUCUUCAAUCUGCAUAAUAUAUUGAGGAUAAUUAAUUAUAAAUACAUGCAAUGAAAGAUCCGAGCUAUAUAUAGAGACUUAAUGUCAGAAAUAGUACUUACAUGCAGUAGCAAAAGACCAUUAAUUUAUCGAGGGCCUUUUGAUUGAAGAACUCAAAGAACUCCUCAAAUGGAACACACAACAGAUCAUUUGAAAUGAGGUCGUGCUCCUCUUUAAUAUUCAAAUACAAACUGUUCGUCCCCUCAGACUCUCUGCAGGUUUUCAUGUACCAAUUAUGGAAUCUUCGCAUCAUUAUUGUCAGAGAUUUUUCAUCUUUGACGAGAGGCUUCCCGUACUCGUAUCUGAAUACGUCCACCUCCAUGAAAUCAGGAAGUGCAUCGUCAGGCAGGUAAUCUUCAAGAUUGCCAUAACCGGCCACCGUCCCCGGAGGAUUAGACACAUUGAGCGGGGGGCACGAUUGCUGUGCUUGUUCGCCGAGCUGGGCAAUUUUUUUCCCCUUUGCUCGUUGUUCUUUUGACCUUUUAUCAUUGACAGUAGUUCCCGACCGCUUGGCUUGGAGAUAUGUCUGUUCAGUAAUGCGCUCAUAGUUGGUUCUCGGCGGAGACUUUGGUGGUUUCCUCAGGGCAUCGAGAGUGCGCUUUGCUUUCACCGGAUCUACCUUCUCCUCCGGAGGUGGAUGUCUCUUUGCUUUCACCCCUUCAAAGAACUCCUUCACGUGGGCCUGCACGAUCGUAUUGUUUUCCUCCUUGGUCCUCUCGUACGGUAACUUCUCUAGAGGCUUUAGAGGUGGACCGUAUCUGUAUUGCCUCUCUCUUCUUGUGCUGCUAGACGCCGGAGCAGACGGAGCGGCUGUGGCGUCUGUCUUCUUCCGUGCUUGCUUAUGAGGCGGAGGAGAAGGACUACGACGCGCCGGAGCAGCCGGGGCGGCGGCGGGUCUCUUCCGCCCUUGCUGGCGAGGCGGAGAGGAGGAGGCGGAGUGCCGCCACAUGCCGGAGAAGGAGGCGGAGUGCCGCCAUGCGUGCCCUGAUCGUCACUCGCCGGAGGAGGAGGCGGUGGAGGAGGCGGAGUGCCGCCACGCGUGCCCUGAUCGUCACUCGCCGGAGGAGGACGCGGUGGAGGAGGCGGAGUGCCCUGACUCGCUGAAAGAGGAGGAGGAGGCGGAGGCGUCCAGUUCAGAAGGUUGAUGAGCUCCUUCUGCCAUAGGCAUGGAGUCUUCAGAGCAGAACCCAGCCUAGUCUCCCCUUCACCGGUAGUGUGCUCAAGCACGAGGUCCUCAAAUCCCUCCGUUAUUUCAUCCACCAUCACCUUAGCAAAUCCUUCUGGAAUUGGCUGGCAGUGAUAAGUUGUGCCGGGUCCACUAGGAUAAACUUGGCCAACAGCCGCCUUGACCUUCAAAUUCAUCCAUCACACAAUAAUGUGGCAAUUUUGAGACUCCGUGAUACCAUCCACGGGAUAGCUGGCAGGAGCCGUCAAGACAUGCUCCGGCUGAAGCAGCUCAGUGGAAGCCACGCUGCUUCUCUGCUGAGAUGGCGGGGUAGCUUCGGGGGAAGCUUCGGCAGGUCGUUUGUUGUGAUCUGCUGCUUCUUGUUCCUCUAGCCCCAUUACCCUUUCGUGCAGCGCCUGCAUUUGGUCCUGCUCCAGUUUCUUCCUCCUCUCGUAGGCUUUGUAAACGCCUGCGUCCAGAAAACCAACCUUCCACGGAAUGGAGCCUGGCGUGCCUCGUGUCCGUCCAGGGUGCUCGGGAUUCCCAAGGGCCAUUGUGAGCUCGUCCUUCUCCCUGUUUGGAAGGAACGUCCCUCGUUGUGCUGCAUCGAUAUAGUGUCGAAGGUUCUUGACUGGUGUUUGCAGUUGCUCGUCCGUCCACUGACGCUUCCCUGUUACAGGGUCCAAGGUUCCGCCAGCCCCGAAGACCCAAGUCCGGCAACGGUCUGGCCAGCGCAUUGUCUCUGGUUCGAUUCCUUUUUCAAGCAGAUCAUGCUCAGCCUUGGACCACUUAGGCCGGGCUUUGAGGUAGCCACCUGACUCCGUGCGAUGGUGAAGCUUCUUCUUCGCAGCAUUUUUCUUGUUUGUCUCCGACAUCGUCUUACUCUUUUCCGAUGUCUUGUGGGCCACAAAUGCGGGCCAGUGAUCUUUGAUCUUCUCAUAUUUGCUGAUGAAUUCUGGUGUCUUUUUUUUCUCGAGAAACUGGUUCAGCUCUUUCCUCCACCUCCUCAUUAGGCUUGCCAUCUUCUUAAGAGCACAAGACUUGAUUAAUUGCUCUUUAACUGGCUUCUCCGGAUCCUCCUCUGGCGGUAGGGUGAAAUUUGCCUUCAGCUCAGUCCAAAGAUCUUCUUUCUGCAUAUCAUUGACAUAAGACACCUCAGGGUCUUCAUCCUUAGCAGGCUUAUACCAUUGCUGGAUGCUGAUCGGGAUCUUGUCCCUAACAAGAACCCCGCACUGAGCAGAAAAUGCCUUCCUUGUCCGGAUGGGUUCAAUCGGUUCGCCGUCGGGCGCGAUUUCUAUGAUCUCAAACUUUUCAUCCGAGAUCAACUUUUUCUUCGGGCCUCGUCUCCUUACCGAAGUUGUGCUCGAUCCGGAGGGCUAGAAAUUAUAAGGAAGAAAGACGACAGUAAUUAAUAUGUGUACAUAUACCAAAACAAUGGAUGCAUCAAUUAACUAGUCAGCACGGGCUUAACUAAUAUAUAUAUACCUGGCCGGACUCGGUUCGGUGACCGGAGCAGUCAGCACGGUCUCCUUGUACCUCCAUUGUGUCACCGGAGCCAUCAUGAACAUAGUCCUCCUCUUGUACCGGCAUUAAUGGGUCGAAGCCAUCAUAAACAUAGCCCUCUUCUUCAUCCAGUCCUUCCAGCUGACCAUCGGUGUCGAUGAGAAAUGACGCAACAUCAUCACUUCCAUUUGCGAUUAUGUCCCCCAACAUCGCUUCUGUUUCUUCGUCUCGGGAGUGCUCCAUAGUUUCUGCAAAUAUUUACAACAUGUCAAUUAUUAUUCAAACAUGGUACAAAUGGAUAUAUAUAUAUAUAUAUAUAUAUAUAUAUAUAUAUAUAUAUGAAAAUGGAUUGGUACUCCUAGGAGUACAUACUCUCACCUACACCCGUCAUCGUUGGAAACAUUCAUCCCGCUAACUACUAAAAAAAGAGCUAACUAACUACGGAUAAAGCCUUUGGAUUUAAAAAUUAGUUGAACCGCUUCCUUUUUUUUCAGCUCUCGUAGGCGUGCCUUCCAGGGAUUCCAUUUGAAACGGCGUUCUCAUCUCUUGCCAGCACCCAUGAACAUAAAAAAACAGAGCAUCGGCUCGCCUCCGCCCCGCCGACUGACCGGAAGACUUGGUCGACAUGGCCGACGAUGAUCCCCGUGCUUCUUCCCUCGCAAACUAGGCUUCAACCACCACGUCCAUCAAUCAGAGGAAGAUUGAUUCAUCAUCUGUAGUUUGCGAGGGUACGUGCAAUUGAUGUUUCCCGAUUUUUCUGUUCGGCUACCACAACCGUGUUCAUGUUCCCGCUGACCCCUUGAUCCAUUCCUGUCCAGUAUGUCAUCGUCCGAGAAGAAAAUAGGACGGAGAUGAUUGAUCGGCCAGAUUGAUCGGCCAAGUCUACUAGUACCACUGGUGGAAAAAAGGCCUUUGGUCGCGGUUCGCAACUGCCAUUAGUCGCGGUUGCGCAACCGCGACCAAAUAAGCGCGACUAAAGCCCCCCACCUUUAGUCGCGGCUGCUUAAGAACCGCGACUAAAGGCCCGUCCAUGUGGGCGCCAGGCGGCCGUCGGGACGGAGGACCUUUAGUCGCGGUUCUUCUGGCCAACCGCGACUAAAGGCCGCCACAGGUUUAGGGUUUUAGCCCCCCCCCUAAACCUGUUUUCUGUUUAAUUUGUAUUGUUUUAUUUCUUUUGUGCUUUAUUUUAAUUUUGAAGGAGUUUCAUAUAUUCUACGGUACUACAUACAUGCAUAUGAAUGUACAAUUUCAAAUAAAUUUGAAAUUAGAACCAAAAAGAAUUCAAGAGGAAUAUACAAUAUAUAUUCAAUAUCAUCGGAUGACCAUAUACAAUUUUGAACAAGUUUCCAUACAUGAUUUAAUGCAUAUAAAGUUCUACGUCCUCGUAAUAGUGUUCUCCUUUAGGAUGGAGGACUUCCCUGCUGAACCAUCCAGCUAGUUCCUCUUGAAGUGGUCGGAAGCGAGCUUCUGGACUAAGCAUCCACCGGAGGUUAUUCCUCUGAGCAUUGGUAUCACUCGGAACCCGCUCAGAGGUGUAUCUCCGGAUCAUCUCACAGACAUAGUAUCCACAUAGAUUGGUCUCCGGUGGCUGAAUAUCCCCAGCAUUCUUAGCCACUGACCUUUUGAAUUCUAGCUCUUUUUUGAAUUCACCGACCUUUGUAUCUACGAACCGUCUCCAAACCCUACGAGGCAAAGAAAAUUAAAUGAACAAGAGAGUUAUUAGUUACUUGAUAUUAGGAAAUGAACGAAAUAGGCCGAUUGAUAUAGAGCGCAAAUGAAUGAAAAUAAUUACUUCUGCAGCAUUCUUCUCAUGCCGCCCCAAAGCUUUGGAUCCAUAUUCACAGAGUCGUGGACGAGACAUUCUGAGGUGUUAACUUUAAUUACUAGCAGAAUCCAGUGGAACCUGCGGACACGAUACAUGCACAGUACGUCAUGCAUAACUCAUCGAUUAGCCGGCCACAUACCAUGCAUGGAGUAAACAAAAGAGAAUGUGCUCAAGACACAAACACUCACCCAAAAUGGUAAGGAAAUAGAAUAUCACUUUUGAGUUCCUGCUUUGUAAGAAACUGCCACAGGUCUACCUCCACGUCGGCGGGGUGACGCUCCAACACAUGUCCAUUAACGAUGUGUGGGUCAAUGAACCCAACAUCAUGGAUGUUCCUUACUCUGCAUUCCUUAAUCUUCAUUCUGCAUGUAUAAUAGCGGACACAACAAUAUAGUUAGGACAUAUAUAUAGUGCAGGCAAUAUGAACGAGAUGGGGUAGAAAUUAAUAAAUCACUUACAGAACGUAGCAACUGAUGAUAGAUUUAUCGAGCUCGCGCAGAUUGAAAAGCUGGAACAAUUCACUCAGUUCAAUUUGUACAUAGUAAUGUUUGAAGUGAUGCUCAUGUCUAACUUCCGCAUAAAUAUAUUCUUUGGCGUUUUUAUUUUUUAUGUAACCCUUGUACCAUUUCAGCAGACCUUUCAUUUGUGGAGGUAGAUCCUUUUCCUGCGCAGGCUCGACGAGAGGCCCAUUCUUGACAUAUGUAAUUACUACCUCCUUCACUGGCGCCUCAUCAAGGCCUAACAGUUCACGAAGAGUAAUACCUAAGUUGGCCGCUUGUUCUAUGGCACUCGUUACAGUCAAUCCCUGUGCUGCCGCAGCUUGUAUGAUCUCGGGGGCAUCCGGACAGAAGGCUUCCACUAUAAGCGGGGCAAUCGAUUGUUUACUUUGUUCCCCGAGCUGGGCAACUUGUUUCCCGCUUUUUUUACUUUCGGCCUUCUCCCGCUCUUUGUUCUCCUUGAACAUGAGUGCCUGCCUGCGAAGUUCACGUGCAUAGUCGUUAGGCAGAUUCUUCGCGGCUUGGGACGGUGUGCUCAAAAAUGACUUAGCCCACUUGUUUUGCUCAUCAGAAAAUACUGGCUUGGGCUCGAGCUCUCUUUUCUUCUUGCAGUCCGCCUUCCAUUUCUCCAAAUCAGCAGCCGCGGCCGCGUCGACUUCCUCGGCACUACGUUCCCAAGGCCUUGUGGGGAGAGGCUUCAGUGAUGGCUCCGGUACCUUUGUGGUCUUAGGUACAUAAGGGUCCGGGUUAAUAAUCCAGGACUGCUUCUGCUUCUUUGCCGGAGGUGGAUUGGGGGGCGGCGUCUGAUCACCCGCCGGACGAGGACUGGGGGGCGGCGGCUGAUCACCCGCCGGACGUUGUGGACUGGGGGGCGGCGUCGGCUGACGUGACGGAGGUGUAGGUGAACCGCCACCACCACCACCACCACCACCACCGCCACCGCCACCACCACCACCGUAGGGGGGUGGACUUGUUGUCCUUGGCGCCUCGCCUGGAAACUUGAUAAACUUCUUUUGCCAUAGAAUGAAAUGGCGCUUGACAUCUCCAAGUCUUUUCUCCCCUUCAGGUGUAGCAAUGUCAAUCUCCAGGUCCUCAAACCCUUGGACUAUGUCCUCCACCGUGACACGAGCAUAGCCAUCUUGAAUGGGGUUGUUGUGGUGGAGUGCUCCAGGUAAACAUGGUAAAGCACUGCCGAUGGCUACCUUCAUGGACAUGUUCCCGAUAGGAUAAUACAGAUGACAUUCUUCUCCGCUGCUGGCUUCCGAGAUCUGCUGGAUGAUCUUCAUGCUGCACCCGAGCUGCAUCUCUUUCGGCUACUAGUACACUCAUGGUUUUCUUCAUCACAUCCAUUUCCGAUGCCAACCGCGCCACAACAUCUGCUUCCCGAUCCACCUUUCUCUUACGGCUUCUGUAACCGUACGGGUCAUCGUUCUGGGGGAACCCUAUUUUCCACGGAAUGUGCCCCAUGCCUCGUACACGUCCUCCGUGUUCAGGAUUCCCGAGGGAUUUUGUCAGCGCGUCGUUCUCUCUGUUGAACUUGAUCUUCCCCUGUUGAGCAUCCCUCAUUGCGUUAAUAAGGGCUUGGGUGGGUUUAAUUAAUUUGCCCCGGUAAACACACUCCCCUGUCUCCGGGUUCAGCGUUCCCCCAUGCCCGUACCACCAACUUUUGGCCCUUGGGUCCCAUCCCUCCGUACCUGCACGGAUUCCUCGCGCCCUCAGCUCGUUCUCCAUCUUCUCCAACCUAGGCACCCAAAUGCGAUACCCUCCUGGCCCCAUAACAUGAUUGUACUCCUUCUUAGCCGCAUUUUCCUUAUUUUUUCGAUAUUUGAAUGAACUGCUCCGAUUUCUUUUGCUUCACAAAUUCUGGCCAAUCAUGUUUCAGUUUCUCAUAUUGUCCUUUGAAAUCCGGAGUCUUGUUCUGCUUGACAAAGUCAUGGGCUAGAUUUUGCUUGAAUUUCCGGAAUGCGUCGGCCAUCUUAUGAAGAGCGAACUGUUUGACUAGCCUCCUCCUCUCCUUGUUUUCUUCAAUCUUGUUACCCUCCUCAUCGAAUUUGUUGUAUUCCGGAGGUAGAACGAAAUGUUCCAUAAGCUUCUUGAAGCAAUCUUUUUUUGUUCUCUUAUCGACAAAAGUGAAACCAUCAAUUCGUGCCUUCUUUGGCUCAUUCCACUCCUGGACGGUGAUCGAGACGUUGUCUCUAACAAUGGCUCCGCAUUGGCUGACAAACUUGGUGGCGUUCUUGCGGGGCUCCAGCGGCCUGCCGGUUGCACUGUCGACAACCUCGAUGGUGCAUGUUUCUCCUUGUUUCAUCGUCUUGGUUGCGCCACGCUUUGACGACGUACUCGAUUGUUUCGACGAUCCGGCCGAGGGCUAAAAUAAGAAAGAGUCGCGCGCGUUAGUACACACAUAUUUAUUCAAAUCAGUUAGUUUGUAUCACCAGAGGCUCAAUGUAUAUAUAUACCUCGGCGCCGGAGGUGGUUGCUACAUCCAUUUGAAGAUCGUCGUUUAUCGACGUUUGUUCGGCAUCAUCUUGCUGACGGCGCCCUUCAUCUUCACCGUCAAGGUUCAGAUAAGAAGAGAUAUCAUCUUCUUCUUCUCCGGUCGGCACAUAUAGAAUAUCGCCGUUUAUGAUGCCGAACAUAUGUGCUUCACCGUCCGGAUCAUAGUUGUCCAUAAUCGGGUCAGCUCUAUCGUCCGCCAUUAUGUCAGUCCUGAAAACAUGUAGUAAAAACAAAUUAAUUAAGUGAAGAAGGGGGGCGGUGGCGGUGGCGGUGGCGAAAGGGUGGUGGCAAAAGGAGGGGGCGAGGAAGGGGUGGGAGAGGGUGUCGCGGUAGAGCGCGAGACGGGGCGGCACGAACGUCAUUUUGUGAAGAAACUUUGCAAGCAAUUAAACAUUUGUCAAUGUUUGGUAAAAAAAAUACAGGUAGCGUCUGUUGCUCCUAAUGAUUGGAAACGGUUUCCAAUUGCCAACGAGGAUUUAGAUCGACUACUACUACUAGUUGCAUUGCUCCCCAUCGGGACGAUGUUGCUCCUAAUCCCCUCCUUUGGAAUCUAUAGUACUAGUGCAUACUAGCUGGCCGUUGACCGUUGUUGCUCAUCGCGUUUUCUCAAAGUCCACUGAUUUUGCUCAGGGCCAGUUCGGAGAUUUUGCUGGUCCACUGAUUUUGGAUCAACGCCGGGAUGGCAUGGGCGCUCGGCGAUGAUGCGAAGUAGACUUGCACAGGCAACGUGAUGUACAUGGAUGUGUCAGUACGGUACGCUCGGCGAUGCCACGGUAUGGAUGACUUCUCGAGUGGAGAUUGGAGAACCAAGUUCGCCGGUGAAACGUCGGCUCCUGAUCAGAUCUGGGGGUCGCGAACUAGCGAUUGGAUCUCGGAAGGGAGUUAGGAAAGCGAACAGACGUGCGUUCAAGGCUACAACUUUUUUUUUCAGGAUCUUGAAAACAGCUACGCGUUCAAGGCCCGGUCCUGAUUUUGCUCAUCUACCCGGGGCGGCGUUCGCACUGCGCGAGGGCCGACUCCGCGGGGUGCUGCCGCGUCGCCUCGUCGACGCUGAGCGAGUUGGCGAGGACCGUGUACAUGGUCGGCACGUCGCCGGCGGAGAGGGUCAUGCUGUCCCCGACCAGCGGCGGCCACGGACGGGGAGGGCGGCGGCGGUGACUGGGAAGGAAUGAUAGGAGAGGAAGGAAGGUCGCGUGGGGUUGAGGGCGGNNNNNNNNNNGGCGAGGAGGGACUCCUUGGCGGAGAGGCGCUCCGUCUCGCGGGCGUAGCUGGCAGCGGGCUCCCACGCCUGCGCGUACACGUCGUCCCGCCGUGCGUUCAAGGCUACAACUUUUUUUUUUAGGAUCUUGAAAACAACUACGCGUUCAAGGCCGGCCCGGUCCUGAUUUUGCUCAUCUACCCGGGGCGGCGUUCGCACUGCGCGAGGGCCGACUCCGCGGGGUGCUGCCGCGUCGCCUCGUCGACGCUGAGCGAGUUGGCGAGCACCGUGUACAUGGUCGGCACGUCGCCGGCGGAGAGGGUCAUGCUGUCCCCGACCAGCGGCGGCCACGGACGGGGAGGGCGGCGGCGGUGACUGGGAAGGAAUGAUCGGAGAGGAAGGAAGGUCGCGUGGGGUUGAGGGCGGGCGAGCGAGGCGGCAGUACCGAGGCUGGCCGGCGGCGCGCGCGCGGUGGGCGAGGGCGACGGCGGGCGGCGUCGAGGGCGAGGGCGACGGCGGGCGGCGUCGAGGGCGCGGCAGAGACGAACAGGCGAGAAACGGCGGGCGGCGUCGAGGGAGCCUUGUAUUUAUAGCCCCCCCNNNNNNNNNNNNNNNNNNNNNNNNNNNNNNNNNNNNNNNNNNNNNNNNNNNNNNNNNNNNNNNNNNNNNNNNNNNNNNNNNNNNNNNNNNNNNNNNNNNNNNNNNNNNNNNNNNNNNNNNNNNNNNNNNNNNNNNNNNNNNNNNNNNNNNNNNNNNNNNNNNNNNNNNNNNNNNNNNNNNNNNNNNNNNNNNNNNNNNNNNNNNNNNNNNNNNNNNNNNNNNNNNNNNNNNNNNNNNNNNNNNNNNNNNNNNNNNNNNNNNNNNNNNNNNNNNNNNNNNNNNNNNNNNNNNNNNNNNNNNNNNNNNNNNNNNNNNNNNNNNNNNNNNNNNNNNNNNNNNNNNNNNNNNNNNNNNNNNNNNNNNNNNNNNNNNNNNNNNNNNNNNNNNNNNNNNNNNNNNNNNNNNNNNNNNNNNNNNNNNNNNNNNNNNNNNNNNNNNNNNNNNNNNNNNNNNNNNNNNNNNNNNNNNNNNNNNNNNNNNNNNNNNNNNNNNNNNNNNNNNNNNNNNNNNNNNNNNNNNNNNNNNNNNNNNNNNNNNNNNNNNNNNNNNNNNNNNNNNNNNNNNNNNNNNNNNNNNNNNNNNNNNNNNNNNNNNNNNNNNNNNNNNNNNNNNNNNNNNNNNNNNNNNNNNNNNNNNNNNNNNNNNNNNNNNNNNNNNNNNNNNNNNNNNNNNNNNNNNNNNNNNNNNNNNNNNNNNNNNNNNNNNNNNNNNNNNNNNNNNNNNNNNNNNNNNNNNNNNNNNNNNNNNNNNNNNNNNNNNNNNNNNNNNNNNNNNNNNNNNNNNNNNNNNNNNNNNNNNNNNNNNNNNNNNNNNNNNNNNNNNNNNNNNNNNNNNNNNNNNNNNNNNNNNNNNNNNNNNNNNNNNNNNNNNNNNNNNNNNNNNNNNNNNNNNNNNNNNNNNNNNNNNNNNNNNNNNNNNNNNNNNNNNNNNNNNNNNNNNNNNNNNNNNNNNNNNNNNNNNNNNNNNNNNNNNNNNNNNNNNNNNNNNNNNNNNNNNNNNNNNNNNNNNNNNNNNNNNNNNNNNNNNNNNNNNNNNNNNNNNNNNNNNNNCGAGGAAGACCAAUCGGCUUAAGGUCAGGAACAAAGUCAACACAAAACUCAAUUACCUCCUCAUUUCCAUAGCCCUUGGCGAUGCUUCCUUCUGGCCUAGCACGGUUACGAACAUAUUUCUUUAAUACUCCCAUGAACCUCUCGAAGGGGAACAUAUUGUGUAGAAAUACAGGACCGAGAACGAAAAUCUCUUCGACUAGGUGAACCAGGAGGUGCGUCAUAAUAUUGAAGAAGGAUGGCGGGAACACCAACUCGAAACUGACAAGACAUUGGAUCACAUCGUUCUGUAACCAUGGUAGAACUUCUGGAUUGAUUACCUUCUGAGAGAUUGCAUUGAGGAAUGCACAUAGCUUCACAAUGGCUACUCGAACAUUUUCCGGCAGGAGCCCCCUCAAAGCAAUCGGAAGCAAUUGCGUCAUAAUCACGUGGCAGUCGUGAGACUUCAGGUUUUGGAACUUUUUCUCCGCCAUGUUUAUUAUUCCUUUUAUAUUGGACGAGAAUCCAGACGGGACCUUCAUACUGCUCAGGCAUUCAAAAAAGAUGACCUUCUCUUCUUUGGUCAGAGCGUAGCUGGCACGACCUUGAAACCAUUCCGGAUGCCGGUCAUCAGGGUCUUUCAAACGUUGCUGGUCCUGCCGUGCUUCCUUUGUAUCAUUUGUCUUCCCAUACACGCCCAAGAAGCUUAGGAGGUUCACGCAAAUAUUCUUCGUAACGUGCAUCACGUCGAUUGCAGAGCGGACAUCUAGGACUUUCCAAUAUUCUAGCUCCCAGAAUAUAGAUUUCUUCUUCCACAUGGCUGCGUUCCCGUCUGCUCCCUUCGGAACUGAUUGUCCGCCAGGACCCUUUCCAAAGAUGACUUUCAAAUCCUUGACCAUAUCAAAUACCUCAGCACCAGUGCAUUCCGCAGGCUUCGGCCGGUGAUCUGCCUUGCCGUUGUAAUGCUUGCCUUUCUUUCUUACUGGAUGAAUUUUCGGAAGAAAUCGAUGAUGCCCAAGGUACACGUUCUUCUUACAAUUUGGCAAAUGUACACUUUCAGUCUCAUGUAAGCAGUGCGUGCAUGCAUUGUAUCCCUUAUUUGACAGUCCCGAAAGGUUACUAAGAGCAGGCCAAUCGUUGAUGGUUACGAAAAGCAACGCUCGUAGGUCAAAUUCCUCUUGUUUGUGCUCAUCCCACACACGGACACCACCCCACAGCUGUAAAAGUUCAUCAACUAAUGGCCUUAGGUACACAUCGAUGUCGUUGCCGGGUUGCUUCGGACCUUGGAUGAGCACUGGCAUCAUAAUGAACUUCCGCUUCAUGCACAACCAAGAAGGAAGGUUGUAGAUGCAUAGAGUCACGGGCCAGGUGCUAUGGCUGGAGCUCUGCUCGCCAAAAGGAUUCAUGCCAUCCGUACUUAGAGCAAAUCUUAUGUUCCUUGCGUCAGCUGCAAAAUCUUUGAACCAUCUGUCGAUCUUUCUCCAUUGCGUUCCAUCUGCGGUGUGUCUCAACUCCCCGUCCGACUUACGGUCCUCUUUGUGCCAUCGCAACAACUUGGCAUGCUCUUUGUUCCUGAACAGACGUUUCAACCGUGGUAUUAUAGGAGCAUACCACAUCACCUUGGCGGGAACCCUCUUCCUGGGUUUCUGGCCCUCAACAUCGUCACCAGGGUCAUCGCCUCUGAUCUUAUAACGCAAUGCAGUGCAUAUCGGGCAUUCAUUCAAAUUCUCGUAUUCACCGCGGUAGAGGAUGCAGUCGUUGAUGCAUGCAUGUAUCUUCAGAACCUCUAAACCUAGAGGGCAGACAACCUUCUUUGCUUCGUACGUACUGGCGGGCAACUCGUUAUCCUUUGGAAACAUACUCUUCAACAUUUUCAGCAAGUUUUCAAAUGCCGAGUCAGCUACACCUGCCUCUGCCUUCCAUUUCAGCAAAUCCAGUGUGCAGCCCAGCUUUUUCAGACCAUCAUCGCAUCCGGGGUACAGCGCCUUUCUGUGAUCCUCUAACAUGCGAUCCAAAUUCUCCCUCUCCUUUUCAGUUUCGCAGCGUCUCCGUGCAUCAGCAAUGGUCCGACCAAGAUCAUCAACGGGAUCAUCACGUGCCUCUUCUUCACCUUCCCCUUCACCUUCAGCAUCCUCCAUGAAAGUAUCACCGAGAUGAGCAAGAUAGCUUUCAUCGAUGAAAUCAUCCCCUUCUUCAUCUUCUUCCAUUAUAACCCCUCUUUCUCCAUGCUUGGUCCAACAAUUAUAGCUUGGCAUGAAACCGUGCCGAAGCAGAUGCAUGUGAACAUCUCUUGAGGAAGAGUAACCCUUCUGAUUCUUACAGAUAACACAUGGACAGAUAACAAAAAACCCCUGCUUGUUCGCAUUAGCCACUACGAGGAAAUCUUUCAAACCCGUAGUGAACUCGCCGGAGAGUCGGUUACCGUACAUCCAUUGCCGAUUCAUCUGCAUUAUUAUAAUAUAAAAUAUAUAAUUAACCAUCAUGCAUUUGUUAAACUAACUAGCUACAAACAAUAUAAAUUAAACAAUGAACUGCACACAUGCAUAUUUUAUCAAUGACACAUCAAAGGUUCAUCAAGUUGCUAACCGCGAUCGAGGAGUGUGGCUCCAACACUUCAUGUCAUGUUUGUUUCAUGCUCUUGGGGCAUUUCAUCAAACACCUUAUGUGCAUAAGAGGAACCAAAAGCAAACCUACACCCACUUGUGAAGAGAAUGGCUCCAAAUGGCUAAGUGUUGGCUGCUGGAUGGGUAUAUAUAGGGGAGGGGCUUUAGUUGCGGUUGGCUUGGCAAACCGUGACUAAAGGUGCCCGAAGGCCUUUAGUCGCGGUUGUCCUGGCCAACCGCGACUAAAGACCCUCACGUGCGCCAGCUGGCCACCGAGCGCCCUGAGCCCAGGCCUUUGGUCGCGGUUCACCUCCAGAACCGCGACUAAAGGUCCCAUUAGUCGCGGUUCCUACAGCUUCGCGACUUAUGGGGCUGGACGGAAGCUUGUUUUUCCACCAGUGUACUAGGUAAGGUGUCGUUCCAGUCAAAUUGAUGAAUUCAUCUUUUGUUACCUUUGUUAUAGGAAUAUAGGCUGCAUUUAUUAGUCAUAUCGAGCUCUCAAGGAGUCAAGAUCUUGUUAACUUACUAAUAAUUUCUAUAUACCUGCAGCGUUAUGGCCUAUGGUGCAGGGCAAAGACAACAAGGACGACAUGCGGCGGCGACGUGGCCAUGGUGAAGCUACUUCGUCCGGCUACCCCAUGGUUGGCGUGUCUGCCGUCCUCUCAAUCUAUCACACGUACGUCCGGUGCAUGCAUGGUGUCGGGCCGAAGAGCACACAAAUCUACAUCCAGGCCCUGGGCACUAGCAACCGCUGAUGCACUUAGCCACUUACCAAUGUAUUCCUAUUGUACGUAUAUAAUAAAGUGGUUAGUACGUCGACGUAGAAAUAGUUAGUAGCUUGCUUUGCACUCACACAAUCGAGUCAUGAUUGUUACUGAUGAUCAAAAUUUUAUGUAUUUUUUAUGCCGGAUGGGUUUACUACUUCUUCUUCGGUUGUAUAUAAAGCUUCCAAAAAAUUAGUAUAUAAUCCUCCAGAAUAAAUCAGUAUAUAGUCCUCCAAAAAAAUGAGUAUAUACACUUUGUAACGCAGCAUAUACCCCAUAAAAAAUGUAGUAUAACGCUGCAGAAAUAAGACAUACUCCUUUUCUAGUUGCAUAUACCCAAUCACAAAACUACACUGAAAUAAUUAGUAGUACAUACUCCUUUUCUAUUUUGGAAAGGAACGUCCAUUUCCCUCUUCAACAAGUGCUUUAUUUUUCUAGGGGUAGCCUUGUGUUUUUACUGCCAUGCGACGACAUUACAAAAUGUAUUACACCCAUUAUUCAUCUAAUUUUUUAUAUACCCUUUUAUGCAUACUUUGAAUUUAUCACUCAUUUGGGCGACCAGCCCGCUCUCUCAUUGCAGCGACUCGACUCUCACAUAAAGCCAGUAUAUACUCACGUAAAAAAAAGCAGUAUAGACUCCCUUACUGAAAAAGAACUAUAUACUCCCCUACCAAAAAAAGUAGUAUAUGCUCCAUUACCAAAAAGGCAGUAUAUACUCAUAUACAAAAGGUGGUAUAUACUGUCUUCCCAAAGUAGUAUAUAUCUUUUUCCUUGCGUUAGAGAAGUAGUAUAACCAGAACAGAUAGUUCAUACUUGUGUGCUGAAAAAAGUAGUAUAUAAAUAUAUAUGUAAGAGUGAGUAUGGUAGAUAUGUAUCGGUCCUUACAAAAAAAAUCAACCACUGUUAUUGUUUAUUUGCACCGAACUAACCUUAUCUGUAUGCUAGGAUCCUUGAAUCUCUCAAUCUGUUGAUGCACAUGCAUGCGUCGGCCGGUGGAGCAAUUAGCAACUAGAUCUAAUAACUGCCAACCUGUUCAGUCCAUGGGAGUACAUACUCCUGGGAGUAUAAAAGAGGAGUCUAUAUAUAUAUAUAUAUAUAUAUAUAUAUACGGUGGCGCUAUUGUGUGCGUGAGCGCAGAUUUACUUAUCGUGCGCGCCGGUCAUUGCGUGCGCCACUCGUAUUCCUAAUGAUGGUAAAAUUCCUGGCAGAAAUAGUAAUAUAAUUUAAUUGGUUACUGCCUGCCACCACCACGGUAGCGAUUUAAUUGGUUAGGUCUACUAGUAAAAAUGCAUAGCAGAAAAAGUAAAAGAGCUAAAAGUAUUACUGUUGGAUGCAUCGGUCCCCGCUUCGACUGCCUACUAGUAAAACACCUCAUAAAAGUAGUAAUAGGAUUACCCUACACGCAUCAGCCCCUUGCCAUACUUGUGAACAGGUAAACUUCAUGUGAAGAAUAGUACUGGAUGGUAACUGUGUUACCAUAGAACGGACACUUGCUAUUAGCUAGCUACAUGGUAAUUUUAUUACCGCUAACUUUCAUCGGUUUAAUACCUAAUCAUGUUACCACUUAUUUUCUUAGUAGUAUUGGAUGGUAACUAUGUUACCACAUGACGAAAAAAUUGCUAUUAGCUAAUAGCUACACGGUAAUUGCAUUACCACUCAUGUGUAGAAGCAUGAUACACGGUCUUUUUUCCAAUUACGUUUGGUCGAAGACGCAAGGGUUUGCUAAUCGCUAAAGUGGGGUCGAAGCAGUAAUAAGUUUCCAACCGUUACCAUGUUUCUUAAGGUAUGUUACGUAUGGGCGCAAGACAUGUUCUUUAAUAGGAGCGGGACAACGGUUGCUUAGACGGAGAAUGGCGCGCAGUCUGGCCGGAGCGUAGAAUUAGACUUCUGCGCUCAGGCUUAGUUUAGCACGUCUAUAUAUAUAUAUAUAUAUAUAUAUAUAUAUAUACAUACAUGUUAGUGGCCUCGACGCUGCUUCUCUAGGGUUUGGGGUCGCCUCGACACAACGCUUCAAGGGUUUGGGGUGGCCUCGACGACAACGUUUUUUUAACUUGAUAAAUUUGGGUGGCCUCGAGAGAGUUAAUUUGUCGGGUAGGGGCGCGGCGGGAGGGGGUAGGAGACCAACAUCGUUUUCUCUCUAGGGUUUGGGUGUCCUCGAGAGUUAUCGGGGAGGGGGUAUCGGUACCACCCCCUAGCUCGUGUUGAAGUUUCUUCUUUCUCCUCUAUUCCUUUCUUUCUUCUUCUCCUCUUCUUUUUCUUCUUCUCCCUCGAGAAAGGAAAAUANNNNNNNNNNNNNNNNNNNNNNNNNNNNNNNNNNNNNNNNNNNNNNNNNNNNNNNNNNNNNNNNNNNNNNNNNNNNNNNNNNNNNNNNNNNNNNNNNNNNNNNNNNNNNNNNNNNNNNNNNNNNNNNNNNNNNNNNNNNNNNNNNNNNNNNNNNNNNNNNNNNNNNNNNNNNNNNNNNNNNNNNNNNNNNNNNNNNNNNNNNNNNNNNNNNNNNNNNNNNNNNNNNNNNNNNNNNNNNNNNNNNNNNNNNNNNNNNNNNNNNNNNNNNNNNNNNNNNNNNNNNNNNNNNNNNNNNNNNNNNNNNNNNNNNNNNNNNNNNNNNNNNNNNNNNNNNNNNNNNNNNNNNNNNNNNNNNNNNNNNNNNNNNNNNNNNNNNNNNNNNNNNNNNNNNNNNNNNNNNNNNNNNNNNNNNNNNNNNNNNNNNNNNNNNNNNNNNNNNNNNNNNNNNNNNNNNNNNNNNNNNNNNNNNNNNNNNNNNNNNNNNNNNNNNNNNNNNNNNNNNNNNNNNNNNNNNNNNNNNNNNNNNNNNNNNNNNNNNNNNNNNNNNNNNNNNNNNNNNNNNNNNNNNNNNNNNNNNNNNNNNNNNNNNNNNNNNNNNNNNNNNNNNNNNNNNNNNNNNNNNNNNNNNNNNNNNNNNNNNNNNNNNNNNNNNNNNNNNNNNNNNNNNNNNNNNNNNNNNNNNNNNNNNNNNNNNNNNNNNNNNNNNNNNNNNNNNNNNNNNNNNNNNNNNNNNNNNNNNNNNNNNNNNNNNNNNNNNNNNNNNNNNNNNNNNNNNNNNNNNNNNNNNNNNNNNNNNNNNNNNNNNNNNNNNNNNNNNNNNNNNNNNNNNNNNNNNNNNNNNNNNNNNNNNNNNNNNNNNNNNNNNNNNNNNNNNNNNNNNNNNNNNNNNNNNNNNNNNNNNNNNNNNNNNNNNNNNNNNNNNNNNNNNNNNNNNNNNNNNNNNNNNNNNNNNNNNNNNNNNNNNNNNNNNNNNNNNNNNNNNNNNNNNNNNNNNNNNNNNNNNNNNNNNNNNNNNNNNNNNNNNNNNNNNNNNNNNNNNNNNNNNNNNNNNNNNNNNNNNNNNNNNNNNNNNNNNUGAAAACACUUUUUUUUGUUUUCUUUCUUGCUUUAUUUAUUUUAUUUUGUUUCUACUUGCAAUAAAAUACUUAUUGUUGUUUUUUUGUUUUGUUUUCUGCAUUAUUUAUUUUCUUUUGUUUUUUGCUUUAUUUUUUAAUUCUUUUUGCUUUUAGUUUUAGGAAAAUUAUAAACUUUCUAUUAGUGCCAUUACUUUUCAAAUUUGAAAACACUUUUUUGUUUUUUAGUUUUCUUUCUUGCUUUAUUUAUUUUAUUUUGUUUCUACUUACAACAAAAUACUUAUUGUUGCUAUUUUUAAUUAUUACGAAGGCCAAACCAUAAGACAUUAAAGCAUUUCAAAUGAACUCUGAAAAAGUUGAAAGUUGGCAUGGUAUCAUAAAUUGACCCACACAUAGCAUGUGCAUGUACAAAACGGACAAUGUUAUCAUACUCGUCAGUUACAAAGUUGGCAUGGUAUCAUCAUAAUAGUUGCGGGAGAAAGUCUUCACUUUUUCUUCGCUUGUGUCAUUUGCUUAUUGCGCCGUAACCAUGGAUAAUCUUCAUCGUUUAUCAGGAUGCUGGGGUCAGCCUUGACUUUAAAGGGAGGAAUUUCAUGAAACUUUUCAUAAUCUUCAGACAUGUCUGUCUUGUCCUCCUCUCCCACGAUGUCCCUUUUUCCUGAAAGAACUAUGUGGCGCUUUGGCUCAUCGUAUGAUGUAUUCGCUUCCUUAUCUUUUCUCUUUCUUGGUCUGGUAGACAUGUCCAUCACAUAGAUAACCUGUGCCACAUCAUUGGCUAGGACGAACGGUUCGUCAGUGUACCCAAGAUUUUUCGGAUCCACUGUUGUCGUUCCGUACUGUGGGUCUACAUGUACCCCGCCUCCUGACAGAUUGACCCAUUUGCACUUAAACAAAGGGACCUUAAAAUCAUGUCCUUAGUCAAGUUCCCAUAUGUCCACUAUGUAACCAUAAUAUGUGUCCUUUCCCCUCUCGGUUGUUGCAUCAAAGCGGACACCGCUGUUUUGGUUGGUGCUCUUUUGAUCUUGGUUAAUCGUGUAAAAUGUCUUCCCAUUUAUCUCAUAUCCUUUCCAAAUCGUAACAGUCGAAGAUGGUCCCCUGGAUAACAAGUACAUCUCAUCACAAACAGCGUUGUCACCUCUGAUACGUGCUUCCAACCAACUGCUGAAAGUCCUGAUGUGUUCACAUGUAAUUCAGUCGUCGCACUGCUCCGGGUGUUUGGAGCGCAGACUGUUCUUGUGUUCAUCCACAUACGGGGUCACCAAGGUAGAGUUCUGUAGAACUGUGUAGUGUGCUUGAGACCAAGAAUAUCUGUCCCUGCAUAUUAUUGAGUCCCUUCCAAGCAUGCCUUUUCCAGUCAGUCUCCCCUCAUACCGCGAUUUAGGGAGACCUAUCUUCUUAUGGCCAGGAAUGAAGUCAACACAAAACCCGAUGACAUCCUCUGUUUGAUGGCCCAUGGAGAUGCUUCCUUCUGGCCUAGCGCGAUGAGGGACAUAUUUCUUUAGGACUCCCAUGAACCUCUCAAAGGGGUACAUAUUGUGUAGAAAUACGGGGCCCAAAAUGACAAUCUCGUCAACUAGAUGAACUAGGACGUGCGUCAUGAUAUUGAAGAAGGAUGGUGGGAACACCAGCUCGAAACUGACAAGACAUUGCACCACAUCACUCCUUAGCCUUGGUAUGAUUUCUGGAUCGAUCACCUUCUGAGAGAUUGCAUUGAGGAAUGCACAUAGCUUCACAAUGGCUAAUCGGACGUUUUCCGGUAGAAGCCCCCUCAAUGCAACCGGAAGCAGUUGUGUCAUAAUCACGUGGCAGUCAUGAGACUUUAGGUUCUGAAACUUUUUCUUUGCCAUAUUUAUUAUUCCUUUUAUAUUCGACGAGAAGCCAGUCGGGACCUUCAUACUAAGCAGGCAUUCAAAGAAGAUUUCCUUCUCUUCUUUGGUAAGAGCAUAGCUGGCAGGACCUUCAUACUGCUUUGGAGGCAUGCCGUCUUUUUCGUGCAAAUGUUGCAGGUCCUCCCGUGCCUCAGCUGUAUCUUUUGUCUUCCCAUACACGCCCAAGAAGCCUAGCAGGUUCACGCAAAGGUUCUUCGUCACGUGCAUCACGUCGAUCGAAGAGCGGACCUCUAGGUCUUUCUAGUAGGGUAGGUCCCAAAAUAUAGAUUUCUUCUUCCACAUGGGUGCGUGUCCCCCAACGUCACUCGGAACAGCUAGUCUGCCGGGACCCUUUCCAAAGAUUACGUGUAAAUCAUUGACCAUAGCAAGUACGUGACCACCGGUACGCAUGGCGGGCUUCUUCCGGUGAUCUGCCUCGCCUUUGAAAUGCUUGCCUUUCUUUCGACAUUGAUGGUUGGUCGGAAGAAAUCGACGAUGGCCCAGGUACACAUUCUUCCUACAGCUUGCCAGGUAUAUACUAACGGUGUCAAGUAAACAGUGCGUGCAUGCGUGGUAUCCCUUGUUUGUCUGUCCUAAAAGGUUACUGAGAGCAGGCCAAUCGUUGAUGGUCACGAACAGCAACGCCUUUAGGUUAAAUUUCUCCUGUUUGUGCUCAUCCCACGUACGUACACCGUUUCCAUUCCACAGCUGUAAAAGUUCUUCAACUAAUGGCCUUAGGUACACAUCAAUGUCAUUGCCGGGUUGCUUAGGGCCUUGGAUGAGAACUGGCAUCAUAAUGAACUUCCGCUUCAUGCACAUCCAAGGAGGAAGGUUAUACAUACAUAGAGUCACGGGCCAGGUGCUGUGAUUGCUGCUCUGCUCCCCGAAAGGAUUAAUGCCAUCCGCACUUAAAGCAAACCAUACGUUCCUUGGCUCACUUGCAAACUCAUCCCAGUACUUUCUCUCAUUUUUCUCCAUUGCGACCCGUCAGCGGGUGCUCUCAACUUCCCGUCUUUCUUACGGUCCUCACUAUGCCAUCGCAUCAACUUGGCAUGCUCUCCGUUUCUGAACAGACGUUUCAACCGUGGUAUUAUAGGAGCAUACCACAUCACCACUACUAGGGAAAAGCCUAUACAUAGAAUCUUACCAGCAGCGCUCUUCAAAAUACAACGCUACUGCUACUUAGCAGCAGCGCGUGUCUGCCAAACACGCUGCUGACUUGGAAGUAGCAGUAGCGGGUGCAUCGCAUACAGCGCUACUGCUAUAGUUGCCAUGACCUUGCCCCCCCCCCCCCNNNNNNNNNNNNNNNNNNNNNNNNNNNNNNNNNNNNNNNNNNNNNNNNNNNNNNNNNNNNNNNNNNNNNNNNNNNNNNNNNNNNNNNNNNNNNNNNNNNNNNNNNNNNNNNNNNNNNNNNNNNNNNNNNNNNNNNNNNNNNNNNNNNNNNNNNNNNNNNNNNNNNNNNNNNNNNNNNNNNNNNNNNNNNNNNNNNNNNNNNNNNNNNNNNNNNNNNNNNNNNNNNNNNNNNNNNNNGCAAACGCGCUACAACUAUCCCUACCUUAUCCCCAUGCGCACGACCGGCCCUCUCACUCACACUCUCACUCUCGCCCACGUCAACCGUCGUCGUCCGUCGCCGCCGCCGCCGCCUUCGUCCGUCCGCCGCCGAGGUACUCCCCUCCUUCCGUCCCUCCUCCAUCCUCCUUGCACAUCCUCCCUCCGCCUGUGGCCGCCCCUCCUUCCUCCGCCGCUGCCCUCCUCCCUCCGCCUGCGGCCGCCCCUCCUCCCUCCUCCGACGGCAGCCCUCCUCCCACCGCCCUCGACCUCGCUGCCCCUAGCUACCUCUCCGUCGCCCCCCACCCCUGCCACUAGUUAGUACUAGAUUUAGUAGUAGUAGAUGUUAAUUUAGGGUUAGCUAGUACUAGAUGUUGCUUAGUUAGUACUAGAUUUUUAGUAGUAGUAGUGGUAGUUGAACUACUUUAGUUGUAGUUGAACUAGUUUAGUAAGUAAAUUAAUAAACGAGUUGAACUAGUUGAAUUAAUAGAACUAAUCUAUUUUUAGUAAGAUAAUUAAUAUAACUAGUUGAACUACUUUAUUUUUAGAAAGAACUAAUUUUUUUCUAUUUAUAUUAAGUUUAUAUUUAGUAAGAACUAGUUGAAUUAAUAAAACUAGUUGAACAUGUCAUGUUUGUUGUUAGUGAUAACUUAUAUGGUUUCAGGUGACCUCCGUCGUCCCCGUCACCGACCCCCUCCGACAUCCCCGUCGUCGUCCCAGUCACCGACCCCCUCCGACAUCGAGGUGAGACCAGCCAAAUAUCCUUGUAUAUCUUGUGUUGUUGCUCAAAUUGGAUAUGUGGUUGCCCAAGUGGCCGUUCAUGUAGUUUACAUCUCCGAGUGGCCUAUGUUUUGCCGGAGUGUUGAUUAAUUUCCGUUCCGACAAAUUUCAGGCGCUCGAUAUGUCCUUUUUUAGCAAAGGUCAUGCCGGAUUUUGUCGUGAAUUCUGGUAUGACUUGUGCUAGAAUAUGUACAAGUUUAAUCUUUGAAUUAUGAUUGUAGGAAAUGUCGUACUCGGACGACGAAGGUCUCCCGGGGGAGUGUAGCUGGUGCCACGACGAUCGAGGUAUGUGCGAUAGGUUCGUUCGGCUGGACGAAGAUCGGCGCUUCAACAUUAAGCUCGAGGAGACCUUCGAUUGUGAAAUGGUACGCAACAACGACAAGUGUUUUUUCUCCAUUAAGCAUGACUUCAACUAUUUCAACGUCUAAUUUUCAUAUUUUACAAUUCGACUAGCUUAUCCCAUGCCAUGCAAGACGCUAUGUCUUGGAGAGGAUGGGUUUUGAAGACCAUGAAAAUUUCAAAACAAAGAAAAUACACCUAAGGACCCAUCAUGAUAUGGAUUUUGAAGUAAACCUGUGCAAUGCUCAGAGCGCAACCCAUUUUGGUUGCCAAAAUUGGGAAGCACUUUGCAAAAUGUAUGGUUUUUAUGAGGGUAUGAUUGUCACCAUGGAUCUUGGUGAUCCUGACAGUGAGGAAGACAAUAUGGACAUUUGGGUCCUUGUUGAUACGCUUCCGAUUGUACCGCUAUGUGACUUUCUCAAACAUAGUUAUUAACUAAUUUAUAUUGUUUAUUUCAAAAUAGUUGAUAGCUUAUUUCCAUUGACAGCUUAUUUUGAUUCUUCAAAGACUGUGCGGAAGAUGGUAGAUAAAACCCACUACACCGAAGGCACCCAAUUAACGUAUAAGGAGAAAAAUCAUCUGAUCGCAUUUUGUACUCUUCUUGAGAAUUACAAUGACUAUAAUCGAACUCCUCCAGAUUAUGGUGAAUAUGUGCCACUAGUGCAUGUGUUGAACAACGAUAACUUAUCUGGAGAUACCCUGGUAAGAUUUUUUACUAUUACGACAUCCGUGUAUUUUUUGCAUACUUCUAAAACUAGUACAUCAUUGCUAACUACGAAGUUAUUAUUAUGUUUUUCAACAGAAACUCCCGAUGGAUUGUGUGCCUCAUCUGAUGUCUCUGCAUGGUCGCCUCUCAGUUCUGAACAUACUGCCAGGUAAAUCUACAGAGCUCACCUAUGCAUAUCAGAUUUCUAAAACCCGUGAACACAUGAUCAUCAGAGAAUGGAAGAAAUGUAUGGACAUUCGCAAGGAGGUUCUUGGAAGUAACAUUCAGCGAAACGUAAGAAUGGGAGACAGGCUAAUCUCCAUUCUCCAUAAUGGAGAGUCAGGGGCUAUCUUGUUUUUUGUUAUUUUACCUUAGAAAAUGUAGUAGGUCUUAAUCGAAUGUAAUAGGUCCUAUGAGGUACAAUAUGUUUAUUAUGUGGUAAUGUGUUAGAGUUGAUAAUGAUGAUCUUGAGGAGGUGUUAUGUGAUGUCAAUGAUGAAAACGAUGAUAUUGAGGAGGUGUUAUAUGACAAUGAUGUAUUAUGAUGCUAAGUUGUUAAUGAUAUGAUGAUGAUGAUGAUAUUAUUAUAUCAUUGGGUGAAAGAACCGUGGAUUAGUUUCAAGUGGAUGGACAUCCACUUGAAACUAGUCCACGGUUCUUUCACCCCAUGAUGUAAUAACUCAUUAUGAUGUAAAAACAAUCUCUAAAUUCCUGUUGUAUGAAAACUUGUGUAAGGGUGUAUGAAUACAACAUGAAAAAGAAAAGAAAUAAAAUACUAAAUAAUAGUAGUAGCGCGGGUAAGGAGAAGCGCUACUACUAAUUACCAGUAGCGAUGUUCUAAAGAACCGCUGCUACUAAGUCAAUUUAGCAGUAGCGCGUGUCAAGACGCGCUAUUGCUAAGCAUUAGCUGUAGCGCCUUAUCAGUAGCGCUCCUGCCCGCGCUACUGAUAGGCCCAAAACCCGCGCUGCUGCUAGGCUUUUCCCUAGUAGUGCACCUUCGCAGGAACCCUCUUCCUGGGGGGCUCGCCGUCAACAUCACCAGGGUCAUCUCGUCUGAUCUUAUACCAUAAUGCACCGCAUACCAGGCAUGCGUUCAGAUCCUUAUAUGCACCGCGGUAGAGGAUGCAGUCAUUAGGGCAUGCAGGUAUCUUCUGCACCUCCAAUCCUAGAGGGCAUACGACCUUCUUUGCUGCGUAUGUACUGUCGGGCAAUUCGUUAUCCUUUGGAAGCUUCUUCUUCAAUAUUUUCAGUAGCUUCUCAAAUCCUUUGUCAGGCACAGCAUUCUCUUAAAGGAAAUAUGCCCUAGAGGCAAUAAUAAAGUUAUUAUUUAUUUCCUCAUAUCAUGAUAAAUGUUUAUUAUUCAUGCUAGAAUUGUAUUAACCGGAAACAUGAUACAUGUGUGAAUACAUAGACAAAACUAUAGUCACUAGUAUGCCUCUACUUGACUAGCUCAUUAAUCAAAGAUGGUUAUGUUUCCUGACCAUAGACAUGUGUUGUCAUUUGAUUAGUGGGAUCACAUCAUUAAGAGAAUGAUGUGAUUGACAUGACCCAUUCUGUUAGCCCAGCACUUGAUCGUUUAGUAUACUGCUAUUGCUUUCUUCAUGACUUAUACAAAGUUCCUGCAACUAUGAGAUUGUGCAACUCCCGUUUACCGGAAGAACACUUUGUGUGCUACCAAACAUCACAACGUAACUGGGUGAUUAUAAAGGUGCUCUACAGGUGUUUCCGAAGGUACAUGUUGGGUUGGCAUAAUUCGAGAUUAGGAUUUGUCACUCCGAUUGUCGGAGAGGUAUCUCUGGGCCCUCUCGGAAAUACUCAUCACAUAAGCCUUGCAAGCAUGUAACUAAUGAGUUAGUUAUGAGAUGACGUAUUACGAAACGAGUAAAGAGACUUGCCGGUAACGAGAUUGAACUAGGUAUUGGAUACCGACGAUCAAAUCUCGGGCAAGUAACAUACCGAUGACAAAGGGAACAAAGUAUGUUGUUAUGCGGUUUGACCGAUAAAGAUCUUCGUAGAAUAUGUAGGAACCAAUAUGGGCAUCCAGGUCCCGCUAUUGGUUAUUGACCGAGAAUGGUUUUAGGUCAUGACUACAUAGUUCUCAAACCCGUAGGGUCCGCACGCUUAACUUUUUGAUGAUAGUUUUAUUAUGAGUUUAUAAGUUUUGAUGUACCAAAGUUUGUUCGGAGUUCCGGAUGUGAUCACGGAUAUGAUGAGGAGUCUCGGAAUGCUUGAGCCAUAAAGAUUGAUAUAUUGGACGACUAUAUUCGGACACCGGAAAGGUUCCGGGAGUUUUCGGAGAAAACCGGAGUGCCCGGGGGGUUACCGAAACCCCCCGGGAGAGUUAAUGGGCCACAUGGGCCUAGGUGGGAAGAGAAAGGGGCGGCCAGGGUGAGCCGCGCGCCCCCUCUCCCUCUAGUCCGAAUUGGACUAGGAGGGGGGGCGGCGCCCCCUUUCCUUCCCCCCCUCUCUUCCUUCCUUCCCCCUCCUAGUAGGAGUAGGAAAGGAGGAAUCCUACUCCUACUAGGAGGAGGAUUCCUCCUCCCUUGCGCGCCCCAAGGGGCCGGCCGGCCUCCCCCUCCCUCCUUUAUAUACGGGGGCAGGGGGCACCCCAUAGACACACAAGUUGAUCUACGGAUCGUUCCUUAGCCGUGUGCGGUGCCCCCUUCCACCAUAUUCCACCUCGGUCAUAUCGUCGCGAAGCUUAGGCGAAGUCCUGCGCCGGUAGAACAUCAAGAUCGUCACCACGCCGUCGUGCUGACGGAACUCUCCCUCGACACUCGGCUGGAUCGGAGUUCGAGGGACGUCAUCGAGCUGAAUGUGUGCUGAACUCGGAGGCUCCGUACGUUCGGUUCUUGGAUCGGUCGGAUCGUGAAGACGUAUGACUACAUCAACCGCGUUGUCAUAACGCUUCCGCUUACGGUCUACGAGGGUACAUGGACAUACACUCUCCCCUCUCGUUGCUAUGUCAUCACCAUGAUCUUGCGUGUGCGUAGGAAAAUUUUGAAAUUACUACGUUCCCCGACAGUGGUAUCAGAGCCUAGGUUUUAUGCGUUGAUGUUAUAUGCACGAGUAGAACACAAGUGAGUUGUGGACGAUAUAAGUCAUACUGCCUACCAGUGUGUCAUACUUUGGUUCAGCGGUAUUGUGAGAUGAAGCGGCCCGGACCGACAUUACGGGUACGCUUACGCGAGACUAGUUUCACCGUUAUGAGCACUCGUGCUUAAAGGUGGCUGGCGGGUGUCUGUCUCUCUCACUUUAGUUGAACCGAGUGUGGCUACGCCCGGCCCUUGUGAAGGUUAAAACGGAGUCUAUUUGACAAACUAUCGUUGUGGUUUUGAUGCGUAGGUAAGAACGGUUCUUGCUAAGCCCGUAGCAUCCACGUAAAAUUUGCAACAACAAAGUAGAGGACGUCUAACUUGUUUUUGCAGGGCAUGUUGUGAUAUGAUAUGGUCAAGACGUGAUGCUAUAUUUUAUUGUAUGAGAUGAUCAUGUUUUGUAACCGAAGUUAUCGGCAACUGGCUGGAGCCAUAUGGUUGUCGCUUUAUUGUAUGAAAUGCAAACGCCCUGUAAUUGCUUUACUUUAUCUCUAAGCGGUAGCGAUAGUCGUAGAAGCAAUAGAUGGCGUAAACGACAACGAUGCUACGAUGGAGAUCAAGGUGUCGCGCCGGUGACGAUGGUGAUCAUGACGGUGCUUCGAAGAUGGAGAUCACAAGCACAAGAUGAUGAUGGCCAUAUCAUAUCACUUAUAUUGAUUGCAUGUGAUGUUUAUCCUUUAUGCAUCUUAUCUUGCUUUGAUUGACGGUAGCAUUUUAAGAUGAUCUCUCACUAAAAUUAUCAAGUAGUGUUCUCCCUGAGUAUGCACCGUUGCCAAAGUUCAUCGUGCCGAGACACCACGUGAUGAUCGGGUGUGAUAAGCUCUACGUCCAUCUACAACGGGUGCAAGCCAGUUUUGCACACGCAGAAUACUCAGGUUAAACUUGACGAGCCUAGCAUAUGCAGAUAUGGCCUCGGAACACAGAGACCGAAAGGUCGAGCGUGAAUCAUAUAGUAGAUAUGAUCAACAUAAUGAUGUUCACCAUUGAAAACUACUCCAUCUCACGUGAUGAUCGGUUAUGGUUUAGUUGAUUUGGAUCACGUGAUCACUUAGAUGACUAGAGAGAUGUCUGUCUAUGUGGGAGUUCUUAAGUAAUAUGAUUAAUUGAACUUAAAUUUAUCAUGAACUUAGUACCUGAUAGUAUCUUGCUUGUCUAUGUUUGUUUGUAGAUAGAUGGCUCGUGCUGUUGUUCCGUUGAAUUUUAAUGCGUUCCUUGAGAAAGCAAAGUUGAAAGAUGAUGGUAGCAAUUACACGGACUGGGUCCGUAACCUGAGGAUUAUCCUCAUUGUUGCACAGAAGAGUUACGUCCUGGAAGCACCGCUGGGUGCCAGGCCUGCUGCUGAUGCAACUGACGACGUUAAGAACGUCUGGCAGAGCAAAGCUGAUGACUACUCUAUAGUUCAGUGUGCCAUGCUUUACGGCUUAGAACCGGGUCUUCAACGACGUUUUGAACGUCAUGGAGCAUAUGAGAUGUUCCAGGAGUUGAAGUUAAUAUUUCAAGCAAAUGCCCGGAUUGAGAGAUAUGAAGUCUCCAAUAAGUUCUAUAGCUGCAAGAUGGAGGAGAAUAGUUCUGUCAGUGAACAUAUACUCAGAAUGUCUGGGUAUAACAAUCACUUGAUUCAACUGGGAGUUAAUCUUCCUGAUGAUAGUGUCAUUGACAGAAUUCUUCAAUCACUGCCACCAAGCUACAAGAGCUUUGUGAUGAACUAUAAUAUGCAAGGGAUGAACAAGACUAUUCCCGAGCUCUUCGCGAUGCUGAAAGCCGCAGAGGUAGAAAUCAAGAAGGAGCAUCAAGUGUUGAUGGUCAACAAGACCACUAGUUUCAAGAAGAAGGGCAAAGGAAAGAAGAAGGGGAACUUCAAAAAGAACGGCAAGCAAGUUGCUGCUCAAGAGAAGAAACCCAAGUCUGGACCUAAGCCUGAAACUGAGUGCUUCUACUGCAAGCAGACUGGUCACUGGAAGCGGAACUGCCCCAAGUAUUUGGCGGAUAAGAAGGAUGGCAAAGUAAACAAAGGUAUAUGUGAUAUACAUGUUAUUGAUGUGUACCUAACUAGAGCUCGUAGUAGCACCUGGGUAUUUGAUACUGGUUCUGUUGCUAAUAUUUGCAACUCGAAACAGGGACUACGGAAUAAGCGAGCACUGGCCAAGGACGAGGUGACGAUGCGCGUGGAAAACGGUUCCAAAGUCGAUGUGAUCGCGGUCGGCACGCUACCUCUACAUCUACCAUCGGGAUUAGUUUUAGACCUAAAUAAUUGUUAUUUGGUGCCAGCGUUGAGCAUGAACAUUAUAUCUGGAUCUUGUUUGAUGCAAGACGGUUAUUCAUUUAAAUCAGAGAAUAAUGGUUGUUCUAUUUAUAUGAGUAAUAUCUUUUAUGGUCAUGCACCCUUGAAGAGUGGUCUAUUUUUAUUGAAUCUCGAUAGUAGUGAUACACAUAUUCAUAUUGUAGAAGCCAAAAGAUGCAGAGUUGAUAAUGAUAGUGCAACUUAUUUGUGGCACUGCCGUUUGGGUCAUAUCGGUGUACAACGCAUGAAGAAACUCCAUACUGAUGGACUUCUGGAAUCACUUGAUUAUGAAUCACUUGGUACUUGCGAACCGUGCCUUAUGGGCAAGAUGACUAAAACACCGUUCUCCGGAACUAUGGAGAGAGCAACAGAUUUGUUGGAAAUCAUACAUACAGAUGUAUGUGGUCCGAUGAAUGUUGAGGCUCGUGGCGGAUAUCAUUAUUUUCUCACCUUCACUGAUGAUUUAAGCAGAUAUGGGUAUAUCUACUUAAUGAAGUACAAGUCUGAAACAUUUGAAAAGUUCAAAGAAUUUCAGAGUGAAGUAGAAAAUCAUCGUAACAAGAAAAUAAAGUUUCUACGAUCUGACCGUGGAGGAGAAUAUUUGAGUUACGAGUUUGGUUUACAUUUGAAACAAUGCGGAAUAGUUUCGCAACUCACGCCACCUGGAACACCACAACGAAAUGGUGUGUCCAAACGUCGUACUCGUACUUUACUUGAUAUGGUGCGAUCUAUGAUGUCUCUUACCGAUUUACCGCUAUCGUUUUGGGGUUAUGCUUUAGAGACGGCCGCAUUCACGUUAAAUAGGGCACCAUCAAAAUCCGUUGAGAUGACGCCUUAUGAACUGUGGUUUGGCAAGAAACCAAAGUUGUCGUUUCUUAAAGUUUGGGGCUGCGGUACUUAUGUGAAGAAACUUCAACCAGAUAAGCUCGAACCCAAAUCGGAGAAAUGUGUCUUCGUAGGAUACCCAAAGGAGACUAUUGGGUACACCUUCUAUCACAGAUCUGAAGGCAAGAUUUUCGUUGCUAAAUUCGGAUCCUUUCUAGAGAAGGAAUUUCUCUCGAAAGAAGUGAGUGGGAGGAAAGUAGAACUUGAUGAGAUAACUGUAUCUACUCCCUUAUUGGAAGGUAGUUCAUCACGAGAACUGGUUCCCAUGACAACUACACCAAUUAUUGAGGAAGCUAAUAAUAUUGAUCAUGAAACUUCAGAUCAAGUUUCUGCUGAACCUCGUAGGUCUACCAGAGUAAGAUCCGCACCAGAGUGGUACGGUAAUCCUAUUCUGGAAGUCAUGUUACUUGACCAUGAUGAACCUACGAACUAUGAGGAACCGAUGAUGAGCCCAGAUUCCGCAAAAUGGCUAGAGGCCAUGAAAUCUGAGAUGGGAUCCAUGGAUGAAAACAAAGUAUGGACUUUGGUUGACUUGCCCGAUGAUCGGCAAGCCAUUGAGAAUAAAUGGAUCUUUAAGAAGAAGACUGACGCUGAUGGUAAUGUUACUGUCUAUAAAGCUCGACUUGUUGCGAAAGGUUUUCGACAAGUUCAAGGGGUUGACUAUGAUGAGACUUUCUCACCCGUAGCGAUGCUUAAGUCUGUCCGAAUCAUGUUGGCUAUUGCUGCAUUUCAUGAUUAUGAAAUUUGGCAAAUGGAUGUCAAAACUGCAUUCUUGAAUGGAUUUCUAGAAGAAGAGUUGUAUAUGAUGCAGCCGGAAGGUUUUGUUGAUCCAAAAGGUGCUGACAAAGUGUGUAAGCUCCAAUGUUCCAUUUAUGGACUGGUGCAAGCAUCUCGGAGUUGGAAUAAACGUUUUGACAGUGUGAUCAAGGCAUAUGGUUUUAUACAGACUUUUGGAGAAGCCUGUAUUUACAAGAAAGUGAGUGGGAGCUCUGUAGCAUUUCUAGUUUUAUAUGUUGAUGACAUAUUAUUAAUUGGAAAUGAUAUAGAAUUUCUGGAGAGCAUAAAGGGAUACUUGAAUAAAAGUUUUUCAAUGAAAGACCUCGGUGAAGCUGCUUACAUAUUGGGCAUCAAGAUCUAUAGAGAUAGAUCAAGACGCUUAAUAGGACUUUCACAAAGCACAUACCUUGACAAAAUUUUGAAAAAGUUCAAAAUGGAUCAGGCAAAGAAAGGAUUCUUGCCUGUGCUACAAGGUGUGAAGUUGAGUCAAACUCAAUGCCCGACCACAUCAGAAGAUAGAGAGAAAAUGAAAAAUGUUCCCUAUGCUUCAGCCAUAGGCUCUAUCAUGUAUGCAAUGCUGUGUACCAGACUUGACGUAUGCUUAGCAAUAAGCUUGGCAGGAAGGUACCAAAGUAAUCCAGGAGUGGAUCACUGGACAGCGGUCAAGAACAUCCUUAAAUACCUGAAAAGGACUAAGGAUAUAUUUCUCGUAUAUGUAGGUGACAAAGAGCUCGUCGUAAAUGGUUACGUCGAUGCAAGCUUUGACACUGAUCCAGACGAUUCUAAAUCGCAAACCGGAUACGUGUUUAUAUUAAACGGUGGAGCUGUAAGUUGGUGCAGUUCUAAACAAAGCGUCGUGGCGGGAUCUACAUGUGAAGCGGAGUACAUAGCUGCUUCUGAAGCAGCAAAUGAAGGAGUCUGGAUGAAGGAGUUCAUUUCCGAUCUAGGUGUCAUACCUAGUGCAUCGGGACCAAUGAAGAUCUUCUGUGACAAUACAGGUGCAAUUGCUUUGGCAAAGGAAUCCAGAUUUCACAAGAGGACCAAGCACAUCACGAGACGCUUAAAUUCCAUUCGGGACCAAGUCCAAGUGGGAGACAUACAGAUUUGCAAGAUACAUACGGAUCUGAAUAUUGCAGACCCGUUGACUAAGCAUCUCUCACGAGCAAAACAUGAUCAGCACCAAGACUCCAUGGGUGUUAGAAUCAUUAUUGUGUAAUCUAGAUUAUUGACUCUAGUGCAAGUGGGAGACUAAAGGAAAUAUGCCCUAGAGGCAAUAAUAAAGUUAUUAUUUAUUUCCUCAUAUCAUGAUAAAUGUUUAUUAUUCAUGCUAGAAUUGUAUUAACCGGAAACAUGAUACAUGUGUGAAUACAUAGACAAAACUAUAGUCACUAGUAUGCCUCUACUUGACUAGCUCAUUAAUCAAAGAUGGUUAUGUUUCCUGACCAUAGACAUGUGUUGUCAUUUGAUUAGUGGGAUCACAUCAUUAAGAGAAUGAUGUGAUUGACAUGACCCAUUCUGUUAGCCUAGCACUUGAUCGUUUAGUAUACUGCUAUUGCUUUCUUCAUGACUUAUACAAAGUUCCUGCAACUAUGAGAUUGUGCAACUCCCGUUUACCAAAAGAACACUUUGUGUGCUACCAAACGUCACAACGUAACUGGGUGAUUAUAAAGGUUCUCUACAGGUGUUUCCGAAGGUACAUGUUGGGUUGGCAUAAUUCGAGAUUAGGAUUUGUCACUCCGAUUGUCGGAGAGGUAUCUUUGGGCCCUCUCGGUAAUACUCAUCACAUAAGCCUUGCAAGCAUGUAACUAAUGAGUUAGUUAUGAGAUGACGUAUUACGGAACGAGUAAAGAGACUUGCCGGUAACGAGAUUGAACUAGGUAUUGGAUACCAACGAUCAAAUCUCGGGCAAGUAACAUACCGAUGACAAAGGGAACAAAGUAUGUUGUUAUGCGGUUUGACCGAUAAAGAUCUUCAUAGAAUAUGUAGGAACCAAUAUGGGCAUCCAGGUCCCGCUAUUGGUUAUUGACCGAGAAUGGUUUUAGGUCAUGACUACAUAGUUCUCGAACCCGUAGGGUCCGCACGCUUAACGUUUCGAUGAUAGUUUUAUUAUGAGUUUAUAAGUUUUGAUGUACCGAAGUUUGUUCGGAGUCCCAGAUGUGAUCACAGACAUGACGAGGAGUCUUGGAAUGGUCGAGACAUAAAGAUUGAUAUAUUGGACGACUAUAUUCGGACACCGGAAAGGUUCCGGGAGUUUUCGGAGAAAACCGGAGUGCCGGGGGGGUUACCGGAACCCCCCGGGAGAGUUAAUGGGCCACAUGGGCCUAGGUGGGAAGAGAGAGGUGCGGCCAGGGUGGGCCGCGCGCCCCCUCUCCCUCUAGUUCGAAUUGGACUAGGAGGGGGGGCGGCGCCCCCCUUUCCUUCCCCCCCUCUCUUCCUUCCUUCCCCCUCCUAGUAGGAGUAGGAAAGGAGGAAUCCUACUCCUACUAGGAGGAGGAUUCCUCCUCCCUUGGAGCGCCCCAAGGGGCUGGCCGGCCUCCCCCUCCCUCCUUUAUAUACGAGGGCAGGGGGCACCCCAUAGACACACAAGUUGAACUACGGAUCGUUCCUUAGCCGUGUGCGGUGCCCCCUUCCACCAUAUUCCACCUCGGUCAUAUUGUCGCGAAGCUUAGGCGAAGCCCUGCGCCGGUAGAACAUCAAGAUCGUCACCACGCCGUCGUGCUGACGGAACUCUCCCUCGACACUCGGCUGGAUCGGAGUUCGAGGGACGUCAUCGAGCUGAACAUCUGCUGAACUCGGAGGCUCCGUACGUUAGGUGCUUGGAUCGGUCGGAUCGUGAAGACGUACGACUACAUCAACCGCGUUGUCAUAACGCUUCCGCUUACGGUCUACGAGGGUACGUGGACAUACACUCUCCCCUCUCGUUGCUAUUUCAUCACCAUGAUCUUGCUUGUGCGUAGGAAAAUUUUGAAAUUACUACGUUCCCCAACAUCUCUGCCUUCCACUGCAGCAAUUCCAGUACGGUACCGAGCUUUGUGUUGCCAUCUUCGCAAUUGGGGUACAACCCUUUUUUUUGGUCCUCUAGCAUGCGAUCGAACUUCAGCUUCUCCUUUUGACUUUUGCAUUGCGUCCUUGCAUCGACAAUGACCCGGCGGAGAUCAUCAUCAUCGGGCACAUCGUCUGGUUCCUCUUGAUCUUCAGCAGCUUCGCCUGUUGCAGCAUCAUCGUGCACAUCGUCUGGUUCCUCUUGAUCUUCAGGAGCAUCACCGUAUUCAGGGGCACAUAGUUGUCAUCGUACUCUUCUUCACCGUCUUCCAUCAUAACCCCUAUUUCUCCGUGCCUCAUCCAAACAUUAUAGUGUGGCAUGAAACCCUUGUAAAGCAGGUGGGUGUGGAGGAUUUUCCGGUCAGAGUAAGACUUCGUAUUCCCACAUAUAGGACAUGGACAACACAUAAAACCAUUCUGCUUGUUUGCCUCAGCCACUUCGAGAAAAUCAUGCACGCGCUUAAUGUACUCGGAGGUGUGUCUUGAACCGUACAUCCAUUGCCGGUUCAUCUGCGUGCAUUAUAUAAUGAAGUGACCAAAUUAAUAGAAGUUCAUCAUCACAUUAAAACCAAAGUACAUACAUAGUUCUCAUCUAACAACAUAAAGCUCUGCAGAGCAUCUAAAUUAAUUAAACCAUACACUGAAACUAUGUAAAACAUUUCAAUGCGAAAACAAAUGCAACCAUAAUCGCAACCAAUGUAACAACUGAUCCAACGGCAUAAUGAUACCAAGCCUCAGUAUGAAUGGCAUAUUUUCUAAUCUUUCUAAUCUUCAAGCGCAUUGCAUCCAUCUUGAUCUUGUGAUCAUCGACGACAUCCCCAACAUGCAACUCCAAUAUCAUCUUCUCCUCCUCAAUUUUUCUAAUUUUUUCCUUCAAGAAAUUGUUUUCUUCUUCAACUGAAUUUAACCUCUCGACAAUAGGGUCGGUUGGAAUUUCCGGUUCAACAACCUCCUAGAUAAAUAAAAUCUAUGUCACGUUGGUCGGCAUAAUUGUCAUAAACAAUAAAUGAACCAAUAGUUAUGAAAAGAUAAUAUAUACCACAUCCGAAUCAUAGACAGGACGAGGGCCGACGGGGGCGGAUACCAAAACCAUCGCACUAUAUAAGAUGCAAUAAUAAAAGUAAGAAAAUAAUACAAGUAUCUAUCUAAACAUACAAGUAAGAAUAUUUUUCCUUUCAGAAAGAAGAUAAGAACAAGAGGCUCACCACGGUGGUGCCGGCGAUGAGAUCGGCGCGGGUGAUCGACGACGAUGAAGACAAGGACGGGGCGUGACGGACCGCUAAACCUAGACAAAUAUUGAGGAAAAUGGAGCUUGGCGGUCGAGCUUGGAGGGGAGAAAGCUUAAGUAGUGUGGCUCGGGCAUUCCAUCGAACACCUCGUGUGCAUAGGAGGUGAGCUAGAGCACCACAAAGCUCUCCCCUCGCCGGCCACGAAAAACAGAGCACUGGGAGUGCUCUGCUCGCGAGCGGGGGGUAUAUAUAGGCACCACCAUUGGUCCCGGUUGGUCGCACGAACCGGGACUAAAGGUUGGCCUUUGGUCCCGGUUCGUGCCACCAACUGGGACCAAUGGUGGUGGGCCAGGAGCGAGGCCCAUUGGUCCCGGUUCGUCCCUCCAACCGGGACCAAAAGGUCCAGACAAACCGGGACCAAUGGCCCACGUGUUGGGUUUCGUAGUAAUUUCAAAAAAUUUCCUACGCACACGCAAGAUCAUGUGAUGCAUAGCAACGAGGGGAGAGUGUUGUCUACGUACCCAACGCAGACCGACUGCGGAAGCGAUGACACGACGUAGAGGAAGUAGUCGUACGUCUUCACGAUCCAACCGAUCAAGCACCGAAACUACGGCACCUCCGAGUUCGAGCACACGUUCAGCUCGAUGACGAUCCCCGGACUCCGAUCCAGCAAAGUGUCGGGGAAGAGUUCCGUCAGCACGACGGCGUGGUGACGAUCUUGAUGAACUACAGCAGCAGGGCUUCGCCUAAACUCCGCUACAGUAUUAUCGAGGUAUAUGGUGGCAGGGGCACCGCACACGGCUAAGGAAUAGAUCACGUGGAUCAACUUGUGUGUAUAGAGGUGCCCCCUGCCUCCGUAUAUAAAGGAGGAGAGGAGGGGAGGCUGGCCGGCCAAGGAGGGGAGGCGCAGGAGAGUCCUACUCCCUCUGGGAGUAGGAUUCCCCCCAAUCCUAGUCCAACUAGGAUUCCUCGGAGGGGAAGGGAGAGAGGGGGGCCGGCCACCUUCUCCUAGUCCUAAUAGGACUAGGGGAGGGGGAAGUGGCGCAGCCACCUUGGGCUGCCCCUUUCUCCUUUCCACUAAGGCCCAUGAAGGCCCAUAUGGCUCCCGGGGGGUUCCGGUAAUCCUCCCGGUACUCCGGUAAAAUCCCGAUUUCACCCGGAACACUUCCGAUGUCCAAACAUAGGCUUCCAAUAUAUCAAUCUUUAUGUCUCGACCGUUUCGAGACUCCUCGUCAUGUCCAUGAUCACAUCCGGGACUCCAAACAACCUUCGGUACAUCAAAAUGCAUAAACUCAUAAUGUAACUGUCAUCGUAACCUUAAGCGUGCGGACCCUACGGGUUCGAGAACAAUGUAGACAUGACCGAGACACGUCUCCGGUCAAUAACCAAUAGCGGGACCUGGAUGCCCAUAUUGGCUCCUACAUAUUCUACGAAGAUCUUUAUCGGUCAGACCGCAUAACAACAUACGUUGUUCCCUUUGUCAUCGGUACGUUACUUGCCCGAGAUUCGAUCGUCGGUAUCCAAUACCUAGUUCAAUCUCGUCACCGGCAAGUCUCUUUACUCGUUCUAUAAUGCAUCAUCCCGUAACCAACUCAUUGGUCACAUUGCUUGCAAGGCUUAUAAUGAUGUGCAUUACCGAGAGGGCCCAGAGAUACCUCUCCGACAAUCGGAGUGACAAAACCUAAUCUCGAAAUACGCCAACUCAACAUGUACCUUCGGAGACACCUGUAGUACUCCUUUAUAAUCACCCAGUUAAGUUGUGACGUUUGGUAGUACCCAAAGUGUUCCUCCGGUAAACGGGAGUUGCAUAAUCUCAUAGUUACAGGAACAUGUAUAAGUCAUGAAGAAAGCAAUAGCAACAUACUAAACGAUCAAGUGCUAAGCUAACGGAAUGGGUGAAGUCAAUCACAUCAUUCUCCUAAUGAUGUGACCCCGUUAAUCAAAUGACAACUCUUUUGUCCAUGGCUAGGAAACAUAACCAUCUUUGAUAAACGAGCUAGUCAAGUAGAGGCAUACUAGUGACACUAUGUUUGUCUAUGUAUUCACACAUGUAUUAUGUUUCUGGUUAAUACAAUUCUAGCAUGAAUAAUAAACAUUUAUCAUGAAAUAAGGAAAUAAAUAAUAACUUUAUUAUUGCCUCUAGGGCAUAUUUCCUUCAGUCUCCCACUUGCACUAGAGUCAAUAAUCUAGUUCACAUCGUCAUGUGAUUUAACAACAAUAUUCAUAUCUGUAUAUGAUUAACACCCAUAGUUCACAUUAUCAUGUGACCAACACCCAAAGGGUUUACUAGAGUAAAUAAUCUAGUUCACAUCUCUAUGUGAUUAACACCCAAAGAGUACUAAGGUGUGAUCAUGUUUUGCUCGUGAAAGAAGCUUAGUCAAUGGGUCUGUCACAUUCAGAGCCGUAUGCAUUUUGCAAAUAUUUUAUGUCUACAAUGCUCUGCACGGUGCUACUCUAGCAAUUGCUCCCACUUUCAAUAUGUAUCCAGAUUGAGACUUAGAGUCAUCUGGAUCGGUGUGAAAACUUGCACCGAGGUAACUUUUACGACGGGCUCUUUUAUCACCUCCAUAAUCGAGAAAUAUUUCCUUAGUCCUCACUAAGGAUAUUCUUGACCAAUGUCGAGUGAUCUACUCCUAGAUCACUAUUGUACUCCCUUGUCAAAUACUGAGCAAGGUAUACAAUAGUUCUGGUACAUAGCAUAGCAUACUUUAUAGAACCUAUGACUGAGGCAUAGGGAAUGACUUUUCAUUUUUUCUAUUUUCUGUUGUGGUCGGGAUUUGAGUCUUACUCAAUUUCAUACCUUUGCAACACAGGCAAGAACUCUUUCUUUGACUGUUCCAUUUUGAACUAUUUCAAAAUCUUGCCAAGGUAUGUACUCAUUGAAAAUCUUAUCAAGCGUCUUGAUCUAUCUCAAUAUAUCUUGAUGCUCAAUAUGUAAGUAGCUUUUACUGAGGUCUUUUCCUUUUAAAGAACUCCUUUAAAACACUCCUUUAUGCUUUGCAGAAAAAUUCUACAUCAUUUCUGAUCAACAAUAUGUCACUCGUAUAUACUAAUCAGAAAGGCUAUAGUGCUCCCACUCACUUUAUUGUAAAUACAGGCUUCUCAAAAAGUCUGUAUAAAACCAUAUGCUUUGAUCAACUCAUCAAAGCGUAUAUUCCAACUCCGAGAGGCUUGCACCAGUCCAUAGAUGGAUCGCUGGAGCUUGCACAUUUUUUUAGCACCUUUAGGAUUGACAAAACCUUCUGGUUGCAUCAUAUACAACUCUUCUUUAAUAAAUCCAUUAAGGAAUGCAGUUUUGAUAUCCAUUUGCCAGAUUUCAUAAAAUGUGGCAAUUGCUAACAUGAUUCAGACAGACUUAAGAAUCGAUACGAGUGAGAAAAUCUCAUCGUAUUCAACACCUUGAACUUGUUGAAAACCUUUCGCAACAAGUCGAGCUUGGUAGAUAGUAACACUACUAUCAGUGUCCGUCUUCCUCUUGAAGAUCCAUUCAUUUAACAUGGCUUGCUGAUCAUCGAGCAAGUCAAUCAAAGUCCAUACUUUGUUCUCAUACAUGGAUCAUAUCUCAGAUUUUAUGGCCUCGAGCCAUUUCGCGGAAUCUGGGCUCAUCAUCGCUUCUUCAUAGUUCGUAGGUUCAUCAUGAUCUAGUAUCAUGACUUCCAGAAUAGGAUUACCGUACCAUUCUGGUGCGGAUCUUACUCUGGUUGAUCUACGAGGUUCAUCAGUAUCUUGAUCUGAAGUUUCAUGAUCAUUAUCAUUGGCUUCCUCACUAACUGGUGUAGGUGUCACUGAAACAGUUUUCUGUGAUGAACUACUUUCCAGUAAGGGAGCAGGUACAGUUACCUCGUCAAGUUCUACUUUCCUCCCACUCACUUCUUUCGAGAGAAACUCCUUCUCUAGAAAGGAUCCAUUCUUAGCAACGAAUGUCUUGCCUUCGGAUCUGUGAUAGAAGGUGUACCCAAUAGUCUCCUUUGGGUAUCCUAUGAAGACACAUUUCUCCGAUUUGGGUUCGAGCUUAUCAGGUUGAAGCUUUUUCACAUAAGCAUCGCAGCCCCAAACUUUAAGAAACGACAACUUUGGUUUCUUGCCAAACCACAGUUCAUAAGGCGUCGUCUCAACGGAUUUUGAUGGUGCCCUAUUUAACGUGAAUGCGGCCGUCUCUAAAGCAUAUCCCCAAAAUGAUAGCGGUAAAUCAGUAAGAGACAUCAUAGAUCGCACCAUAUCUAGUAAAGUACGAUUACGAUGUUCGGACACACCAUUACGCUGUGGUGUUCCGGGUGGCGUGAGUUGCGAAACUAUUCCACAGUUUUUCAAAUGUACACCAAACUCGUAACUCAAAUAUUCUCCUCCACGAUCAGAUCGUAGAAACUUUAUUUUCUUGUUACGAUGAUUUUCAACUUCACUCUGAAAUUCUUUGAAAUUUUCAAAUGUUUCAGACUUAUGUUUCAUUAAGUAGAUAUACCCAUAUCUGCUUAAAUCAUCUGUGAAGGUGAGAAAAUAACGAUAUCCGCCACGAGCCUCAGUAUUCAUCGGGCCACAUACAUCGGUAUGUAUGAUUUCCAACAAAUCUGUUGCUCUCUCCAUAGUACCGGAGAACGGUGUUUUAGUCAUCUUGCCCAUGAGGCACGGUUCGCAAGUACCAAGUGAUUCAUAAUCAAGUGGUUCCAAAAGUCCAUCAGUAUGGAGUUUCUUCAUGCGCUUUAUACCGAUAUGACCUAAACGACAGUGCCACAAAUAAGUUGCACUUUCAUUAUCAACUCUGCAUCUUUUGGCUUCAACAUUAUGAAUAUGUGUAUUACUACUAUCGAGAUCCAACAAACCAUUUUCAUUGGGUGUAUGACCAUAGAAGGUUUUAUUCAUGUAAACAGAACAACAAUUAUUCUCUAACUUACAUGAAUAACCGUAUUGCAAUAAACAUGAUCAAAUCAUAUUCAUGCUCAACGCAAACACCAAAUAACACUUAUUUAGGUUUAACACUAAUCCCAAAAGUAUAGGGAGUGUGCGAUGAUGAUCAUAUCAAUCUUGGAACUAUUUCCAACACACAUCGUCACUUCACCCUUUAACUAGUCUCUGUUUAUUCUGCAACUCCCGUUUCGAGUUACUAAUCUUAGCAACUGAACUAAUAUCAAAUACUGAGGGGUUGCUAUAAACACUAGUAACGUACACAUCAAUAACAUGUAUAUCAAAUAUACUUAUGUUCACUUUGCCAUCCUUCUUAUCCGCCAAUCACUUGGGGUAGUACCUCUUCCAGUGACCAGUCUCUUUGAAGUAGAAGCACUUAGUCUCAGGCUUAGGACCAGACUUGGGUUUCUUCACUUGAGCAGCAACUUGCUUGCCGUUCUUCUUGAAGUUCCCUUUCUUUCCCUUUGCCCUUUUCUUGAAACUAGUGAUCUUGUUAACCAUCAACACUUGAUGCUCUUUCUUGAUUUCUACCUUCGUUGAUUUCAGCAUCAUGAAGAGCUUGGGAAUCGUUUUCGUCAUCCCUUGCAUACUAUAGUUCAUCACGAAGUUCUAGUAACUUAGUGAUGGUGACUAGAGAAUUCUGUCAAUCACUAUCUUACCUGGAAGAUUAACUCCCACUUGAUUCAAGCGAUUGAAAUACCCAGACAAUCUGAGCACAUGCUCACUAGUUGAGCGAUUCUCCUCCAUCUUUUAGCUAUAGAACUUGUUGGAGACUUCAUAUCUCUCAACUCGGGUAUUUGCUUGAAAUAUUAACUUCAAUUCCUGGAACAUCUCAUAUGGUCCAUGACGUUCAAAACGUCUUUGAAGUCCCGAUUCUAAGCCGUUAAGCAUGGUGCACUAAACUAUCAAGUAGUCAUCAUCUUGAGCUAGCCAGACGUUCAUAACUUCUGCAUCUGCUCCUGCAAUAGGUCUGUCACCUAGCGGUGCAUUAAGGACAUAAUUCUUCUGUGCAGCACUGAGGAUAAACCUCAGAUCACGGAUCGAAUCCGCAUCAUUGCUACUAACAUUUUUCAACACAAUAUUCUCUAGGAACAUAUCAAAAUAAACAUAUGAAAGCAACAACGCGAGCUAUUGAUCUACAACAUAAUUUGCAAAAUACUACUAGGACUAAGUUCAUGAUAAAUUAAAGUUCAAUUAAUCAUAUUACUUAAGAACUCCCACUUAGAUAGACAUCCCUCUAAUCCUCUAAGUGAUCACGUGAUCCAAAUCAACUAAACCAUGUCCGAUCAUCACGUGAGAUGGAGUAGUUUCAAUGGUGAACAUCACUAUGUUGAUCAUAUCUACUAUAUGAUUCACGCUCGACCUUUCGGUCUCUGUGUUCCGAGGCCAUAUCUGUAUAUGCUAGGCUCGUCAAGUAUAACCUGAGUAUUCCGCGCGUGCAACUGUUUUGCACCCGUUGUAUUUGAACGUAGAGCCUAUCACACCCGAUCAUCACGUGGUGUCUCAGCACGACGAACUUUGGCAACGGUGCAUACUCAGGGAGAACACUUCUUGAUAAUUUAGUGAGAGAUCAUCUUAUAAUGCUACCAUCAAUAAAAGCAAGAUAAGAUGCAUAAAAAGAUAAACAUCACAUGCAAUCAAUAUAAGUGAUAUGAUAUGGCCAUCAUCAUCGUGUGCUUGUGAUCUCCAUCUCCGAAGCACCGUCAUGAUCACCAUCGUCACCGGCGCGACACCUUGAUCUCCAUCGUAGCAUCGUUGUCGUCUCGCCAAUCUUAUGCUUCCACGACUAUCACUACUGUUUAGUAAUAAAGUAAAGCAUUACAUCGCGAUUGCAUUGCAUACAAUAAAGCGACAACCAUAUGGCUCCUGCCAGUUGCCGAUAACUCGGUUACAAAACAUGAUCAUCUCAUACAAUAAAAUUCAGCAUCAUGCCUUGACCAUAUCACAUCACAACAUGCCCUGCAAAAACAAGUUAGACGUCCUCUACUUUGUUGUUGCAUGUUUUACGUGGCUGCUACGGGCUUAAGUAAGAACCAAUCUCACCUACGCAUCAAAACCACAACGAUAGUUUGUCAAAUAGACUCCGUUUUAACCUUCUCAAGGACCGGGCGUAGCCAUACUCGGUUCAACUAAAGUUGGAGAGACAGUCGCCCGCAAGCCAUCCAUGUGCAAAGCACGUCGAGGGAACCGGUCUCGCGUAAGCGUACGCGUAAGGUUGGUCCAGGUCGUCUCGUCCAACAAUACCGCCGAACCAAAGUAUGACAUGCUGGUAGGCAGUAUGACUUGUAUCGUCCACAACUCACUUGUGUUCUACUCGUGCAUAUAACAUCAACAUAAAUAACCUAGGCUCGGAUGCCACUGUUGGGUUUCGUAGUAAUUUCAAAAAAUUUCCUACGCACACGCAAGAUCAUGUGAAGCAUAGCAACGAGGGGAGAGUGUUGUCUACGUACCCAACGCAGACCAACUGCGGAAGCGAUGACACGACGUAGAGGAAGUAGUCGUACGUCUUCACGAUCCAACCGAUCAAGCACCGAAACUACGGCACCUCCGAGUUCGAGCACACGUUCAGCUCGAUGACGAUCCCCGGACUCCGAUCCAGCAAAGUGUCGGGGAAGAGUUCCGUCAGCACGACGGCGUGGUGACGAUCUUGAUGAACUACAGCAGCAGGGCUUCGCCUAAACUCCACUACAGUAUUAUCGAGGUAUAUGGUGGCAGGGGGCACCGCACACGACUAAGGAAUAGAUCACGUGGAUCAACUUGUGUGUAUAGAGGUGCCCCCUGCCUCCGUAUAUAAAGGAGGAGAGGAGGGGAGGCUGGCCGGCCAAGGAGGGGAGGCGCAGGAGAGUCCUACUCCCUCUAGGAGUAGGAUUCCCCCCAAUCCUAGUCCAACUAGGAUUCCUCGGAGGGGAAGGGAGAGAGGGGGGCCCGCAGCCACCUUGGGCUGCCCCUUUCUCCUUUCCACUAAGGCCCAUGAAGGCCCAUAUGGCUCCCGGGGGGUUCCGGUAACCCUCCCGGUACUCCGGUAAAAUCCCGAUUUCACCCGGAACACUUCCGAUGUCCAAACAUAGGCUUCCAAUAUAUCAAUCUUUACGUCUUGACCAUUUUGAGACUCCUCGUCAUGUCCGUGAUCACAUCCGGGACUCCGAACAACCUUCGGUACAUCAAAAUGCAUAAACUCAUAAUGUAACUGUCAUCGUAACCUUAAGCGUGCGGACCCUACGGGUUCGAGAACAAUGUAGACAUGACCGAGACACGUCUCCGGUCAAUAACCAAUAGCGGGACCUGGAUGCCCAUAUUGGCUCCUACAUAUUCUACGAAGAUCUUUAUCGGUCAGACCGCAUAACAACAUACGUUGUUCCCUUUGUCAUCGGUAUGUUACUUGCCCGAGAUUCGAUCGUCGGUAUCCAAUACCUAGUUCAAUCUCGUCACCGGCAAGUCUCUUUACUCGUUCUAUAAUGCAUCAUCCCGUAACCAACUCAUUGGUCACAUUGCUUGCAAGGCUUAUAAUGAUGUGCAUUACCGAGAGGGCCCAGAGAUACCUCUCCGACAAUCGGAGUGACAAAACCUAAUCUCGAAAUACGCCAACUCAACAUGUACCUUCGGAGACACCUGUAGUACUCCUUUAUAAUCACCCAGUUACGUUGUGACGUUUGGUAGUACCCAAAGUGUUCCUCCGGUAAACGGGAGUUGCAUAAUCUCAUAGUUACAGAAACAUGUAUAAGUCAUGAAGAAAGCAAUAGCAACAUACUAAACGAUCAAGUGCUAAGCUAACGGAAUGGGUGAAGUCAAUCACAUCAUUCUCCUAAUGAUGCGACCCCGUUAAUCAAAUGACAACUCUUUUGUCCAUGGCUAGGAAACAUAACCAUCUUUGAUAAACGAGCUAGUCAAGUAGAGGCAUACUAGUGACACUAUGUUUGUCUAUGUAUUCACACAUGUAUUAUGUUUCCGGUUAAUACAAUUCUAGCAUGAAUAAUAAACAUUUAUCAUGAAAUAAGGAAAUAAAUAAUAACUUUAUUGUUGCCUCUAGGGCAUAUUUCCUUCACCACGUGGCCCGGCCGGCCCCCGGGGCUCAAGAACCAGGUCCAAUGCCCCCAUUGGUCCCGGUUUUGGAUUGAACCGGGACUAAUGGGCUGGACCGGCCUGGACCAUCGCCCCCUUUUCUACUAGUGUUAGUGCAUGGUGGUUAGUGAAGUUAGUGGAGCAUGGUGUGAGUGCGUGGGUCAUGGUUGAGUGCCAGACUUUGUAUAAAUUGUCAUUUGAGUCAAUGAGAAAAUGUAAGGCCGAGAGGGCCAGUGCAAAGAUGUAGCAUUUGUGGUAGCCAAGGGAGAUUAACUGGGCAAAGCUAUGUGUUCUUCCUUGGUCUAUGCGUGUGUGUGUUCUGUGUGUGUUCUCUCUCUGCGUCCUUGUGUUCAUGGGAGUGUUUUUGAGAGAAGCCAGAAGAGAGAGUUGUGAGAGGCAGCUCGAGGUAGAAGAAGGAGCGGUGCUGCUCCGAGAGGAGGCGGCGCCAACAAUUAUUGACGAAAGGGAUAUUAUAUUGCGCAAGGUAUAAUCAGACGCGUCGGGGAUGGAGCGACUACACACAUAUGGGAUCACAACUGGAUUAUGAGGGAAAGCUAUAAGAGGCCAAUAAAUAAGUUAGUGCAGAUCCCCCCUCAGAAACAUUUUAUGUAUACACGUUAACAUUUCCCAGAUAUAUGAUUAAUAUUUUUAGAAAACUUCUAUUUUUUAUGUGUACUUUUUAUACAUUUUGUAAUAUCAGAAAUAGUUUUUAUAGAAGGUUUAACAUUUUUCAAAUACAUGAUUACCUUUUUGUAAACUUAUAUUGUUUGACGUUUACUUUUUUCCAUAGACAUAGUGAGGGGUUAUAUCUAAGGAAUAGGCCCAAGUACAUGUAGGCACAACCAAAGGCCCAUGUUAAUCAAGGAUGUUCCACAAGACAAAUGGGAAAACACACCGGGGCUAAUGGAGCUACAAGGCCAAGGCAUCGGAUACAAGGGGAGAGUCAACUGUGUACAGUCAGAUUACACAACCCUUAACAGACAAGACUCAUCAGUUGGUCCACUAUAGGAAUCAGGUCAUUUGCCGUCAGCCGAGAACAGAUGCGAAGGCUUUGCCGUGAGCAAGUUGACGACAAACACAAUCAGCAAAGACUAUAUCAGCAAAGAGCUAAUUUGACGUCAACUUUUCAUCGCGCUGAUGACAAAGACUUUGCCGUCAAUUAAACUAUGUGUUUGUCGUCUGUAGAAAAAACACAAAUGGCAAAGAAAUUAAACAAAUGGUCAUUUUAUAAUAAUUUUUCGAAAUGUAUAUAGUGUAUUUUAAAAUGUUAAAUAUGUAUCAAGAAUUAUUUCAUAAAUAUACAGAAGAUGUACAACGUGUAUGAAAAUUAUGUAGACAUCAGAACAUAUUAUAGAAAUGUUAAUCUUGUAUUUAAAAAUGUUAAAUACACAUAAAUAAAAAUGUUUUUGAUGUACAUAAAAAAAUUGUACAUCGUGUGUGAACAAAGUAUGCAUUGAAAAAAAAAUCUUGUUGGAAAGAAAAUCUCGUGCUAUAUACGAAAAUGUAAAAGGUGUAUGAAAAUAAUUAGAUAUAUGCUUAACGAAAAAAAGGAAAGAAGGCGCAAAAAAAUCCGAUCAACACCAAGAUAGGAACAAGAAAACCUGAAGAAGACCAUUGAAAAAAAAGAAAAGAAUACAAGAAAGAGGAAAAAAAACAAAAAAAUGAAGAAGCUGAUGCAGAACAGGGAACUUGGUGAAAACGAAUAAAAAUUGAUGAAAACCGAGAAGAAAAACAAGAAAACUGAAGCAAAAAAAUAAUAAAAAUAUGUAAAAAAAUGAUGAAACAUUGCAAAACACUGAAAUACUAUGAAAACCAAAGGAAGAAAAGACUCAAAAAGAAGAACAUACAGCGAGCGAAUGAACAACAACUGAGUGAACGAGCGACCAUGCGAGAACACGUUAAUUGUCCGGCCCAUACUUGUGGACUCCAGAGGCGAGCCAGAAUAGGCGAGAUAUAGCUAUGACGAUUUGAUACCCUUCACAGCUUCACGAAUGCUAUAUCUCGCUCACAGCGAAAGUAUAUUUUGUCUGGCCUGAAGGUGCAAGAAUAGCAUCAGGUCGCUGUAAGGUUUGUGAUCCUACAAUGAGAGCUCCGAUAAGAUUAAAGUUCAUUUUUCUGACAACCUUUGGUCGUUCGUUCGCGCUCAGGUCGUCCGCUCACUCGAUUCCACGUACUAGUUUGGUUAUGUUGUUUUUUUCAUUUUGUUCUUUUUUUGUUUCUUCACUGGCUUUCUUUGGUUUUUAUAUCGGUUUUCUUUGUUUCCUUCACGUUUUAUUCCUGUUUUCCUUUUUACUGGUUUAUUUAUUCCUUUUUUUCUUUGUUUCUUUCUUGGUUUUCUUUGUUUUUCUUUCUUUUGAUGUCAAUCUUUUUACAUACGCAUUCAACAAUUUCCGUAUACAUCAGAAACAUUUUAUGUAUACACAUUAACAUUUCCCAGAUAUAUGAUUAAUAUUUUUGGAAAACCUCUAUUUUUUAUGUGUACUUUUUGAUACAUUUUGUAUAUAUCAGAAAUAUUUUUUUAGAAGGUUUAACAUUUUUUUAAAUACAUGAUUACCUUUUUGUAAACUUAUAUUGUUUGACGUUUAUUUUUUUCCAUAGACAUAGUGAGGGGUUAUAUCUAAGGAAUAGGCCCAAGUACAUAUAUGGCACAACCAAAGACCCAUGUUAAUCAAGGAUGUGGUCCACAAAACAAAUGGGGAAACACACGGGGGCCAAUGGAGCUACAAGGCCAAAGCAUCGGAUAUAAGGGGAGAAUAAGUGUGUACAGUCGGAUUACACAACACUUGACAGACAAGACUCAUUAGUUGGUCCACUAUAGGAAUCGAGUAAUUUGCCGUCAGCCGAGAACAGACUCGAAGUCUUUGCCGUCAGCAAGUUGAUGACAAACACAGUGAGCAAAGACUAUAUCGGCAAAGAGCUAAUUUGACGUUAACUUUUCAUCCGCUGAUGACAAAGACUUUGCCGUCAAUUAAACUAUGUGUUUGUCGUCUGUAGAAAAAACACAAAUGGCAAAGAAAAGCAUCUUUGCCAUCAGCAACUGAUUCACAUGUGUCGUCAGCCAGACUCGUCUUGUCACUAGCCUCAAACAUCACAGAUGGCAAAGAUUUUUUUUUAUUUUUAAAAUUCCGCGUCGACCACCCUAUCGCUCGUGCAGCCACCGCCUGGCCGCGCUCGCCUCCCUGCUCACAUGCCCUGCCAGCUUGCGCCGUUGCCAUCCGGCAGCGCUCGCCCGACCCUGCUCAUCGCCCGGCCGAGCUCGCCCGCCCUGCUCGGUCGCGUCGUCGGCAGCUGCCCUGCUUGCACACGUACCUGCCCAGCCUUGCUCAUACCGCCGGCCACCCUGCUCGCUAGAGAAAGGAAGGCGAGAGAGGAGGCUCGGGGGAGAAAGAAAAAACAAAGGAGAGAGAGAGGAUGCUACCACUGCCACAUCACCAAUACGCAUGAUCGAUCUGCAAGAUGUGCUCUCUCUUUUGCCGCCUCUGAUGGCAAAGUAUGUCUUUAUCGUCUAUAAUAAGAUUACAAACAGCAAAGUGAGCUCUUUGCCGUCUGUAAAAAAACGGACGACAAACAAACUUUGUUGUCAGCUGCCGACGGCAAAAAGUGCUCUUUACCGCAGCCUCGAUGAGAAGCUGAAGGCAAAGUGCCCCACAGACGGCAAAUUAGUUGAUUCCUGGGUGGUUAUGAGCAAGACAGGAGCAAUAACCCUAUCUACACUCGGUCAUCUGGAAGACAGGAGUAGUCGAACCAUCUAUAGUCGGCUACAUCUGAGGUUACCGUGACCCUUACGAUGCAUUCAUUAUCGCCGUUACUCAAUGGAGUAGUUAAAUACGUCAGUUAGCAAUAAUAAUAGCCACGAACAGUCAAUCAUGCAUGUGACCAUCAAUAGCAUUUAUACCAACCCAUUACGGCACUUCCUCCUAGCACACUCUAUAUAAGCCAGGAGUAGGACAUGAGAGUGAGGGAUGAACUCUCUCACAGUAUAACCUACGCCAAGAGCAGGAACACCACAUGAAUAGAGAUUACCUCCACCAACGUACUCCCAUCCGUUUUAUGUACCGAUCAAUGUAUAUAAUGGCUUCUACAUUCACAUCCCGUAGUAUUGUCAGGAUUAUAUCCACGACAGAAACUAUAUUUUGUUAUACAUCAAGAACAUUUUAUAUAUAAAUAUUUACAAUUUUUUAAAUACAUGAUUAAUAUUUUUUCAAACAUAUAUUUUGUAUGUCUCCUUUUCAUAAUCUUUGAUCCCUGGAAGUUUCAGAUUUUUUCCGAUUUGUUCUCAUUUUUUUAUGAAUUUACUGUUCAUGAGGGUGUAGGGGCACCCAGGAGCUGUUAGGCAUAAUAUUUCUGCUGUUGUUGUCAUCAUCAAGGGGAAUGAGAAGGGUUGAAGUUUUCGUUUUCUUUGAGGGGGAAAUCAGAGUUGGGGGCUGGAAGUGAGUGAUUAGGCCCAACAUAAGCGCUGUGUGUGUGUGUCUCGUCACGGGCACCAAAUUCGAACUGGGCUAUUGUUUUCUGAGAACCCAACGUCACAAGCCCAACCAACAGUCUGCCGAUCUGCAUCUUCCUCUCCUUGUCCAUCCUCCUCGUUGGCCGGACCGCCUCGAGCCACGGCCGCUCCCUGGCGCAGCGUCCUCCCCUUCCUCUCCACCCCCAAAUUCUCUUGUAUCCUCUUCUGAUCUCCUUCCUUACUUCCUCUCGCUGAUGGUCUCCACAAGAAGGUCUCCGAGCUCCUCGGAGGGUUCCGGCUGUACGUCGACGCAGCCUCUCCGACCUCCCCAUGAACAUGAGCUAUCGACCCUGAAAGCCUGUCUCUUCCAUGAUUCGAUUCACAUGAAUUCACGAGCCGCAUGAAUCAUGAAGGUCAUGGAGCAGAAUUCAGUCGUGUAGCCUGACAGUGAUGUACAUUUGUGGCUUUUCUGGCUAAAUAGCUCUGUACCCUAUGUGGAUGCCACUUCAAAUAAUCGUCAAAAUAAUUCUCCUGCACGCGUUAUACAAAUGGCGAAGAAGAAGUUCGCGUGGAACAUUUCGUUUCUUAUUGAUGUCCGAGAGAAAAGCUCCUAGGAAGUUCAUCCGCUCGGUGGAUUAUAAGUUUAAGUUUGUUACAACAUCCAAUCAUCCAUAUAAUCUCUGUGUUUCUUCUGUUUUCUACCAGUCAUAUAUCAUAUGUGCAUCAGAGGAAAAAUGCUUUCAGCAGUCAUGUUGGAGCGCGCAUACCAAGUUCCCACAUUGCAAAUAUGAUCCUAGCCAUUAAUAUGUUUCAUUCCACAUUUUCUUGAUCUAAUUUCUAAAUGAUUGGACAACCUGUUAUAGUCUUAUAGAAUUAUGAGCCGCCAAAUCCACAUUUCUCUUGGUCUAAUUUCUAAAUGAUAAUGUGCAGCAUCUAUCUCCUGGUGAACCUUUUUUUCUUGCGACUGUAUCUCCUGAUGAACCUAGUUUUCUCUAGGUAGCACAAUAAUUGUACUGGUUUGAUGUAAAGGACAUAAAUACAAGGGAAUAAAUUGGAAGCUUAUUUCAAAUUAACUAGCUAGUGGUGUUUGUGAAGUUCAAGAAAAAGCUGGUCUUUUUCUCGACAAAUAAUUUAACAUGCAAAGAAUCAAUAAAUGUAUUUGCAAGAAAGCAAACAUAAUUAACGAUAAAACUGGUUUAUUGUCACUGUAGACAACGGUAGUAGUUGGAACUAGAUACAAACCAAUAAAAAACAAGAUCUCAAAUCUCCAACCAAUAAAGAGUUCAACCCAAAUUUUACAGUAACACCAUUAUAUUCAAAUAGUGAUUAUUCCAACACAUGGAUAAUUAAUUAAGGCACCAGGUUGCCCUUGUGACUAGGAAAGACAAACUUAUGAACUUGCAAGCAUGGCAAUCAGAUCGACAUCCACACAAUGCCAAUAUGAACAUUGUCUUGAUACAACUUUAUUUUUAUUUUAUUUCAGAAUUUAAACAACUAGUAUGGGCGGGUCACACACGACAUUGUGUGACACUUUAUUUGUCACCGCUGCAUCGACAUAUCCAUCGACUAAACAACGGUGAUCCAACUAUAUAUUACUAGAGACCUUUCCUUAUUAGUAGGAACCAACUCCGGUGCCAACACCGAAUGGCACACUAGUGGUGGUUCUAUACAACGGCACAUUGACACGGCACAUCGUUGGCAGGGUACGGAGCGCAAUGGAAGUCAUCACCUCAAGCUGAGCUAUCUGGUGUGGCUGCAAAAAGGUACCUUGUGCCAAUUGUUGUUGUUGAGGUUGUUGCCCGAGUUGUUGUUGUGACUGCUGUUGGGGUUGGGAAACACAUUGGCCCAACUGUUGGGGUUGCUGCUGAGGAGUUUGGAUGGAACCCUGAACCUGUUGUUGUUCUUGCAGGAUGAUGGAGUAGAUGAUAGCACGGAUUGCCUCAUAGCGGGAUUGCUGGGGGAUUUGCGGCAACUGCUGGCAACAUUGUUGUUGCAUCACAUGGCAACUGCUCUGCUGCAACAUUUGCGACCUAGCAAGACUUUGUGGCAUUGCCACAGGGCUGCAUUGCUGCUGGAGGAAUACCUUGCAUGGGUUUAGCUGCUGCAAGAUAGAUGGAUGAACAAAUGGUAUUUGUUGUUGCGGUAGAACUAGUUGUUGUUGUUGCUGCGAAAAUGGUGGUUGUUGCGGUAGACUUGGUUGUUGUUGUUGCAAAAAUGGUGGUUGUUGCUGUAGUACUAUUUGUUGUUGUUGCGAAAACGGUGAUUGUUGCUGUGAAAAUGGUGGUAGUUGUUGCUGUGAAAAUGAUGGUUGUUGCGGUAGAACUGGUUGUUGUUGCUGCGAAAAUGGUGGUUGUUGUUGUGAAAAUGGUGGUUGUUGUUGCUGCGAAAAUGGUGGUUGUUGUUGUGAAAANNNNNNNNNNNNNNNNNNNNNNNNNNNNNNNNNNNNNNNNNNNNNNNNNNNNNNNNNNNNNNNNNNNNNNNNNNNNNNNNNNNNNNNNNNNNNNNNNNNNNNNNNNNNNNNNNNNNNNNNNNNNNNNNNNNNNNNNNNNNNNNNNNNNNNNNNNNNNNNNNNNNNNNNNNNNNNNNNNNNNNNNNNNNNNNNNNNNNNNNNNNNUGGUUGUUGUUGCUGCGAUAAUGGUUGUUGUUGUUGCUGCGAAAAUGGUGGUUGUUGUUGUGAAAAUGGUGGUUGUUGUUGCUGCGAUAAUGGUUGUUGUUGUUGUUGCUGUGAACAUGGUUGCUGUUGUGAAAAUGGUUGUGGUUGUUGUUGGAUGGGUUGUUGUUGUUGGUGGUGCGAUAAUGUUUGUUGUGGUGGUAAUGGUUGUUGCUGCGAUGGUCUCUCCAAACCAGGGAUGUGGCUAUUCUCCAUUUGUGCAAUGGCACUUGUCGCCACAAUGGCGAGGAGAGCAAAGAUGAGGAAGGUCUUCAUGGUGGAUUGGUGUUAACCAGUGUUGCUUGGUUUUGAUGCUUGUGCUUGUGAUGAUCUUUAUACUUCAUGCCUAUUUAUAGUAGCCCGGGCACCACCUCUUUUCUUCUUUGCAUUAGCUUUAAUAAUUCUGUUUGGAUGCAUCUAAAAUGAUUUUUGGUACAAUGUGUUAGGUUGCACUAGCUACACGCGUACUUUUGGAUUGAUCAUCAAAGUUGCUUUUUAGUUGUGCAUAUGAUCACACACAAAGUACAGAAACCUUGAUGUUUGGUACAUAUGACUCACCUUAUUCACUUUACAUGUCACACACUUAUCUGGAUAGUAUCACUUUUGCAACCGAGUUUGGAACCUUGUAUAGGCUGUCAUCCAUAAACAAGAAAGGCAAAACUUGUGUAGGACUAAGUUUGCAAUCGGAGGGUUCUUCUAGACUCGAUUUCUUUUCGUAAAACUAACUUUGUAUUUUUCCUCUAAGAUGAUAAGAUGAACCGACGCCUAUAGAGCAUGACAUGACUCAUCGAAUUCCCUUUACAUGUAAAGGAUGGUAAUUGCUUACAAGCUACUCCUACUAGCAUAUAUCCGGUUCCAAGCCUAGACACGUCAUCAUCAGUUUCGUCUAUUUUUUUAGAUAAAUCAUCAGUUCUAUCUAUUUGUGAAGGGUUUUUUUGGGGGGAAAUGAUAGUUUUUUUAUGCUAGGGGGGUUUUUUNNNNNNNNNNNNNNNNNNNNNNNNNNNNNNNNNNNNNNNNNNNNNNNNNNNNNNNNNNNNNNNNNNNNNNNNNNNNNNNNNNNNNNNNNNNNNNNNNNNNNNNNNNNNNNNNNNNNNNNNNNNNNNNNNNNNNNNNNNNNNNNNNNNNNNNNNNNNNNNNNNNNNNNNNNNNNNNNNNNNNNNNNNNNNNNNNNNNNNNNNNNNNNNNNNNNNNNNNNNNNNNNNNNNNNNNNNNNNNNNNNNNNNNNNNNNNNNNNNNNNNNNNNNNNNNNNNNNNNNNNNNNNNNNNNNNNNNNNNNNNNNNNNNNNNNNNNNNNNNNNNNNNNNNNNNNNNNNNNNNNNNNNNNNNNNNNNNNNNNNNNNNNNNNNNNNNNNNNNNNNNNNNNNNNNNNNNNNNNNNNNNNNNNNNNNNNNNNNNNNNNNNNNNNNNNNNNNNNNNNNNNNNNNNNNNNNNNNNNNNNNNNNNNNNNNNNNNNNNNNNNNNNNNNNNNNNNNNNNNNNNNNNNNNNNNNNNNNNNNNNNNNNNNNNNNNNNNNNNNNNNNNNNNNNNNNNNNNNNNNNNNNNNNNNNNNNNNNNNNNNNNNNNNNNNNNNNNNNNNNNNNNNNNNNNNNNNNGCCGCCACCGCUCGACAAAAAAGGUCACUUUUGUAGCUCCCCCGUCGAUUGCGGGCCGUACGUCGACGGCAGCCACUCCGACCUCCCCGUCAACACAAGGUAUCGAUCUGUUUCGUCUGUCUCUUCCAGCGAUUCAAUGCACAUAAAUCCGAGAGGCAGACCCAUCUCCAUGCUAGCUGCACGGAUCAGGAGGGUCAGGCAUCAGAAUUCAGCUGGGAAGCCUGACACUAAUGUACAUUUGUGGCUUUAGUAGCUGAAUAUAACUAUGUGUUUUCUGAGAAUUUCACUUCAAAAGUUCCAAUAAUCAUCAAAUUUCCGCCUAUGCGCGCUAAGCAGGUGGACCAUAUAUUUCUCAUGUCGACGAACGAAAAAACAAAACUCCACAACUAGAAGUCUAUGAUAUUGACACGGAACCGUGCUGUAGGGUCGCAAGUAAAAAUAUGAAAAGCAUGCCUAACACUACUAGGAAAAGGGCUAUAGAUGGAAUUGACACUAAUGACGCACCAGACAUGUGGUGCGCCAUUAGUAUAUACUAAUGGCGCACCAUCUUCUGAUGCGCCAUUAGUGUUGAAAUUACUAAUGGCGCACCCUGCCCACGGUGCGCCAUUAGUACCAAUUUUUUUUUGAACUAGUGCGCCUGUCCAAACAUACUAAUGGCGCAUCCGCUGGUGGUGCGCCAUUACUAGUUGUAACUAGUAAUGGUGCACCAGCCAGAGGGUGCGCCACUAAAGUUAUUUUUUUUAUUAUUGUUUUUAUUCCUUUUUUUGCAAAAGUACUAAUGGCGCACUCACACGCGGUGCGCCAUUACUAGUUCAAACUAGUAAUGGCGCACCGUGGCAGAGUGCGCCAUUAGUAUGUUUUUUUUUCAAAACUACUAAUGGCGCACCACCUGGUGGUGCGCCAUUAGUAACCUGGAUUACUAAUGGCGCAUUUGUUGCUGGUGCGCCAUUAGUAAGUGGGCAGCAACAAGAUAUUUUGGACAGCCUCUCCUCCCACACUCACUUUCUCCCCAUUUCAUUCUCUCCACCGCCUCCUCAUGUCUCGGGUGCCUCCUCUUUUUCACCUCAUUUCCACCAUAGAUUCAUUCAAAUUAAGUGGUUAAGUUACCUUGUUUUGCUAGGUAAGUAAGGGGGGAAGCUAUAUUUAUGUUGUUCUCCCUACAACAGUGUGCACAUGCACUUUUUAUGGCCUAGCUAGAUCUAUGUAUGUUCGUGGUGUUGCAUAUGUUUGUGGUGUUGCAUAUGUGUUUGUGUUUGAAGGUGUACCGGUAUUUGAAAUGCGAUAGUUGCCAAUAUUUUGCCGGAAUGUUGAUUCAUUUCCGUUUCGGCGAGAAUUUUGGCAUUAAGCAUUCUUUUUGGUCCUAUUUUUAGGGAAAGUCAUGCCAAAUUUUUUCUUGGUUCUAAAAUAUCGUUUUGCUCUACCCCGCAGGCGACCAUGGUCCGCACGAUGACCGAAGGCAUCGUGAAUAGGUUUUUGAGGUCCACGAAGGCCGAGAUGCUUCAAAAGAACGAGACGGAGAUAAGAUGUCCGUGUCGAAGAUGCAAGCUGAAUAGCCUUAUUGCGGACCCGGAUUCCGGGCAGGUGCGGGACCACCUGCUCUUGCGUGGUUUCAUGGAUGGCUGUCGGUGGCAAGGUGAUGAAGAUGACUACGAAGUCGUCCAUGGGGGCCGGGCAAGAAAUGAGGAAGGGCAGCAAGACAACCACCGCGGCUCGGGGGGGCGAGAAGAAGAAGAAUCCCCAGGAGAUGAUCACGACGGUGAUGUUGUACACAGUCAUCAUGUAGAAGAUGCAGGACAUGAUGAUGAUGCCGGCGGAGCAGACGACGCUGGACCAUCGAUGGGCUGGGUGCAGGACCCUCAUAUUCAAGAGCUGCUUCUCAAGCAGACGGAUAACGCAAGAGCUGCCGCCCGAGAGAAAGCCAAGAUGGAUCAACUUGAGUUAGACGCGGUUACUCCAUUGUAUGAAGGAUGCAGGCCCGAGGAUACCCGCCUGAAAGUAACACUCAUGGCUCUGGAGAUGAAGGUAAAACACAAAAUGACCGACGCAUGCUUCGACGAGAACAUGUCAUUCUGGCACGAACGUCUUCCCAAAGGGAACAAGUGCCCGACCAGUUUGGAGGAGGCGAAGAAAAUCGUGUGUCCUCUGGAUUUACCGCACGUGAAAUACCAUGUGUGCAUGAACAAUUGCAUCAUUUAUCGGGACGAGCACGCGGAGUCUACCAUAUGUCCGGUGUGCGGUGUCACUCGAUACAAGAAGGGGAAGAAAGCUCCUCGAAAAGUGGUGUGGUACUUUCCGAUCACUCCUCGUCUGCAGCGGUAUUUCGCGGACCCUAAGGUAGCAAAGCUCCUGCGUUGGCACGCGGAUAGGGAGGAGAAGAAGCGAGAAGAUGACGCAAAUGAUACGGAGAUAGAUAAAAAAGACAAGAUGCUGAGUCACCCUAAGGAUGCGAGCCAGUGGCAAGCGUUGAACUUCGAAUAACCAGAAUUUGGGAACGAUCCAAGGAACAUCGUGCUGGGCGCGAGCACCGGUGGAGUCAAUCCGUUUGGCAGCCAGAGAAGCACACAUAGCACCUGGCCUGUGUUUGUGUGGAUGUACAACCUUCCCCCCUGGUUGUGCAUGAAGAGGAAGUACAUUCACAUGAGUAUGCUAAUUGAAGGGCCGAAACAACCAGGGAACGACAUCAAUCUGUAUCUGGGGCUGCUGAAAGAGGAGCUUGACACGCUGUGGAAAACGCCCACCAAUACGUGGGACGCCGCAGAGAAAGAAUAUUUCCCUAUGAGAGCCGCACUGCUCACGACGGUGCACGACUAUCUCGGUUACGGAUAUCUUGCGGGGCAGGUAGUCCACGGAUUUUCUGGAUGCGUAAGGUGCAUGGAUGACACAACGUAUCGCCAGCUAGAUAGAGACGAUGACCCGUGGAGGAAACGCAAGGAUCUGUUCGAUGGUGAAACCAAACCCCGAAAACGCCCGUGUACGAGGAGCGGCGAGGAAAUAGACAAGCUGUUGAAAAAUCGGAAAGACUGCCCACUGCCGGGAAAGAAGCAAAAGGUGCCAGAGCCGGGAAAGAAGCGAAAGGCGCCAGAGCCGCUGCUGAAGCUAUGGAAAACGAGGUCUGUUUUCUGGGACUUGCCGUACUGGAAGAUCCACCGUGUGCCUCACAGCCUUGAUGUCAUGCAUAUCACGAAGAACGUGUGCGAGAGUCUGCUUGGUACCCUGCUCAACAUGCCAGAGAGGACCAAAGAUGGGCCGAAAGCGAGGGCAGACUUGAAAUCAAUGGGCAUCAGGCAGGAGCUUCACGCUAUAUAUGAUGAUGAUGAUGAUGAUGAUGAUGAUGAUGAGGCGAAGCAGGACACAGAAAGUCGUCGCAAAGGCAAAAAGGCCAAGAAGACCGGAAAUGACUACCCUCCCGCGUGCUUCACUCUAAGUCAGGAGGAGAUCGAGCAGUUUUUCACCUGCCUCCUAGGAGUAAAACUUCCUUACGGUUACGCGGGGAAGAUAAGCAGAUACCUAGACCCAGCGAAGCAGAAGUUCAGCGGGAUGAAGUCUCACGAUUGUCACAUGCUGAUGACGCAGAUACUUCCAGUUGCAAUCCGUGGGAUCAUGGACGCGCACGUCCGUGAAACGCUAUUUGGCCUAUGCAACUUCUUCGACGUCAUCUCUCAGAAGUCGAUUGGCAUGAGGCAACUCAGAAGGCUACAGGAAGAGAUCGUGGUGAUACUAUGCGAGCUUGAGAUGUACUUCCCGCCCGCAUUCUUCGAUGUUAUGGUGCAUCUGCUGGUCCAUAUAGUGGGGGAUAUCAUCCAACUCGGGCCGAUGUUCCUGCACAGCAUGAUGCCGUUCGAAAGGAUGAAUGGUGUCAUCAAAGGAUACGUUCGCAACAUGUCACGUCCAGAAGGAAGCAUAGCCAGGGGCUUUCUGACCGAAGAGUGCAUCUACUAGUGCGCGAAUUAUCUAGGCAUCGAGAACCCCGUUGGUCUGCCCGUCAACAGGCACCUCGGCAGGCUCGCUGGAUGGGGUCACCGUGAGGGUCGCCGCGAAAUGCAUGUCGACUUCGAGGGUCGACUCGCCGACUUUGAAAGAGCAAACCUAGUCGCGCUACAACACAUAGACGUGGUCGAUGCUUGGGUGGUAGAGCACAAAACCUUUAUUAAGAAGACGUACAAUGACCGAGGCCAACAGAGGACGGACGGAGAUAUACUCAAAGAGCACAACUCAUGUUUCACGCGUUGGUUCAAGCAGAAGCUUCUGUCGUACCCUUUACAUGAGGAUUCUUCCGCGGAAGAACAACUCAUAUUCGCCUUGUCACAGGGCGCCGAGCACAACCUGAUGACCUAUGAGGCGUACGAUAUCAACGGCUACACAUUCUACACCGAGGCCAAGGACAUGAAGAGCGAUGGUUAUCAGAACUCCGGGGUAACGAUGGAAUCCUACACCGGUAACGACAAGGACAGAUACUACGGAAGGAUCGAGGAGAUCUGGGAGCUGAGCUAUGCUGGAGAGAAGGUCCCGAUGUUCCGUGUCAGAUGGGCCAAGAACGUCAUAAAAGAAGACCGGUAUUUCACCACCAUGGUUAUACCCGGAGCCAAAUCCAAGACCGCGAGCGCAAACGUCACCGCGAAAAAUGAGCCAUGGGUACUGGCUUCCCAAGUGGACCAAUGCUUCUUCAUUACCGACCCGCCAAAGCCCAGUCGUGUUGUCGUGAGGAGAGGCAAAAGGAAGAUCAUCGGAAUGGAUGGAGUAGCCAAUGAGCAAGACUUCGACAAGUACGGCGACCCGAGGAUCGAACAUGACGACGAUGAUGAAGUAGCAGCAUACACCACAAGAAGAAGCAGGACCACCCUACCUAAAGGACGUCCGUUCCACAGAAGAACUCCAUUUGCGAAAAAGAAGGGCAAGAAGAUUGUGAACAGAUAGCUAGCUAAGAUCGAUUGUAUUUAAAUCGUAGCCUUCAUUUCUCGAUUGUAUUUCAUGGGUACUUUUUGAACUAUCAUGAAUAUUUUUAAAUUUAAUGGACACUCGAUCUCGAUCCCCCUCCAUCUCGAUCGCUAUCCCACCUCGCCAGAUCCGGUCCCCCUCGCCGCCAAGCACCCCCCCAGCCCACCGGCCGCCGCCGCCGACCCCCCGCACCCUCGAUUCCCCUACCCAACCGCCGCCGCCGACCCACCGCACCCCGCGCACCCUCCCCUGCUCCACCAGCAUUACUGUUUGAUGAUAUUUUUAAAAAAAUUAUUAUUGUCUUAUAAAAAAAUAUUACUGUUAUGAUUUAAACAAGUUUGAACAUAUUUAAACACAAAUAAGUAUCAAACAGGUUUUUAAAUGCUAAAAAAAAUUUGUGGAGCCUGGGAGUCGAACCCAGGACCUCCUGGUGUGAGAACUGGCUGCUGACCAGUCGAGCUAGUAGAGGGGACUUGAUGUGGAUCAAUUCUGGUGGUACAUAACCUGUUGGCUCGAGUUGAAAUAAAAAAAAUACUAAUGGCGCACCACGGUGAGGUGCGCCAUUAGUAUGGAUGUACUUAUGGCGCACCGAGGGGUGGUGCGCCAUUAGUAUUGUGCCCGAUCCCUUCCCUCUCCCCCUUCGCCCGAUCCCCCCUUCCCUCUCCCCCUUGCCAGUUCCCUCUCCCUCGAUCCACCGCCGCCGCCGCCGCUGCCCUGACCCACUGCGCCGCAGCCGCCCACGCGCCCCCGCCGCCUCCCUCUCCCCUUCCUCCCCCUCGAGCCCGCGCCGUCCGCCCAAACCUAACCCGACGCCGUCCGCCGCGCCCGCUCCACCGCCGCCGCCCUGCCUCUCCGCCCUCUCCCUCCCUCNNNNNNNNNNNNNNNNNNNNNNNNNNNNNNNNNNNNNNNNNNNNNNNNNNNNNNNNNNNNNNNNNNNNNNNNNNNNNNNNNNNNNNNNNNNNNNNNNNNNNNNNNNNNNNNNNNNNNNNNNNNNNNNNNNNNNNNNNNNNNNNNNNNNNNCGUCGCCCCGCCGCCCCGACACCACCGUCCGUCGCCCCGCCGCCCCGCCGCCCCUCUCGCAGCAAGGUAUGCGGCUGGUUCGUCCCCUGUCAUGGUUCUCUCUUCGUUUAUUUUCCUGAAAUCUCUGCUGUUCAUUGGCCGAUGAUGUCUUACAAGUAAAAUAUCUGGCAAACUUGUGCUGUAAACUGUACAUUGCUGAGGCUGUGGGCAACCUGUUCUUCUCUUUGCCAUACUAGUGCUUUUGUUCAUUGGCCGAUGAUGUCUCUGUUGGUUUACGUCCCCGGCAAAUUAGGUACCCGUGAACCAUUUAUAGGCCCAACUUUCUUACUCUCAAUGACCACAAUGUGCUUAUUUUGUUAGGAUUGUGCAUUUGCGCGAUUUGUGCAGUGCUUAUUUGUUGGCACCUCACCAGCUUUCAAAUUCAGCAUUUGUAACACAGUUCAAUUUGAUCUAAGGGCCUAUCUUGUCUCAUUUCCAACAUGUAAUAAACUUCCCCCGAGGCCAUAGAUGAGAAUACUUCUUUCAGUACAUUUUGCUGAUUUCUCACUGUUGAAUACUUCAUUUCUGUUUGCCUUUGGCCAAAGAUGCAUUCAGUUCUUUCUGCCCUUAGCGGUUUGAUUCAAGUUUGUCAGGUUCUGUUAACUAAAAAGGUUCAGAUUCAGAAACAUUGUUGGACUACUAGGAAGUUGGACUACUAGGAACAUGUUUAGAUUCAGGUUCUGUUAACUAAAAAAGUUCAGGUUCUGUUAACUAAAAAAGUUCAGAUUCAGAAACCUGUAAUUUCUACUUUUAUGCCUCUGUUACUCCAGUCAAAAUUUUAUGUUUGAUGCCCAUGGUAGUUGAGCUCUCACCUCACCUCACGCAACAUGCAUGAUGCCACAAUGUCUAGUAUGUACUGCCAAGCAACUGGCAAAUAAUUAUAACUUAGAAUAAAUAAAUCUGAUGUAAGAUAAGCAUGGCAUGAGCUUUAAUUAAAUAGCAUAAUACACGUUGGUAGUCCAUCUCUCUCAAAAAAAAUACAUGUUGGUAGCAGAAAAAAAUACAUGUUGGUAGCAGAAAUUUUUUUGAGCCCUUAUUAGCUACUCACACUAUUUGCCCCGCAGUUUCUCUGUCAUGGCUACCAAGUGAUUGACGGUGGGCUAGAAAAAUAAAACCACCAAACUAUCAGUAAAAGAUGUGAACCAACAUCUUUCAUUGUUAUGCAUAUCAAACACCAAGGGUUAUUUUCACUUAAAGUUUUAGAAUGGGUGCAUUACAAUUCAGUCUGAUAUCUAAUAAGACACUCUGGGCUGAUAUAAUUAUGGAACAGAACCAACCAUGAUAAAUAAAAGGUGAUGUUGUCUAUGCAUUACCAAAAAUGUAUCUUUGUGAACAAAUAAAUUGGUACCAACAGCAAUGCCAUCUUACUGUAGAAUUAGAAUACAUGGACAUGAUCAGCUCAGCUCCCAAACUGCCAUUCAUCACAUCAAUUUCCCCUUAUGUAACUCCAGUCAAAAUUUUAUGUUGGUCUACCUAGUAGAUGCCCAUGGUUUGAUUUUAUGUUUGUUCCUAUCAAUACAAAUGCUGAGCUAUGUUCCAUUUUUACUGUUCUUUGUGAUAGUUUUUGCAACUUUACUUCCCAUCUUAAGGCAAGCCCCAUUUUUACUGUUCUUUGUUAGCAGAGCUGCUUGUUUCUAAGAACUUUGAUACUAUUUGGAUCAAAGUUAAAUGAGCACAUAGAUGACAAAAAAAAGUUCAGAUUGUAAAAUGUUCAUUUUGCUGCUAGUGCCCAUUUUGAGUAAUUGCUUAGAGGGAUGAUCCUGUGUGAGCUGGUGGAGUGAUUUGUUUUCUACAUAAAGCUCUUUAGUCAGGCUGGUUUUCGUGAAAUACACAUGAAGCUUCACCAGCUCCUGUGGGUGUGGGAUCCAUGUGACAUGUGACAUUGCAUCCAUGUCCACCUGGGAUAAUGAUUUUGCAUGUACCCCGAGAGGCCCUUAAGUUUGCCGGAAUGUCGAUUAACUUCCGUUCCGGCAAAUUCGGGUACUCCAUAUGUCCUAUUUUCAGCAAAGGUCAUGCUGAAAUUUUCCGUGAAUUUUAGCAUGACUUUGCAAAAAAUAGGACAUAUGGGGUACUUGUGACUAAUGCAUGGGCCGGGGUAUCAUAGUAGUUAAUUAAGUAGGAUCAAGUGCCCCGGCGUACUUGUGACUGAUGCAUGGCUUUUAGGGUGCCUCGGUGUUGAUAAAAACCGAAAUGAUGAAAGCUUAGGCUUUUAGGGUGCCUCGGCGUCGAAAAACCCUCAAUGAUAAAAGCUUAGGUCUUAGGAUGCCUCGGUGUCGACAAACCCUAAAUGAUGAGACCAUGUCUUGUUCCUUGACAAUAACCAACUUUUUGACCAAACUUUGUUUCUAUUUAGAGAGAAACAUGGCCCACAACGAUGAGGCCGGGGGUUCGGGCGGCAAGGCAUUCUGGGAGCUGUCCCAGGAGAUGGAGGAACAACCUCACUUGUAUGAGGCCGCCGCCUUCCCCACCGAUCCUGAGACCACUGAUGGUGCCGCCGAGGAUGACCACACUGAUGCCACCACUGAUGGUGCCGCCGAGGAUGCCACCACUGAUGAUGGCAGCGCCCGCACAGAUGGCAGCCAACCGAAGAGGCAACGGAAGGACCGACGCCCGAUCGUGCUCCUCACCCUCAAGGAGGAAGUUACUGAAGUGGACUCCAACGGGUAUCCAACGGCGCCCGAACGAAUAGUCAAGGGGUACUCGCUUCAGCUCGGGUGCAUUGUCCGGAGCACCGUCUCGAUCAACACCGAGAACCUGAGGCAUCCUGACCGAGGGAAUUUGUGCCACCUCCUCUUCACGAAGCUGCACGAAUGAUACAAGUUCCCCGCUGAAUUUGCAAACAGAAGCCUCAAAGGGAAUAAAGUGAACAAUGCUGCCCUCACGAAGAUGAGCAAGGCCCUGUCUACUUGGAAAAGCAAUGUGAAGAAAAUGAUCGAUAAAGGUGAGAGUUAUCAGAAGAUCAAGGAGAAAAAUCCUUCGAUCACCAAAGAUGACUACAAUGACUUCAAGAUCAAUUGCUCGAGCACCGCAAGCUCCCAAUCAAGUGAGUGGGGGAAACAAAUGCGGGAGCUGAACAUAGGGGAACACACACUCGGUCCCGACGGUUACAGAGUGGCGGAGCCUAUAUGGGACAAGGAGGAGGCGGACCGUGCCGAGCAAGGCCUACCGCCCCUCUUCGAGAAAUACAGCGGUAACAAGCAGACCAGGAACUUUGUCAGGGCCCGGUACAAGAAGGACCCGAAAACAAAGGAGCUUACCACGGAUCCGAAGACCAGGCAGCUUGAGCUUGUUCUGGUAAGGAAUACACCCCCGCGUAAUUAGCUCCAUAUGGUUGCAUUCUAAUUAAUGAAGCCAAAUUUCUAAAUGGUUCACAUUCCUUCCGCAGGCGACUGAAAGCAGUAGCGCGGGGUCGACUAAGAGCAACCCUUGGGACACCACUCUAAAUAGGGCGAUGAAUGUAAUGAAGAAGAAGGAUAAGCUCAGUAAGCCGACGUCAGCUGGUCGUGUGGCCGGCAAAGGCUUGUCGACAAAAUGGGGGUCAUACUAUACCGCUGGUGUGCGGAAGGAGAAAAAGACCAGCUCGGAAAGCCAGGCGCGAGAGGAUCAAGAACUCAAGGAACAGGUGACGCGGAUUCCGGAGAUUGUCCAAGAGCAAGUGGAACAAUGACUCGGAGCGACGAUCACCGCCAUUGUGCCUACCUUGAUCUCGGGGUUGAGUGCGUGGAUUGCGGGCGGCCAACAGGGGCCGCCCCCGAUUCCUAGCUUCACGGCCAGCAACUCGCAUAAUGCGAUGGCGGGGCCAUUGGUGCCUCCGGCGGAGGCGGCAUUGGUGUCUCCGACGCCGGCACGGGAGCUUAAUGCACCCGGGUGUACGCCGGCCGGCACCUCUGCAGCAAGCGGCCCCUCCGUCAACUGCACGCCCGCCGUUGGCGGUGCGUCGACAUUAGCCGAGCUCGACGCCAUCAACACGGUAACUAAUUAAGCCUCUCUCGGCCGAGGACUUCAUCUCCUUGCCUUUGACUAGGCAUCCCUGACGCCCUACAUGUUUUCGCAGGGCGCCGCCGACGUUCCGUGCACUCUCCUCCACUUCGUGAACAACGAGUUGGUCGAUGUCGCCAAGGGCAAAAUCGUUCAACCGGCAACCCCUUGUUCCACGGUACCCAGAUGCCACCCAACUUGUUUAGGGUUCAACUGGUUCGGGUGUUGCCAGGCUGCGACGACUUGUUACCUCUGAUUCGACCCGUUGGGGCCGACGAUGAAGACGUGAUGACCCUCAGCGCCUGCCUGAGCUGGCCCCUAGUUUGGCCGAAGAGCCAGAUUCGUUUGGGGGCGGGGGACACCACCCCAAAGACAACACCGCCAGUCGUGCUGGUGCCAAGUCGGCCCCAUGGCAAGACCGCCGUAACGGUGCCGGACAUCCCUAUGCCACUGGAUCCAAACAUGCAUAUGGCACAGGAUCAGAAUGACGACGACAACGACGAUGAUACAUUUGGCAACGUCGAUCAGUACUUUGCCGAUCAUGGGUACGAUGGCGACUUCAUGGGGCCUCCUUCUCAAGAACCAAACCCAACAAAAGACGUGUGCGAUCUAGCUGGUACCGCAGAGAAGCCAAGUUGCAACAGGCGCCGUCUGGCGUUCAGCUCUCAGGAGACGCCUCCAGCUGCCGACUUCACCGAUCCUCAGAUAGGCGAGGUGCGAAAUAUUAUCAGCCCCAACACACUCAAGAAGGCGGUCUGUGAGCAGAACUCGGUCCCAUUACAGGAGAAGAAGAAGGCACGCAAAAGAAAGACUAAGAAGGGUGCGAGCCAGCCGGCACCGAGUACGAUCCGUGCUCAGGACGGGCCACCUUCACCGCAGGAUAUCUCGAGGAGGGUGCAUGUGGCGGGUAGGGCGAUGCUACCGACAAAUAUGCUCAAUGCUGCAACCGGUGCUAUGCGGAGUCUGCAUGACAGUGUUCUUGCUUUGGAGAAGCGGCGUCUCAGAGAGAAGGAUGUGGCAUACCCGGUUUUCGCGGCCAAGGUGCCAAAGGGCAAGGGCUUUGUGGAUAACUCCAUCGGGCGUACGAUCGUCCUGCGUUUUGAUGACAUCCACGCUAUGUUGAACCUUCAUCCGCUGCACUACACCUUCGUUCGGCUAUUUUCGCUGAGUAUGGAGAUGCGGAUCAUUCGCGACAAGACCCCGGACAUCGUGAUAGUCGACCCCUUCUACAUGCGUGCCAAGAUCUUGGGCAGCGCUGGGGACCGGCAAGUCGCGAGUUCUUACCUCGAAGGCAUCAUUCUGGCAAACCAAGAUAAGGAUAACUUCCUCGUGCCUUACUUUCCCGAGUAAGUCCUCCCCUCAACCGGCCCGUAACAUAUGAAUUCUUACAUUUCGAUCGUUUUUCUUUUAACAUUCCGUGUUUUUUGCAGUGACACACGUUGCACGCUCAUCCUCCUAAGCCCCAAAUAUUCCAUGGCCACAUAUUUCGACCCGGACUGUUAGUCGAACGUAGACUACACAAAUGUCAAGAAGGUUCUUGAUGAUGUUCUCCCCGGCUAUGCCAAAUCUGGAGGCACCUUCACCAGGCCUAAUCGUAAGUACGGCAAGCAUGUUUUCUCCCACAAUACGAUGUUCUACUGCGUCAAGCAGCCGCCUGGUGGUCAGAAGGGUGCCUACUACGCCAUCCAUCACAUGCGGGCGAUCGUACGGGACCAUCAUCAACUUCUGCUACCGAGUAAACUCAAAGAUUGGGCAAAGAGCGUGUCGGCAAUCGAGGACGCGGACCUCCGACAAGAAUUCUUUCGCAUCCAGUCGGAGUUUGCGGAAAUCAUCCAUCAAGAUGUCCUUCGUACCUCGGGGCAGUUCUACCUCAACAAUCAACCGUCCAAUAGUGACAUCGACAUAAUGCUACAAAUGCAGGCUGACAACGACCGUUAUUUCAUGACUCCCACGAUAGACGGCGGCUUCAUCCACGCUCCGGUCCCUUGAGUCGAGUCGAAAGCAGUGAUGCUGUGUCUAGUUCUGAAACAUCGAUUGGCUCAUGUUGUAAUUAAACUUUAAUGAACUUGUAGUAUGUCUCUUUGGUUUCGAGAGUCGUUCAACUUAGAUGUAAUCGAUGCUAUUAAUGUCUUGCUUUUCUCUUCCGAUUGUUCUGUUGCAUACUUAUAUAUUGCUUAUGUAUUGUCUGUGAAUUGGUACUAACGUUUCGUUUGGCUAGUGCAUAGCGAUGCCGACGUAUGUCGUGUACAAGGGUAAGGUUCCCGUAGUCUACGAUGACUGGGAGGAGUGUCGGAGACAGGUUCACCGAUUCAGCGGUAACAGUUACAAAGGGUACACCACUAGGGCCGAGGCCGAAUCUAGAUACGCCCGCUAUCUAGCGGGAGAGGGGAGGGAGCGUUGGAGGAACCGGAUGAAGACGAGUUUCAUCGUGAUGAUGCUCAUCGUGAUGACCGCAGCUCUCUUCUAUGUGAUGGUAGUUUAGAUGAUCGAUAUCGACUUGUAAUGUGAAGACAAACUCGCUACUCGCGGUCUCGAGACUUGUAAUAUAAUGUUCUAUCUUUGUUCGGUCUUUUUAAUUCGGAGACUAAUAUGAUGAAUUGUAUUCGGAGACUAAUAUGAUGAAUUGUAUUCAAAGACUAAUCUUCUAUUGUAUUCGAUGAAUCUGUUGUUGAUGUGUGCUGUCUAUAUUUUGUCAAAUUAUACAUUUUGUAACCUGUGCAAAAAACAGAAAAUAAAAAAUAAAAAAAACCUAAUAUUCAUACUAAUGACGCAUCACAUGAUAGUGCGCCAUUAGUAUGACAGUGCAUACUAAUGGCGCAUCACUGGGCAGUGCGCCAUUAGUAUGCCGCGGUUACUAAUGGCGCAUCCAGCGGUGGUGCGCCAUUAGUAUGCCAAAGCACCUGGGUAUACAUGGCCCCUGGGAGGCAUACUAAUGGCGCACCCUUGCCUAUACUAAUGGCGCACGCGCGGUGCGCCAUUAGUAUACCAGAUACUAAUGGCGCACCAGGUGGUGCGCCAUUAGUAAAAAUUACUAAUGGCGUGCUAUUAAUGGCGCACCACAGAUGCGCCAUUAAUGGCCAUUUUAGGUGCGCCAUUAGUAGGGGUUUUUCUAGUAGUGUAAUAAGCGAGAUGACGCAGUUCCUGACCGCCCCGCUACCACUACUGGUUCCAGCGUGGCGUUUGAAUUAUGCCGCGCUAGAUGCCUUUUGUCCAGCGAGGAACAAGUGGGGUCAAGCGUGCUUUGGCAAUUCCCGCCGUCAGAAGACUUCCUUGUAGUCCGGUGUAGAGGUGAGGUUGUAGGGAGAUGCAUCGACUAGGAAGGAGUGGCCACAUGAACGAGCAUAUGUAUGAUGUGAUUAAGUCUCUCGAUCGGGUAUCUGGUGCCUUACGUACGGUGUCUUAUUUUUGUCAAGCUAUGACAUCUUUCAGUUUGAGUGUCUGAUAUUAGGGUUGCAUACGUUUUGUUAUUCAGUUGCCUGUUGUCAACUCUAUGGUUAUAUCACCUCGAUGUGUGAGUCAAUGUGUUUGAACCAAUGUAGAGUUUCAUGUGAAUGUUACAAGUGUGAUUGAUAUCUUCAUGUUAUAACCGCAGUUGCCUUGGUAAGAAAUUGAAAGAGCAAACCGUUAUCGUGUUAGGAAAAAAGUCAUCGCUCAAUAUAAGUUGCUUCUCUAGAACAACCACACCUUUCCCUCAAAAAAAAGAACAACCACACCUUGUGAAAGAAGAUGGCAAACACCCAAUUAUGUCUGGUUAGAUAUGGGCAUGGCUAUGGGUAGCUUAUAGCGACACGGAAGCUAGCAUCGCCUGAAGAAACACCCGGAUGGGCCGGCCUAGAGACAAAUUUCUUCAUUUCUACCCUUAGUUUUGUUUUUCUGCCCUUUUUUCUUUAUAUUUUAUAUUUUUCCCGACAUGUUCACUACUUGAUGCUCAACUGGGAUCUCAUCUGAUGCGGAGCAUCCUAUGGACAUCACCAUGUCAAGAGUCCGUUCGGCAAGUGACACGUGUGACAUCUACUUCUCAUACAUAAAGGUGAAUCUUCUCCUUUACACGUGUUUACUUGACCCCUUCGAGGAUGGUAUACUACUUGACACUUCUCCCGUGUGCAUGCAUAGGUAUUGUCGGAGCUUCAUGGAUGUCGAGGAGGAGUGCAAGCGCCAAGGAAUGACUACACCGUCCGCGAGGGAAGCAUGGAAGAGAAGGAGGAAGAGAACCUGGCUACUCCAGAACGAGCGGUACUACUGCCCACUCCAAGCGGUACUACCGCCGAGGCCACCCAAGCGGCACUACCGCCCAGCAUCCGCCCUUCUACUGCUCAACCCGACAAACUCCAGUGAUCGAGCGGUGUAAGUCCGGUACUACUGCCCCUCCAAGCGGUACUACCGCUCAAGCGGUACUACCACCCAUGAGUCCGGUACUACCGCCCUGCCUCUGCCCAGCCGUGGGCCUUUGGCCUUGUAUCCCUCUCCCACUUACCCCUUCGUGGCUUAGACUAUAAAUAGGCCACCUCCACCUCCUUUCUAGGGUUAGCACAGAUUUAGCUCAUUUUGAGAUAGAGCUUUGCUCAUCCAUACGGAUCUACUCCUCGUGAGAGACCGCGACCUCUUCGGAGAAGAUCCAUCUUGGAUUCAAGACCCCCUCGUGGGAAGAUCCGUCUAGGAUACCAACAAGACCUCCUCUUGGAGAUGAACCUUACCUUGUAUCUUUCCCUUUGUUGUUCAUGUACCCUUGUGGAUCUUGUGUGUUUGAUUGUCUAGUGGAUGUGUGAUUGGACUUGUACUUGAGUGUUUCCCCUUGUGAUUUCUCUCCGUUCUUCCACGUGUUCUUCAUAGGGAUCCGCUCCAAACGUGAAAGAUCGGCCUCUAGGGUUCUAGCCUACAUCAUCUUGGAUCAGAGCAAGGUUGAUCACGGAUUUGGAGCCCCUACCCCUCUUUUUCUAGCCUUCUUUUGCUUGCUUUCGUCCUAAAAUCCCCACAAAAAAUAGCCCCAAUUUUUUUGUGAUUUGUUCGUUUGAUGAUUUUUUGUUGAUUUUGAUCCAUGGAUUUGCUUGGUUUUGAGUGGAUCUAGCAUCUCUCCAAGUUUCCCCACCUUCCAUCCACGAAAUCCAUCCAAUUUUGCCCCUGAAAUCAUCCUUUUCCGCCCCAAAUUCGCCCCGAUUUCGAUCUGUGAAUUUUCCCGACACGAGCGGUACUACCGCCCUCGAAGCGGUACUACCGCCCUCGAAGCGGUACUACCGCUGAGCACCACAAGCGGUACUACCACCCUCCCAAGCUAUGACGCCCGGAUAAUUAAGCUACAGUAAUCCCCUUCUAAUGGUGCCAUGUCAUCACAUUACUGUUGCUAAUCCUCGCUUGAUCCAAAUCUUAGUUCAAACUCAAAUUCAAAUUAAAGACCAAAAUUCAAAUUUCUCAAGCAUGCAAAAUAAAAUGUUCAAAGUGUGGCAAAUAAUCGCUGGAUAUUUGUCAUGUUGCAAACAACCUCUUUUGAAUUCUCAAAAUGCCCCUGGGAAUUAAUUUUUGGUCCAGUAGUAAAUUAAAUGGCAUUUGCAAAAUAAAGAAUUGUUUAUUUAACUCCAAUUGCCUCCAAACUUUAUGUGCCACUCCAAAAUAUUUGUGGCUCUGUCUAAGAUCGCCAAGGAAUUAAAAGGGCACUUCCCAUAUUUUCCCUAAGUAAAUAGUGUGCCCAAAAUAUUCUCUUAACCAUCUCUAUUUUUUUAAAUAAAAAAAGGCGAAGAAGAACUCCCCCGGGCCUCGGGCCACUCCCACUUACCAGCCCACCUAAGCCGGCCCACUCCCCCGCUCCCCUAGCCUAUAGGCCACGGCCGACCGAACCCUAACCCCGCAUGAUCCCCCCACUCCCCACUCCUCUCCCCUCUCGAUCCGAUCUGGAUCGGACCGAAACCGGCGCAAUUGGUCGAUCCAUGUAUAAAGUAAAAAUAACUAGGCCCAAUUGGUCGAUCCAUGACAGUUUUCGUGACGGUACUUCCACGUCUGUCAUGAGGGGGCUACCCUACUUGGCCCCAAAUGGAUCUUGCUAAUUGGUGACGGUUUCCGUGAUAGAUUUCUGGAACGUCACCAGAAAUCCGUCAUUGAUUAACAGAUUUCCGCACAAUCCCCCCACUCCCCACUCCUCUUCCCUCCUGAUCCGAUCUGGAUCGGACCGAAAUCGGCGCCGCGACGCCAACCGCCGUCGCUGGAGGCGUCCCCGACUCCACGCCGGGCCGCCCCGUCACUGGACCUCCUCCCCGUCGCCACUCGUCACUCGCUGGACCGCCUCGUCCCCACCAAUGCCGCCCCCACCCCAACGUCCCCGACGCCUUCGCCGUCGGCACCGCCCCAAUGUCGCCGCCACCCGACGCCGGCGCCCUCGACAUCGCCACCCCGAGCCCACUGCCACCCCUACGCUCCGCUAUGAGCCCCUCGCUGAUUCCCCCUCCUUCCCGUCGUCGUAGGUGGCUGCGCGCGUCGUUGGCCAUCGUGGCCGCGCUCCGGCCGUUCCCCAUCCGUGCGCUGGCCUCGCCUUCCUCGGAUUGCAAACAUUGAACUUUUCCCCUCGGGUUCAUCUAUCUGACAGACGUUCGGGACCAGAAAAACUUUCCCGGAUGUUUCCCCCUUCGCCAGUAUCACCUAGCACCGCGUUAGAACACUUCUAGCCCCGCUUAUUGUCUUGUUAUGCAUAUGUUUGCGUGUAUUUACUGUUUCUUCCCCCUCUUCUUCUCCGGUAGACCUCGAGACCGUUGCUGAUGCCCCUGUGGUCGACUACGUCGACGGCGACCCUCCUUGUCUGAGCAACGAGGCAAGCCCCCCCUUUGAUCAUCCCGAUAUCGCCCAUUCCAUUCUCUAAUGCUUGCACUAGAUUUUCUACUGUAUUUGAUUGCUCCUAUUCUGAUGCAUAGCAUGCUUUUCUACCUGCUGUUGUACCUUACCUGCUUAUCCUAAACUGCUUAGUAUAGGUUGGCUAGUGAUCCAUCAGUGACCCCCACCUUGUCUUUGUUGCCCCUGCUUCAUCAUUGACGACUCGAUCAACGUGAUCGACGACCGGAGCCUGACACCUCACAUCACAUCACGCCCCUUUUUGUUGCUCGACUCUGCAGAGUUACCAUCGAGUGCCGAGGGUGGAACCUCAUACAUCACUCCUUAUGAGAUCUCUGUAGUGUAGCUAUUCGGUCGUGGUCAUCGAGGGUGGUUCCUCCUUCACCAUUCCUAAUACGGCUCUGUCGUGCAACACCUCAAGUGUGAACCUCGAGGGUGGUUCCUCUUACGUUCACCUUGAUGAUUACAUCGAGUGGAAUCCACCGGGGGUGAUUCCUCGGAUUUUCCCCUUUAUGUCUGGACACACAGUUACCUUGACUUCACUUGAGACCGUUUUGAAAGCCGGGCAGGCCCGGAGAGCACCCGUGCGGUGUGACGGUGGCGGCUGGCUGUUUAGCGGUAUCACCCGGGAGGGGGUGAUAGCUCCGGACUUGUCCCGACAGCCGUCACUUCUUUUAAUAAUGCACUAACAGGUUUGGGUAUUUUUUCUAAGUUCACUAACCACGACGCUAGAAUAGUUAUGGGUCUCGAUGUUGCAGUAUCAGCCGAAGCUUUCUCAGACGUCCAGUUCAGCAUUGUGGCCGGGCCGAAUCAUGCCAUCCACUUCACGGGUGGUGCUGGUAUCCCCUUGCGCACAACGACCCAGAGUGCAACGGGCGAUGGGCCCAGACCCCGGAGUGCUUAGGAUGUAGACCGGCAGGGACCUCUCUGCUGAGCCUAGGUAGGGCAGCUACGUGUUGAUCUUCCGAGGCCGGGCAUUGACCCCAGAAAGGUGUGUCCUUCCAGAGUGAUCGAGCGUGUUGGGUAACGUGGUGCCCCCCUGCAGGGAAGAUUAUCUAUUAAUAGCCGUGUCCACGGUAACGGACGUUCAAACUUAUAUCUUGAUCUUAUACAACUACAAAUGGAUACUUGAGAUAUGUGGCUCCGGGAUUGCUUUCUCGCAGGGAGUCGAGGAAGGAUCUCUGGGCGUUGUUGUCACAACAUGCUUGUUAAUUAAACUGCUAUUCUUUACUCUUCUACAUGCUGCAAGAUGCUUGGAGCUACUUGAAGAUGCUAGUCUUCAUGAGGCUAGGCCUUCCCCUCUAUUCUGGCAUUCUGCAGUUCAGUCCACAGAUACAACCCUUCCAUUUGAUACCAAUGCAUACUUAGUAUAGAUCUGAUGCUUGCGAGUACUUUGGAUGAGUACUCACGGUUGCUUUGCUACCCCAUUUCCCCCUUCUUUCUUCUUUCCGGUUGACGCAACCAAAUGGUGGAUCCCUGGAGCCAGAUGCCAGCGCUGAUAGAUGCUACUAUGUGAAGAUCGCCGACGACCAGGAGUAGUUAGGAGGUCCCAAGCAGGAGGCCUUGCCUCUUCGAUCAUUGUUGCUUUUGUGCUAGCCUUCUUAAGGCAUCUUUGUUUAACUUAUGUCUGUACUCAGAUAUUGUUGCUUCCGCUGACUCUUGUGUAUCGAGCUAUGUAUUCAAGCCCUCGAGGCCCCUGGCUUGUAAUAUAAAGCUUGUAUUAUUUUGAUUUGUGUCUAUAGUUGUGUUGUGAUAUCUUCCCGUGAGUCCCUGAUCUUGAUCAUACACAUUUGCGUGCAUGAUUAGUGUACGAUUGAAUCGGGGACGUCACAAGUUGGUAUCAGAGCCGACUGUUUGUAGGAUCCCCCUUUCCAACUCCUUGGCUGAAGUUGAGUCUAGUCUUUGAAAAAAAUUGUUUUACUAACAUGGUUGUGUGGCUUACGGGCCCAUGUCGCCAUUGGGUGGUAUUAGGAUCUUUUACUCCUCGACCUUUACUCUGGGACUCUAAUCGCUCUUCUAUUCGGGUUAAAUGGUCUCGCAAACUAUAACUCUAGGUUCUCGUAAAUACUUUCUCCCGGAGAGCCCCUUCAUUCCAGAUGAUGGCCUGCUUCACCAGAUGAUUUCGAAGAUACCCUUCUGUAAUUUCCUGAGACUUUUGUACUCAUUGCUUUUGCAGUUCCCUACCUCUGAUAUAUCCUUACGGAUAACUUCAUACACUUGUCAUUCAUACAAUCAUUCCUAGUUGCUCUUGUUUUUACAAGAUACAUUGAAUUAUUCUCCGACUUUUAAGAAUCCCUUGCUUACUGCCCUGCAGUUCCUUGCCGCAUGAAUACCCCUACGGAUAAUUACUCGCACUUGCCGAGUAUCCGUUCGUCCAUAGUUGUUCAUGUGUUUCACAACAUUCUUUGGAAAGCUAUUUGAUCUUUUCAAAAAUCCUCAGUAGCCUAUUACUCUUGUUCCUCCUUACCUACUUACAGUAUGGUUACUUCCAUUUGUCUAGCAAUAUUCUUUAAAAUCCUUUGCGAUUGACAUCCUUACCCUAUUGUUUCAACAUGUGUGUGAAUGCACGCAAUCAUCAAUUGUUCCCUGGAAUUGUCCUUCUGGCUCAGACGUUACCCCGGACACGAGCUGGUGUUCGACAAAACAAACCUUGAUUGAUUUUGAAUCUAUGUCUAUACAACUUAAUUGUCUUUGAUCAGAGCCUCUGCUUUUGAUCCCCCAUUUUGAAAAUCAUAAUCCCCUUUGCAUUCGAGCAUAGAAUUAGUCAGUUGUUUCUAUAACCUGACCUCCUUGAAUUCUUUCUUCUUCUGGUUGAGUAUCGAUACUCACAUCAGAUCCAUUGUGGACCUCCAGGUCCUUUGUUGGUUUUUAUCCGACAGCAUCCUUCAUAUUCAGUAACCUUGUGAGCCUUUCCUCGAAUACACAAUGCCUUUGGUAAAUUGUAUCCCCCACUCUCGUCAACCAUACUCUGCUUCCGGGCUUGAGUUAUUUACUCGUGAAGUUUGUGGUAUAUGUUCCUAAUAUGUCCCUAUGGGUUGAAUCUAUGUCUUCCCUAAAUCUGUGUGAACCCUACGACUCAUACUCUACUGGUGUUAUGCCAGAUAAAAUCUCAACAGUACGGCUUCGUUGAAAAUGAGAAGUGAAUGAAAGGUUAUGCAUCGAAGAAGUGGGAGUCGACCUUGAGCCUUGUGUUCAUGCCCAUGGACACGAUGUGGAACUUAACAUGGAAGCUUCUUUUUAUAAUAAUAGCCCCCUAGCGAUAAGUACAUCUUGUAUCCAUGUGUGGUCCAUUGCAAUCGUGGUUCCGACCAUAUUGUUCUUGUUUGAUCCAUUUAUCGGACAAGUUAAAGUACUUGUCUUCUUCAAAUUGUUUCACAUGUUCAACCUCUACAUUGAUAUACCUUCGAGCAUUAUCCUCUGGUAUCUCGAGAAUAUCACGGAACUACAUAACUUCUUAUGAGUUCUUGAUCAACUAUUAUUUCUCACUGAUUCAAAUUUUUCACUAGUUGGGAGUUGUUAGACACUCGAGAAUACAGUUAACUGAUUCAAGUCUACGCUUUCCUUUCCAUUGUUCUGUUUAAUCUUUCUGGUAACCUAUCUUAUCUGAGAACUGAUAAUUCCCUGCUUAUGUAAACACCUCGGUGUACAAGCUCUGUCUGUAAGACCUUGUUACUAUUGUUGAGGACAUUCCGAUAGCUACCGAUGGACGAGAACUUUGCCUAUUGGUCCGCCUCAUCUUAACGAGCAGGAAAAUGGUUCUCUUUGUCCCUCUCCCUUGGUACCAACGUUGUUGCCAACAUAACUGACAAGUUGUCCUCUGACCUGCCUUGCUAUCAUGACCAUGCAAAAUGCUAGCGCCCUUCCUGCUUUUAACCCACAAGGUGGGCCUGAGGGAGUCCUGGACUAGGCGGUGUCCGGACAGCCGGACUAUCAUCGUCCGCCGGACUCCAAGACUACGAAGAUACAAGAUUGAAGACUCCGUCCCGUGUCUGGAUGGGACUUUCCUUGGCGUGGAAGGCAAGCUUGGAAAUACGGAUAUGUAGAUCUCCUACCAUUGUAACCGACUCUGUGUAACCCUAGCCUCCUCCGGUGUCUAUAUAAACCGGAGGGCUUUAGUCCGUAGGACACAACAUACAUUACAACAAUCAUACCAUAGGCUAGCUUUAGGGUUUAGCCUCCUUGAUCUCGUGGUAGAUCCACUCUUGUACUACCCAUAUCAUCAAUAUUAAUCAAGCAGGAUGUAGGGUUUUACCUCCAUCGAGAGGGCCCGAACCUGGGUAAAACAUCGUGUCCCUCGUCUCCGGUUACCAUCCGCCUAGACGCACAGUUCGGGACCCCCUACCUGAGAUCCGCCGAUUUUGACACCGACAUUGGUGCUUUUAUUGAGAGUUCCUCUGUGUCGUCACCAAUAGGCUCGAUGGCAUCUUCAACCAACAACGCUGUCCAGGGUGAGACUUUUCUCCCCGGACAGAUCUUUGUAUUCGGCGGCUUCGCACUGCGGGCUAAUUCGUUUGGCCAUCGGAGCAGAUCGAAAGCUACGCCCCUGGCCGUCAGGUCAGAUUCGGAAGUCUCAACUUCACGGCCGACGUCCGCGGAGACUUGAUCUUCGACGGGCUCGAGCCACAGCCAAGCGCGCCGCACUGUUACGAUGGGCAUGAUCUAGCUCUGUCGCCGAACAGUGCCUUGGUGGCCGCCCACGAAUCCGCUUCGGCCUUUAGUCCGGGGCCGAUCGCCCAGACCGAGGAACGGUGGAUGGACACCGCCUCGGGGGCUUCAACUUCCACGGCGAUGGAGCCGAACACUAAUCUUGUCCCUCGCAAAACUCGUGAUUCCGAGGUGCCGGACUCCUUGCCGGACUCCGAAGCUCCCACGCCCCUACCAACCGAAUCGGAUUGGGCGCCGGUUAUGGAAUUCACCGCCGCGGACAUCUUCCAAUACUCGCCUUUUGGCGACAUCCUGAAUUCGCUAAAGCAUCUCUCGUUAUCAGGAGAGCCCUGGCCGGACUAUGGCCAGGAUGGUUGGGAUACGGACGACGAAGAAAUUCAGAGCCCACCCACCACCCACUUUGUAGCCACUGUCGACGAUCUAACCGACAUGCUAGACUACGACUCCGAAGACAUCAACGCUAUGGACGACAAUGCCAGAGACGAACAGGAACCAGCGCCUACAGGGCACUGGAAGACCACCUCGUCAUAUGACAUAUACAUGGUGGAUACCCCAAAAGACGGGGACGGCGAAGAAACAGCGGAGGCAUAUUCUUUAAAGAAACAGCCCAAGCGCCGGCAUCAGCGGCGCUGCUCUAAAUCCCGCCACGGCAAGAAUGGAGAUUCCAGCACAGGAGAUAAUAAUACCCCAGAAAGUGCCGAAGAUAACCCCCUCCAGCAAGACUCAGCGCAGGAGGAUGCAGAAGCAAGCCCUCACGAGAAGGCGGCAGACAAAGAGGUUGAGGAUUACAACUAUAUGCCUCCCUCCGAAGACGAGGCAAGCCUCAACGAUGACGAAUUCGUCGUGCCCGAGGAUCCCGUCGAACAAGAGCGUUUUAAACGCAGGCUUAUGACCACGGCAAAUAGCCUAAAGAAAAAGCAGCAGCAGCUUCAAGCUGAUCAGGACCUGCUGGCCGAUCGAUGGACCGAGGUCCUCGCGGCCGAAGAGUAUAAACUCGAAUGCCCCUCCAAAAGCUAUCCAGGACGCAAGCUGCUCCCCCGAUUAGAGGAGGAAGCAUACAUACCUCCAUCACCAGCGCACGAUACGGCUGACCGACCACCCCGUGGUCGUGACAGAGAGGCAUCCAGGCCCCCAACCAAGACCGUACCCCGGCAUCGCUCGAAAAGUAUGAAGCCAAGAGGGAACGCGCCGGACUUGCGAGAUAUAUUGGAGGACAAAGCAAGGCAAUCCAGAUCCAUCUACGGAUCACGGGGGUGCCCCACGACCCAUGACGAAUACCGUCGCGCCGGAUACAAUAACCCCGGCCGGGCCGAACACAGCAGACAACGCUCUCUCGAGUUGCAUCGUGAUAUUGCUCAAUAUAGAGGCGCCGCACACCCGCUAUGCUUCACAGACGAAGUAAUGGAUCAUCAAAUCCCUGAAGGGUUUAAACCCGUAAACAUCGAAUCCUACGAUGGCACAACAGACCCUGCGGUUUGGAUCGAAGAUUACCUUCUCCACAUCCAUAUGGCCCGCGGCGACGAUCUACAUACCAUCAAGUACCUCCCACUCAAGCUUAAAGGACCAGCUCGGCAUUGGCUCAACAGCUUGCUCGCAGAGUCAAUUGGGUGUUGGGAAGACCUAGAAGCCGCAUUCCUUGAUAACUUCCAGGGCACGUAUGUGCGACCACCAGACGCCGAUGACCUAAGUCACAUCAUUCAGCAGCCAGACGAAUCGGCCAGACAAUUCUGGACACGGUUCUUGACAAAGAAAAAUCAAAUCGUCGACUGUCCGGAUGCAGAGGCCCUUGCAGCCUUCAAACAUAACACCCGCGACGAAUGGCUAGCCCGGCACCUGGGGCGGGAAAAGCCGAAAUCCAUGGCAGCCCUCACAUCAUUAAUGACCCGCUUUUGCGUGGGAGAGGAUAGCUGGCUAGCUCGCAGCAACAAUCUCCGUAAAAAUUCUGGCAGUCCAGACACCAAGAACAAUAAUGGCAGGUCACGUCGAAACAAAAACAAACGCCGCAUCAACGGCAAUGAUAAGGAGGAUACGGCAGUCAACGCCGGAUUCCGAGGCUCUAAACCCGGUCAACGGAAGAAGCCAUUCAAAAGAACCACUCCGGGUCCGUCUAAUUUGGACCGAAUACUCGACCGCUUAUGCCAGAUACAUGGCACCCCUGAAAAGCCAGCUAAUCACACUAAUAGAGACUGCUGGGUGUUCAAGCAGGCAGGUAAGUUAAUUGCCGAAAACAAUGACAAGGGGCUAAACAGCGAGGACGAGGAGGAGACCCGACCGCCGAACAAUAGAGGACAAAAGGGUUUUCCCCCACAAGUGCGGACGGUGAACAUGAUCUACGCGACCCAUAUACCCAAUUGGGAGAGGAAGCGUGCACUAAGGGACGUCUAUGCGAUGGAGCCAGUCGCCCCGAAGUACAAUCCAUGGUCCUCUUGUCCGAUCACUUUCGAUCGAAGAGACCAUCCGACCAGCAUACGCCAUGGCGGAUUCGCCGCAUUGGUUCUAGACACAAUCGUCGAUGGAUUUCACCUCACGAGAGUCCUGAUGGACGGCGGUAGUAGCCUGAACCUGCUUUAUCAGGACACAGUGUGCAAAAUGGGCAUAGACCCCUCAAGGAUUAAACCUACAAAGACAACCUUUAACAGUGUCAUACCAGGUGUGGAAGCCAACUGUACAGGCUCAGUCACACUGGAAGUGGUCUUCGGAUCCCCGGACAAUUUCCGGAGCGAGGAGUUAAUCUUCGACAUAGUCCCGUUUCGCAGCGGCUAUCACGCUCUGCUCGGACGAAUCGCGUUCGCAAAAUUCAACGCGGUGCCGCAUUGUGCAUACCUCAAGCUCAAGAUGCCAGGCCCUCAUGGAGUCAUCACGGUCAAUGGGAAUACGGAACGCUCCCUCCGAACGGAGGAACAUACAGCGGCUCUCACGGCAGAAGUACAGAGCAGCCUUUUAAGGCAAUUCUCGAGUCCGGCCAUUAAACGGCCGGAUACAUCAAAGCGCGCCCGAAGCAAUACCAACCAAGACCACCUGGCGUGAUCAGAGCACGCGUAGCAAUGCGGCCCCAACCCCCGCCCGCGCGUGAUUGCAAGAAUAACCCUCCGCGUACAUCAUUACGCUUUGGAGAUACCAUGGGCGCAGGGGAAGGGGCACGAUCACAACGGACCCAGAGUGCAGUUCGACCGCACCAGGGGCUCGCAAGUGUGCCCCCUUUUUUUUAUUGUUAUUUUCCCUCUUUGUGUACACAGGACUCCGUUAGCCAGAGGCCCUAUCCGGCGGUGAACCUGCCGAACUCAUGAUGCAAUAACCAGGGAAGAAAGAACGCUGCGACGAACACUCAGGUGGUCUCAAUUACAAGCAUUAAAUUCGAUUAUAUACACCAAGUCCGCAGCUUACCCUUGGAGGGGGACAUGUUUAAUUAGUCCAAAUCCCUUGCUUACCACACUAUUUGUAUCAGUCCGCACUCAUAGCAGACUUUCUUUCAUAAAUAAUGCAGCACCUUUUUGACUGCAAUUACAUUACCUUUUAUAUAUAUAUGCUCAUUACAUGACAUCUUGCACCCGUAUAUUUUGGUACGGCCUAAUACACCAGGGGCUUAUGUUCCCCACAUUAUGGUGUGAUAAGUCCGAACACUUUCGUAAGUGCAGCACCCCGAACUUAUAGCACUAUAUGAAUCGGCUCCGAAUCAUGUCUUGGGUCAAUAGUUGGGUUUGCCCGGCUCCCACGUUUUGGUGCCUUACGUUCCGUUCUGUCGGCUAAGGUGGCACUGGGAGAACCACUGCGAUUGCGCCCCGGUUGAGCCGGGCGAGCACCUCAGUGGAGAAAGCUAAAACUGACCGGCAUGAUAAGGCGAGAGACUGGUCGCUGUUCGAGAGGUUUUUUCGGGUCCUUAAAGACUCACGCCACUUCGAGCGAAGUUCCGGACCAUGUCUGACGAAGGCGUGGAUAGCGCCCCGGAUUCGGCCUUUCGGAUACCAGGGGCUUCGCCGAAAUUUAAAAUUAUAGAAUUCUAUGGCUAAGUGAGAGUGUUCAAGCAUUAUAAGUCCGGUCGCCUUGUUCGUUGUGUUGAGCACCUCCCUAGAUGGACCCAAAAAUGGGAAUAAGAGUGCUCAAGUUUAUCCCGAACACCCCAGCACUCGUGGCUCGGGGGCUGAAGCCAAUGACUUUCCAUCUCUCAGAUUUUAUAAACGGCCGCACAGAAGGUAAUAUUUUAAAUUAAAACAAGCGUUGCUCAUGGCGCAUCUGAACGAAGUUUUCAGCGCACAGGAUAAUACAUAGCGAGUUCACUCAAAGAUUACAUUUCUAGGGCACUCAUCCGCAAUAUCGCGGGCUCCCUUCAGGACAGUUUUAUAAUACAUUUCAGGCGUGCGAUACUCCUUGCCCGGCGGCGGUGGGUCUGUGAGAAGCUUCUCCGCAUCCAACCUGCCCCAAUGCACCUUUGUGCGGGCAAGGGCCCGACGAGCACCUUCAAUACAGGCGGAGCGCUUGAUGACCUCCACCCAGGGGCAUGCAUCCACCAGCCGCCGCACGAGGCCGAAGUAGCUACCAAGCAUGACCUGUUCAGGCCACAGCCGGACUAUAAGGCCCUUCAUGGCCUCUUCAGCUACCUUGUGGAGUUCGACCAGCUGCUUCAGCUGGUCGCUUGGGGGCACCGGAUGGCCUGCCUCAGCGUACUAAGACCAGAAGACCUUCUCCGUUGAGCUCCCCUCCUCGCCACGAUAGAAUGCGGCGGCAUCGGAGGCACUACACGGCAGAUCUGCAAACACCCCUGGAGAGCUCCGAAUGCGGGUAAUUGUCAGGUAGUUUACAUUAACAUGCUUGCUUUGCAUGAAAAAUGCCUUACCCGCCGCUAUCUUCUUUACAUCUUCAACCUCCUGAAGGGCCUUACGGGCCUCGGCCUUGGCGGACUUGGCACUUUCGAGAGCCGAGGCAAGCUCGGACUCUCGAGUCUUGGAGCCUCCUGCUUUUCUCGCUCCGCCCGUUCCGCGACCGCACUGCGUUCAGCCGCGGACACAGCCUCCUUCAGGGCUGCCACCUCGUUCGUGGCCCCUGCAAUACCCAUAUUAUCCUUGUUAAUUUUAUUGCAACCAAAAUCCUUUUCCGUAAGGUGACUAUUCAAAGCGGUGUUACUCACCUUCUUUGUCCUCGAGCUGCUUCUUGGCAGUGCCGAGCUCUUGCUCGGACCGCUCGAGAUCCUGCUUCAACACAUCGACCUCCGCCGUCAGUGCGGCAGAGGUCAGUAGCGCAGCCUGCAAACCCAUAUUGACAUAUUUUAAGCAACCCUGCGUAUAUCUUGUUAGAUCCUCAGUCCGGCUUUUCUUUCCGAACACCGAACUGAGCAUCAAGGGCUACUGUCUAUGCGGUAUUACAUUACAUAAUUUUAACUUCUUACCUCAAAGCCUGUUAGAAGGCUGCUGCAGGCUUCGGUCAGCCCGCUCUUGGCGAGCUAAACCUUUUGAAUCACCGCACUCAUGUUAGUGCGAUGUUUUUCCUCGAUGGAAGCGCCUUCAAGCGCCUCCAACAAGUUAUCCGGCGCCUCCGGUUGGACGGAGGUCGCCGGUGUCAAGGUCUUGCCCUUCUUUCGAAGGGGCCGCCCGCCGGACUCUAGAACCACUGCGGGUUCCGAUGUAGAGUCCGGCACAAAGUCUGGGAGGCAGCCUGACGACGCCUCCGGAGCCUCCUCCUGAUGGGUCCCUCUCUGGGAUCCCACCUCGGCGUCCCCGUCGGCGCGGGGGGUAGAGGCGGUCGGAAGUGAAUCCACAUCUAACGGGGCCAACGACCCGCUCGAUGAAGCGGGGAGAUCAUCAUCGGCCGGACUACGGACAGAACGCGGCAUUAGAAGGACACUACGCGACACGAAAGAAAUUGCAUAUCAUGGAUCCGGAUACUUACGAUCUUGUCGGACGCCUGGCCCUUGGAGGCCACUCAUCCUCGCCAACGGUGGUGUUGGCGAAACUGUCCGGGGGGAUAGUCCUCCCCCUCUUGGACCCUUCGGCCUCCCCUAUUGGGAAAGCCUUCCACUUCUUCUCUCCCUCCUCCGAGAGAGAGUCCUCUUCCUCCUCCUCGUCUUUGGGGGAGGAGUCCGCCUCGUCGUCGGACGCCUAAUUGCGGGAACUCUUUCGAGUCCCCGCGGCCACCUUCUUGGCCUUCUUCUCCGGCACCACGUGCGGUGCCGGAACCAGCAGCCCUGCUAAACGGGCGUUCUCUGGGUCUUCAGGCAUGGGAGCCGGGCUGAUGAGCUGCUUGGCCUUCUCCAUCCAUUCCUAUCAAAGGAAAAGAGAGAUUGAAACCCUCUUAGAAUCAGUUUAAUUACCACAAGUGUCCCGUAACGUGGUUGAAUCACUUACCUCGUCAGCCGGAUGCUGCGAGCGAAAUCCGUGAUCUUCCGUCGCGGAUGCGGGGGCUUCGGCGCCCUUAAACAGCACCCUCCAGGCGCCUUCGUAUGUCGUAUCGAAGAGCCCGCUCAGCGCCUGGUGCUGUUCCGGAUUGAACUCCCACAGAUUGAAUACCCGUUCUUGGCAUGGGAGAAUCCGGCGGAUGAGCAUGACUUGGACCACGUCGACGAGCCUGAGCUUAUUGCUCACCAGCUUCUGGAUGCAGGCUCGGAGUCCCGUCACCUCCUUCGGAUUUCCCCACAGCAAGCCCUUCUCUUUCCAGGAGGUGAACUGCGUGGGGACGCCAGAUCUAAACUCGGGGGCCGCCGCCCAUGUGGGCUUGCGCAGCUCGGUGAUGUAGAACCAACCCGAUUGCCACCCCUUGACGGAGUCCACGAAGGCCCCUUCGAGCCAAAGGACGUUGGGCAACUUACCCAACAUGGCGCCUCCGCAUUCCGCUUGCGUGCCCUUCACAACCUUCGGCCUCCCCUAUUGGGGAAGCCUUCCUCUUCUUCUCUCCCUCCUCCGGGAGAGAGUCCUCUUCCUCCUCCUCGUCUUCGGGGGAGGAGUCCGCCUCGUCGUCAGACGCCUGAUUGCGGGAACUCUUUCGAGUCCCCGCGGCCACCUUCUUGGACUUCUUCUCCGGCACCACGUGCGGUGCCGGAACCAGCAGCCCUGCUAAACGGGCGUUCUCUGGGUCUUCAGGCAUGGGAGCCGGGCUGAUGAGCUGCUUGGCCUUCUCCAUCCAUUCCUGUCAAAGGAAAAGAGAGAUUGAAACCCUCUUAGAAUCAGUUUAAUUACCACAAGUGUCCCAUAACGGGGUUGAAUCACUUACCUCGUCAACCGGAUGCUGCGAGCGAAAUCCGUGAUCUUCCGUCGCGGAUGCGGGUGCUUCGGCGCCCUUAAACAGCACCCUCCAGGCGCCUUCGUAUGUCGUAUCGAAGAGCCCGCUCAGCGCCUGGUGCUGUUCCGGAUUGAACUCCCACAGAUUGAAUGCCCGUUCUUGGCAUGGGAGAAUCCGGCGGAUGAGCAUGACUUGGACCACGUCGACGAGCCUGAGCUUAUUGCUCACCAGCUUCUGGAUGCAGGCUCGGAGUCCCGUCACCUCCUUCGGAUUGCCCCACAGCAAGCCCUUCUCUUUCCAGGAGGUGAACUGCGUGGGGACGCCAGAUCUAAACUCGGGGGCCGCCGCCCAUGUGGGCUUGCGCAGCUCGGUGAUGUAGAACCAACCCGAUUGCCACCCCUUGACGGAGUCCACGAAGGCCCCUUCGAGCCAAAGGACGUUGGGCAACUUACCCAACAUGGCGCCUCCGCAUUCCGCUUGCGUGCCCUUCACAACCUUCGGCUUGACGUUGAAGGUCUUGAGCCACAGGCCGAAGUGGGGCCGGAUGCAGAGGAAGGCCUUGCACACGACGAUAAACGCCGAGAUGUUGAGGAUGAAGUUCGGCGCCAGAUCGUGGAAAUCCAGGCCGUAGUAAAACAUGAUCCCCCGGACGAAUGGGUGGAGUGGAAAGCCCAGUCCGCGGAGGAAGUGGGGAAGGAAGACGACCCUCUCAUGGGGCCCAGGGGUAGGGAUGAGCUGCCCCUCGUCGGGCAGCCGAUGCGCGAUAUCGCCGGAAAGGUAUCCGGCGCUGCGAAGCUUGGUGAUAUGCUCCUCCUUAACGGUGGAGUCCAACCAUUUGCCUCCCGCUCCGGACAUAUUCGGAGAAGGUCGGGGCGAGAUGCGCGAGCUUGGGCGUUGGAGCUUGAGUGCACGGAGAUGGAUAAGCAAAGGAGGAAGAAGGCGUAGGUGAGAAGGUAAAUCCUUAUCCCUUAUAUAUAGGCGGACGAAAACUAUGCGUCCCCACCGGCCUGAUAAAACUCGCUUAUCUCCCAAGCGCCACCAUCAAUGGCGCGGUUGGGUUACCCACGUCCGUAUUGAUGGGAAUCCCGGAAUAAGGGGAACACAAUCUCUGCUUCGACAAGACGUGCCAAGGAAACCGCUUCGCUAAACGUGCUGAGGUGGUAUAGUAAAAAACGAUUCAAACAAAGGCUUGGUAGCGGUGUGAUGUCACGCCGCAUAAUACGUCAGCAGAUUGGACUGGUGUACAUUUUAUUCUCUCUACGGUGGAAUGUGGAAUUUAUUUUGCAGAGCCGGACACUAUCCUGGUGUUCAUGAUCUUCUCUGGAUUAUUCAAGGGAGGAACCCGCCUUGCAAUGCCGAACAUUAUGCGCGCCGGACUUAUCGUCAUUGAAGCCUGGUUCAGGGGCUACUGAGGGAGUCCUGGACUAGGGGGUGUCCGGACAGCCGGACUAUCAUCGUCCGCCGGACUCCAAGACUACGAAGAUACAAGAUUGAAGACUCCGUCCCGUGUCCAGAUGAGAUUUUCCUUGGCGUGGAAGGCAAGCUUGGCAAUACGGAUAUGUAGAUCUCCUACCAUUGUAACCGACUCUGUGUAACCCUAGCCUCCUCCGGUGUCUAUAUAAACCGGAGGGCUUUAGUCCGUAGGACACAACAUACAUUACAACAAUCAUACCAUAGGCUAGCUUUAGGGUUUAGCCUCCUUGAUCUCGUGGUAGAUCCACUCUUGUACUACCCAUAUCAUCAAUAUUAAUCAAGCAGGACGUAGGGUUUUACCUCCAUCGAGAGGGCCCGAACCUAGGUAAAACAUCGUGUCCCUCGUCUCCUGUUACCAUCCGCCUAGAUGCACAGUUCGGGACCCCCUACCCGAGAUCCGCCGGUUUUGACACCGACAGGGCCCAUAACCCACAGUUCCACAGGAUCGAAACCUGACUCAUGUACAUCCCUGUUUUUCAAAGUUGUUCCUCGCGCUUGGAUUCGUAUGUAAUUCACGAGCCACCUUCCUUGUGAUCUGUUCUGGUAUCAGAUGCAAUACUUAUUCCCAUUGCUCUAAACCCCUUUCACCUUCUUACCUUGCUCUCGAUGACUAUCCUGAAUUCCAACUCAAGAGAUGCCUCUAUGCCAUGUUGAGGUACCUAUCUUGUGUUGAGCUCCAUCCCUCCCGAGUCUUUCCCCCUUACUCACCCCUUAAAUCUCGAGACGAUAUUUCUUGUAGUGGAGGAGAAUUGUGACGCCCAAAUAAUUAAGCUACAGUAAUCCCCUUUUAAUGGUUCCAUGUCAUCACAUUACUAUUGCUAAUCCUCGCUUGAUCCAAAUCUUAGUUCAAACUAAUAUUCAAAUUAAAGACCAAAAUUCAAAUUUCUCAAGCAUGCAUAAUAAAAUGUUCAAAGUGUGGCAAAUAAUCCCUGGAUAUUUGUCAUGUUGGAAACAACCUCCUUAGAAUUUUCAAAAUGCCCCUGGGAGUUAAUUUUUGGUCAAGUAGUAAAUUAAAUGGCAUUUGCAAAACAAAUAAUUAUUUAUUUAACUCCAAUUGCCUCCUGUCGUGGGAAACGAACACCUAUGGGGCAGGGCCCCUUUUCGGUCUGGCAAGGGAGCGGAGGGCACACGAAGAGCAGAUCGAGGCGAAGCACGCGGGGGAAUUUUACCCAGCUUCGGAGCUCUCCGGAGAGAUAAAACUCCUACUGCUGCUUUGUGUUUCUAUUCUGUUCUUGCUCAAGAGUGUGGGUGUGUUGUAGUUUCGAAUGAGUCGAACCCCUUCUACGUGCGCAUGGGCCUCCUUUUUAUAGUCUAAAGGGGUCACCGACAGGUGGCAGCAUAGAGAGAGGGGUAAAAAAGUAAAAACGCGGGUUGGUACAACCGCUAUCAACAGUGCCCCCUACCUAACUCUGACAGCAGGGGACAAGGGCAUUUAAUGCCCAUCCGGUCGCCCAAACAGUGCAGGAAGUGACCGUUAGGGGCGCCACCAAUCGCCACGAUGGCCUCCUAGUCAUCUUCACUUGCCACCUCGCACCGCUUGGCUGCACAGCUACCCGCCACGUGCACCGGGAGCGAUCCUGCGGCGACACGUCAUCGGAUGCGCUGGAGCAUGGGCGCAGAGUUGUGGCUUUGCCGCGGCAAGCGCCUUGCCGCGGUCACUAUCUUGUUGCACCCGCAAGCUUGCCGCUCGCCGGGUCUUGGUUGGCCUUCCCGGCAAGAUCCUCCUGCCGGGGUCUUGUCCUUCCCGGCAAGCUUCUCUUGCCGGGGCUUCGUCUUCACAGUUAACACUUUGUUCUUGAAUGGCAGUAAAUAGGAAUGACGAAGGAUCUUGGCGGACGCCCGGCAAGCCUUGCCGCAGGACGCUGCGCCUGCCCGUGCACAAGUUCGGGGUACUAAGGUACCCCUACUUUAGUACACCGACUGGAGCCCCCGGGCCUGGGCCAUACACGGUGCUGAGCGCUGUUGGGCCAGGCCCAAAACAGGACACGGGCACGCGCGGCCUGGGUCCUAACUAAAUCCACUCCGUAUCCACCGCGUCCUCCCGUAACGGCACGCGUCAAUCGCGGCGUCGUGGGAGAGAUCGUGGGUGGAAGACGUUCGCGCGUAUCCACAGCCUGAUGGAGGGGUUUACCCUCCAUUUUAAGUUAAUGGAGGGCGAUCUCCUCUCCGUCAAGGUCUUCGGGUGCUUCGACACUCGGGCGAAGUGCUGCGUGGACAGCUCCUCCGAUAGCAAAGGCUCCCCCUCGAGCGAGAGCGACAAGGAGGAGAGCAACAGCGAUGAUGAGGGUAGCGGGCGGCGGGAUGGCGGGCCCGACUAGGUGUCGGGCGCCGCUUCGUGCGUCACCGGUGACCCCAUCAUCCGUGUCGCCGGCUCCUUGAACUCCCCGGGGUCGUCUCCUUGGGCGGCUGGCGUAGGGAGGCUGCGGAAGGGGAAGAGGGCUGGCGACAAGGCCGUCAAAUCGGAGUACGAGGGCGUAGUGCCCUCGACAGCGUGCUGACGUCCUGCCGCCCCAUCUUCGAGCCCCGCUUCCAGCGCCGCCAUCACCGUCCGGCCUUCGGACGGCCCCCGGGAUGUUCUCUUGGUGUCUUCGCCUAGGCGCCUCUUUUGCCCUUUUCGCCUCCUUGACCUACAUCCUGAAGAGAGGGACAGGAAAGGGAUUACGGGCAUCUUAUCUUUUUAAUUUGUAAGCCUUCGGGCCCUAGUCGCAUCUAAAACUUGUAACCCUCUCUUUCAUGUUUUUCAUCCUCUAUGGACUGUACCUGAGUGUGAUGUUUUUUUAAUGAAAAAGGGAUGCUUGCCGGGUUAUUUGUCUCAUGGGUUGAACCCACGCCAAGGAGCAAAUCCUUGGUAUCCCUCGGACAGGCAUUUCAUCUCCCGCCAACAGGCCCUGCCGCCUUCCCACGUCGCUCGACCUUUCUCACGCCUUUGACGGAGGCGGGAACGAGGUGGGUGCGGCCUCCUCAUUUCAUCCCUUUGCUGCUGUGACUACGACCAAACUUGGCCCCGGGAACGAGCCCCAGGGCCUAGAGUUGAGGGAGCACGGCAGUUUUCGGGAAGAAACGCGGUUUCGCAUUCCCCAGUCCAUAAGAGGAUGCAUGAUGAGGGACGAAAGACUUAUCUGAUAUCGCAGCCCCCGGCAACUCUGGCUUGCCGUGGAUGAAUCUUGGUACUCGCAGCCCCCAGCAACACUGGCUUGCCGGGGCCCAGGUGCCGGCGCGCCCUUCUUCUCCUUUCCUUGUCGCUGUUAUUUCAGUUAUGAGAACAAUUUAGUCAGUGCCGCAAUAAGUUACUCUUGUAAUAUAACUUUAUUCUGGGCAAUGCUUGUUAUGUUACAUCCUUUAUUUGAUUCCAUUCCUUGUAUGUUUGUACCCUUACGCUUUUACGGAACUUGCCGGUGCAAACACGCUUGCCACGAGCGCUGAGUGCAAAACAUCAGCAGCCUUCUAGCGGUGUUGCCUCCGGCAAGAAACCUUGUCGGGGCUAGUCGCAGCACACUUUCAUUGUUGAGCGGACUCAAAACAAAGUAAGGGUGCAACUUAACCACGAGCCGGUUCCUCUGCGCACAGGUUUUCCAUACAAGGCAUGGUCGUUCAAGGAAUAUAACUUAAAAAUUUAAAACUGACUGUGCUUAAACUUCGGCAACUUAGCUUUUUUGUUGUUUGUGUCCNNNNNNNNNNNNNNNNNNNNNNNNNNNNNNNNNNNNNNNNNNNNNNNNNNNNNNNNNNNNNNNNNNNNNNNNNNNNNNNNNNNNNNNNNNNNNNNNNNNNNNNNNNNNNNNNNNNNNNNNNNNNNNNNNNNNNNNNNNNNNNNNNNNNNNNNNNNNNNNNNNNNNNNNNNNNNNNNNNNNNNNNNNNNNNNNNNNNNNNNNNNNNNNNNNNNNNNNNNNNNNNNNNNNNNNNNNNNNNNNNNNNNNNNNNNNNNNNNNNNNNNNNNNNNNNNNNNNNNNNNNNNNNNNNNNNNNNNNNNUGUGGGCGCAGGAAUCUUCUCUUUGAGAAAAAGGAAGAAGAGAAAAUAAAGUUAUGGAGCCUUAAGGCUUGUUAUUGCUUACCGGGGGCAAGUUCUGCACAAAGUGUCAGUGUAUACAUGCUAAAAAGAAAAAGGCAUGAAUUUUGACAAUAUGUACUAAACAUAUGAUCUUUAUUUAUGCACGGGAUCUGCGCCCGGCUUUGUACAAAGGGUUACAUGCAACAACGGCAAGGCUUGUACAAAAGGUGGUUGCCAGGACAGCAGGUUCCGGCAACCGCGCCUUAUGGGUAAAACUUACGAAGAUGAUCUAUGUUCUAGGAGUUGCUCACCGGAAUGCCAUCUUCGGUCUCAAGGCGGACAGCGCCAGGCCUAGUGACUCGCUUUACCCGAUAAGGGCCUUCCCACUUCGGCGUCAACUUGUUGGAAUUCUUGGCAGAUUGAACGCGCCGAAGAACAAGGUCACCUUCCUCGAAGCUUCUGGCAUUAACUUCGCGGCUAUGGUAGCGGCGCAAAGCUUGCUGGUAGCGAGCAGCUCGUACAGCAGCCUGAAGACGAUCCUCCUCGAGGAGCAGCGCGUCAUCUUGCCGCAGCUGCUCUUGCUCAAGCUCAUCAUAAGCGAGCACUCGAGGCGAUCCGUAUACGAGUUCUGUGGGGAGAACUGCCUCUGCUCCAUAGACAAGAGCAAAAGGUGUCUGGCCAGUGGCUCGAUUUGGCGUCGUCCUGAUCGACCAAAGAACCACCUGUAGCUCCUCGAUCCAAUUUCUUCCGCACUUGUGCAGCCUGUCGAAAGUUCUGGUCUUGAGCCCACGCAGCACUUCAGCGUUUGCCCUCUCCGCUUGACCGUUGCUUCUCGGGUGAGCAACAGAAGCGAAGCAGAUCUUGGCGCCAAGAUCUUGGACGUACUGCAUGAAGGUGCAGCUCGUGAAUUGUGUGUUGUUGUCGGUGAUGAUCCUAUUAGGGACUCCGGAACGGCAAACAAUUGACCUGAAGAACUUGACUGUUGACUGUGCUGUCACCUUCCUCACUGGCUCCACCUCCGGCCACUUCGUGAACUUGUCGAUGGCCACGUACAAGUACUCGAAGCCCCCGACAGCUCGGGGAAAAGGGCCAAGGAUAUCAAGCCCCCAGACUGAAAAUGGCCAGGAUAAAGGGAUUGUUUGGAGAGCUUGAGCUGGUUGAUGAAUCUGUUUGGAGUGGAACUGGCACGCUUCACACUUGGUUACUUGUGCAGUCGCAUCCUGGAGGGCUGUUGGCCAAAAGCAACCUUGCCGGAAGGCUUUACUGGCAAGUGCUCUUGCGCCAAUGUGGUGGCCACAUAUGCCUCCAUGUAUCUCCGCCAACAGCUCUUGUCCUUCUUCCCGGGAAAUGCACUUCAAUUUCACUCCGUUGAAUCUUCUUCUGUACAGUAUGUCAUCGACAAACUGAUACAUACUUGAUUGUCGGGCUACUUUCUCUGCUUCUUCUUGCUCUUCGGGAAGUUCUCCUGUUUGAAGGAAAUGGACGAUCUGCUGUGCCCAUGCCGGAGCUUGUGGCUCGACGACAAGGACUAAAGGCGCAAAUGCUGCUGCGGGAACAUCCGCUUCUACGGCAAGAAUAUGAGAUCCUGCCGGAGCGUGAUGCUCCCCGGCAAGCGUGCCGGGGCACAGCUUGUCGGGAGCGUCUGCUUCAACGAAACAAACCCUAGGGCUUGUCGGAGCAGACUGCUCCUCAGCACUUUCUAUGUUGAUCCUGGGGACCUUCUUGGCGGCGGCUUCGGGGAGCUCUGCCGGAAAGUAGUCGCCAGUAACCAACUUUCUCUUCUUGCUCUGUCCAGUUGAUGGUGUUACAGAUGGCUGAGUCAGCUUGAGCACAAAAAUACCUGGUUCCACAGGUAACUUGAGUGCGGUGCACUUUGACAGGCCGUCUGCAAUGUCAUUCUGAGCUCUUGGAACAUGUUCCAUCUGCAGGCCGUCAAAAUGCUCUUCCAGCUUCCUCACUUCAUCAAUGUAGGCCUCCAUCAGCGGACUCUGAUAAUCUGUGUUAACUUGGCGGACGACAAGCUGUGAGUCACCCCUGACAAUAAGCUUCUUGAUCCCAAGUUCUGUCGUGAUCCUGAGUCCGGCAAGCAGGCCCUCAUAUUCUGCAGUAUUGUUUGUUGCUUGCUCCUUGGGAAAGUGCAUUUGGAUCAUGUACUUGAGGUGCUCUCCGGUGGGUGCGACAAGUAACACACCCGCACCGGCGCCUUGCAGCGAGAAAGCACCAUCAAAGUACAUGAUCCAUUCCCUGUUUGCUUCCUUGACGGGGAUCCUCGUCUCCGGAGUUUCUUCAUCUGGUGUUGGCGUCCACUCCACUAUGAAUUCUGCCAAUGCUCGGCUCUGGAUAGUUGAAGUACUUUCAAACUUGAGGCCAAAGCUUGACAGUUCCAGUGCCCACUCGACAAUCCUGCCUGUUGCUUCUGGAUUUUGCAAUAUCCUCUUCAACGGAAAGCGAGUGACAACUGUGAUCUGAUGUGCUUGAAAAUAAUGGCGCAGCUUCCUCGAGGCCAUGAGAAGGCCGAAAAGCAACUUUUGCACUCCAGAGUAUCUUGAUCUAGCCACCUGCAGAAGGGAGCUGACAAAAUAAACUGGGUGCUGCACCAUCUUCUUUUGUUUCUCUGCCUGCGGCUGCACAGACUCAUCCUUGUCGGGACCAGAGCUUGACGGAGAAGCCCCCUGCUUGUCGCUGGACUCGCUUGCCGCGGCCGCUGGCUCAUCAUCUGCCUCCCUCUCUGCUACUAACGCAGCACUAACCACUUGAUUGGUUGCUGCUAGAUACAGCAGCAACUUCUCUUGCGGCUUAGGUGCGACAAGUACUGGAGUGGAGGAUAGGUAUCUCUUCAAGUCCUGUAGCGCAGCCUCCGCUUCUGGAGUCCAUUUCAUUGGACCUGCCUUUUUCAAAAUUUUGAAAAACGGCAGGGCGCGCUCAGCAGACUUAGAGAUGAACCUACUGAGAGCAGCAACGCAGCCGGCAAGCCUUCGCACAUCCUUGAGGCGCUUCGGGGCUUCAAUCUGCUCGAUGGCCUUGAUCUUGUCGGGGUUGGCUUCGAUCCCCCUCUGGGACACGAAGAACCCGAGAAGCUUGCCGGAAGGAACUCCAAACACGCACUUCUCAGGGUUCAACUUGAGAUUGAUCUUGCGCAGAUUUGCAAAAGUCUCAUCCAAAUCUUGGAUCAAAGUUUCUCUAUCUUUGCUCUUGACCACUAUAUCAUCCAUGUAUGCUUCUACAUUCCUGUGCAGCUGUGGCUCAAAAGCAUGACUGACUAGUCUUGCAAACGUUGAACCAGCAUUCUUUAGUCUGAAAGGCAUUCAUACAAAGCAGUACGUGCCACAUGGAGUAAUGAAUGCGGUGUUCUCUUCAUCCUCUUUUGCCAUGAAAAUCUGAUGGUAUCCUGAGUAUGCAUCAAGAAAUGAAAGCAGAUCACAUCCUGCCGUGGAGUCGACAAUCCGGUCAAUGCGCGGCAAGGGAAAUGGAUCUUUGGGACAAGCUUUAUUAACAUCCGUGAAGUCAAUACAAAGCCUCCACUUCCCAUUCACCUUGCGCACAAUUACUGGAUUGGCUAACCACGUUGGAUGGAGUACUCCUCGGACGAGGCCUGUUGCUUCCAACUUCUUGAUCUCUUCUGCUAUGAACUCUUGGCGUUCCGCCGCUUGCUUCUUGACUCUCUACUUGACGGGCCGCGCGUGAGGACAGACGGCAAGGUGGUGCUCAAUUACUUUCCUGGGAACACCGGGGAUGUCAGAUGGUUGCCAUGCAAACACAUUGACAUUCGCCCGCAGGAAAGCAACGAGCGCGCUUUCCUAUUUAGGGUCAAGCGUGGCACUGAUGGUGAAGGUACCACUAGUGCCGUCCUCCUUGGCGGCCACUUUCUUGGUAUCAGGUGUCGCUAUCUUUGCCCUCUUGCACUUGCCGGUGGAGCUCGAUGGUGCGUCCUCGACGGUAGCACAGCACUCCGAAGAGGUGCGCUUGCCGGAGUGGGCAUCAGAGCUACUCUUGCCGGACUUGGUCUUCUUCUUCUUCCCCCCGGGAGCUUCAGCGGCAAGUGGUUUGUGCUCUGCUGCGGCUGCUGCUUCCUGGUAGAUCUUGUCGGUGCAGAUAAGCGCAUCCUUCUUGUCGCCUUGGACAGAAAUGACGCUUAUCGGACCGGGCAUCUUGACCACGUUGUAAGCAUAAUGAGAGGCUGCCAUGAACUUGGAAAGCGCUGGACGGCCGAGUAUCCCAUUGUAGGGCAACGGGAAAUCAGCAACAUCAAAUGUGACUCUCUCUGUCCUGAAGUUCAGUUUGCUGCCAAAUGUCACUGGUAGUGUAAUCUUCCCCUUGGGCUUGCUCCUUCCCGGGUUGAUUCCUUGAAAGGUACCAGUUUCUUCGAGCUCGCUGUCGGGGAUCUGGAGCUUGUUGAGCACCGCGGAAGAGAUCAGAUUUAGGCCGGCCCCACCGUCAACCAACAUCUUCGUGACCUUGAGGUUGCGGAUGGUUGGCGAAACCAACAUCGGCAAGCACCCGACCGCAGUGAUGCGAUCAGGGUGAUCCUCAACAUCAAAGACGAUGGGCGUACUGGACCACUUCAGGGGCUUGCGCGAUUCGACUGAUGGUUCAGCUGCAUUUACCUCCCGCACCCACUGCUUGAGUUGGCGGUGCGAGGUGUGCAGAGAAGCACCGCCGUCAACGCACAAAACCUCUGUUGCCUUCUGAAACUCUUGCUCGUCGGUCUCAUCCUCGUCCAUCUCAUCAUCCUCAUCUUCAUCUUCGUCCUUGUCACGGCCACGGGGAGGUCUGUCUCCUUGCCGCUGCUUGGCCUUGCCGCGGCGCCCUCCCCGGGCGGGACGCUUCUUGCCGGAUCCUCCGCCACCUUCCUGGGCCUUCUCCUUGUCGCGACGCUCGUAUUCAGCUUUCUGUAGUUCUGCCAUUUGCUCAACCUUCUUGCAUGCUUGGAGGUCAUGGCCCUUGGUGCGAUGGAUCUUGCAGUACUGCUUGCCGGAACAAUCCUGCUUGUCGGCGGCCACCACAGCCUCGCCGGAGUCACCAGCUUUGGCCUUGUCGGCGCCGCCUCCGUUGCCGGACUGCUCAACAACUAGCACAUCCUUAGCCUUUCUCUUUCUAUUAUUCCGCCUCCGGUUCUUCUUUGCCGGAGGGACGUCCUCAUUGUCCGAUCCUUCUGCUCCUGCAUUCUCUCCGGGAAGUUUCCUCCCCUCUUCAGCUCGUGCACACUUGUCAGCCAGAGCAUAUAGCUCGCUGACAUCUCUAAUCUUGCACAUCGCCAUCUCCUCCCUCAUCCUGCGGUUACGCACGUUCUGAUGGAAUGCGCUGAUAACCGCGGCAGGGUGGACGUCUGGGAUGUUGCGCUGCACCUGGCUGAAUCUCUGUAUGUACUUGCGCAGGGGUUCUCCUUCUUUCUGGGCGAGCAGAUGAAGAUUGCUCUCCUGACCAUGGGGUUUGUGGCCGCCUGUGAAGGCGCCGACAAACUGAUGGCACAGGUCCGCCCACGAAGAGAUGGAGUUGUCCGGCAAGUGCAUGAGCCAAGAUCUGACGUUGGGCUUGAGCACCAGCGGGAAGUAGUUGGCGAGGAUCUUCUCGUCGCGCCCCCCGGCAGCCUGCACCGCGAUGGUGUAGACGCUGAGGAACUCUGAUGGAUGUAUCCUGCCAUCGUACUUCUCGGGUAUGUCCGGCUUGAAGUUCUUGGUACUGGGCCACUGGACUUGCCGCAGCUCACGGGUGAACGCAGGGUAACCUGCCGCGUACGGCAAGUCGCCUGGUUCCCCUGGCGCAUGCAUAUCGACAGUGGGCCCAGCGCACUGGUCAGAUUAAUGUCGCGCUUCUCUUCUGCGCUCGAUGCGAGUACGAGCGUCUCUGUGUCGUCGUUCUUGGAGAACUUGGCGUUGAUCGCGGCGAGCUCGCGGGUCCGACGACGCGGUGGAGUCGGUGUCGAGGUUGGAACGGCGAGUUGGCGAUCAUGGCCUUCGGGGCGGGGAGUGCACGGUGGUGGCACCCCCAGCGGUCUUGUCGGUGUCGGCUUGCGCCCGGGCGUCUUGCCGGGGCUUUCGAUGUGCUCGGUUGCCGGGGCUUGUCGCCGUUGGCGAAGCCGAUGAGGCUUUGGAUGGUGAUCCUCCAGUCGUCGAUCUUGUCUGGCGCUGGAGGGUAAUCUAGAAGCAGCUGGGCUCGGGCCAGCGCUUCCUCUGGAGUCUUGGGCGGCGGUGGCGAGCGACGCGAGGUGCGGGAUAUGCUCAAACUUCUAACAGUGUUAGAAGGAGCAACAUCUCGCCCAGGCGACCGUACUUCGCUCGUGCCAGCGUGUUGACGUGUAUGUUGGCCUUGAGCGUCCCGCGAUCCGCCGGCUUGGCCUUGUUCCAACACGAGCACGGUGCUAGGAGUACCGUGGCAUUGCCGAUCUUGCACCUCCUGGGAGGGGUACGGUGGAUGUACAGACGCUGAAGCUUGCGGGGCCUUGUCCUCGGACCUGGUGACGAUGUGAGUCCCCCCGUCGGCGCCCGCUCCUCCGCCGGCGUCCACCCCACCACCCGUUUGCUCCGGUGGCGGUAGGAUAGUCGCAAACGGAGUGGCCACCUCCGAAGCCUUCUUCUUCGGUGGCAUGUCGAUGAAGAUGUUGAUGUAGCGCGCAGAUGCCGGAUCAGGUACGCACAACCUCGACGCCCACCUACCUGGCGCGCCAAAGAUGUCGUGGGAAACGAACACCUAUGGGGCAGGGCCCCUUUUCGGUCCAGCAAGGGAGCGGAGGGCGCACGAAGAGCAGAUCGAGGCGGAGCACGCGGGGGAAUUUUACCCAGCUUCGGAGCUCUCCGGAGAGAUAAAACUCCUACUGCUGCUUUGUGUUUCUAUUCUGUUCUUGCUCAAGAGCGUGGGUGUGUUGUAGUUUUGAAUGUGUCGAACCCCUUCUACGUGUGCAUGGGCCUCCUUUUUAUAGUCUAAAGGGGUCAGCGACAGGUGGCAGCGUAGAGAGAGGGGUAAAAAAGUAAAAACGCGGGUUGGUACAACCGCUAUCAACAGUGGCCCCUACCUAACUCUGACGGCAGGGGACAAGGGCAUUUAAUGCCCGUCCGGUCGCCCAAACAGUGCAGGAAGCGACCGUUAGGGGCGCCACCGAUCGCCAUGAUGGCCUCCUAGUCAUCUUCACUUGCCACCUCGCACCGCUUGGCUGCACAGCUACCCGCCACGUGCACCGGGAGCGAUCCUGCGGCGACACGUCGUCGGAUGCGCUGGAGCGUGGGCGCAGAGUUGUGGCUUCGCUGUAGCAAGCGCCUUGCCGCGGUCACUAUCUUGUCGCACCCGCAAGCUUGCCGCUCGCCGGGUCUUGGUUGGCCUUCCCGGCAAGCUCCUCUUGCCGGGGUCUUGUCCUUCCCGGCAAGCUUCUCUUGUCGGGGCUUCGUCUUCACAGUUAACACUUUGUUCUUGAAUGGCAGUAAAUAGGAAUGACGAAGGAUCUUGGCGGACGCCCGGCAAGCCUUGCCGCAGGACGCUGCGACUGCCCGUGCACAAGUUCGGGGUACUAAGGUACCCCUACUUUAGUACACCGACACCUCCAAACUUUAUGUGGCACUGCAAAAUAUUUGUGGCUCUGUCUAAGAUUGCCAAGGAAUUAAAAGGGGAACUUAACAUAUUUUUCCUAAGUAAAUAGUGUGCCCAAAAUAUUCUCUUAACCAUCUCUGUUUUUUUUAAUAAAAAAAGGCGAAUAAGAACUCGCCCGGGCCUCGGCCUACUCCCACUUACCAGCCCACCUAAGCCGGCCCACUCCCCCGCUCCCAUGGCCUAUAGGCCAUGCUCAACCGAACCCUAACCCCGCACGAUCCCCCCACUCCCCACUUCUCUCCCCUCCCGAUCCAAUCUGGAUCGGACCGAAACUGGCGCCCCGACGCCAACCGCCGUCGCUGGAGGCAUCCCCGACUCCACGCUGGGCCACCCCAUCACCUGACCUCCUCCCCGUCGUCGCUCGUCACUCGCUGGACCGCCUCGUCCCCACCAACGCCGCCCCGAGCCCAACGUCCCUGUCGUCGUCGCCGUCGGCAUCGCCCCGAUGUCGCCACCACCCGACGCCGGCGCCCUCGACAUCGCCACCCCGAGCCCACUGCCACCCCUACGCUCCACUGUGAGCCCCUCGCCGAUUCCCCCUCCUUCCUGUCAUCGUAGGUGGCCGCAUGCGCUGUUGGCCACCGUGGCCGCGCUCCGGCCGUUCCCCAUCCGUGUGCUAGCCUCGCCUUCCCCGGCUGCGGCCACCAGCCUCCUCGUCGCGCUCCCGCCUUCGCCCACACCUGCCCCUGUACGCCCAGCCGCUGCUGCUCGCCGGAUCCGCAUGUUCGCCCCCUAGCUUCGUCUCCGGCCGUCGAGUCCGCACCCGAUGCCGGCGCCCCAGCGCGUCCAUGCGCCCGUACGGGCGGGCGCCCACGCCCAUGCCCCUCCGCCCGUUAGCCCGCCCCGCUAAGGCCUGGGCACCUAACCAAGGGGCCCCACGCCCCUGUGUAAUAAAAAAGAUUUAAAAAAAAUAAAUAUAAAUAUAAUUAGUUAAUUAGUUAAUUAAUUGUAUAGUUAAUUAACUAACUUAAUUAACCUUGCUUAGUUAGCCUAAUGAACUAGUUUAGUUAAUUUAAAUCUGUUAGAUAGGUCUAUGAGAGAACGACCCCACAUGUCAGUUUAACCAGUCAACACUCUUUUGACUGCUGACAUCAUGAUGACGUCAGGCUGACAUCAUAAUUCCAAUUUUGAAUUAAUAAUAAUUUCAGAAUAUUAUUAAAACUUUGAAAAAUCAUAGAAAAUAAACCGUAUCUCGGAUGGAAGUUGCUUGGAACGACGAGACAAAUCCGAAUGCGCAGUUCGUUCAUCUGUCACGCGUCCCUAGCAUAGCAAACGUUGAACUUUUCCCCUCCGGUUCAUCUGUCUGAUAGACGUCCGGAACCGGGAAAACUUUCCCGGAUGUUUCCCCCUUCGCCAGUAUCACCUAGCACCUCGUUAGAACACUUCUAGCCCCGCUUAUUGUCUUGUUAUGCAUAUGUUUGCGUGUAUUUACUGUUUCUUCCCCCUCUUCUUCUCCGGUAGACCUCGAGACCGCUGAUGAUGCCCCUGUGAUCGACUACGUCGACGACGACCCUCCUUGUUUGAGCAACCAGGCAAGCCCACCCUUUGAUCAUCCCGAUAUCGCCCAUUCCAUUCUCUCAUGCUUGCACUAGAUUUUGCUACUGUAUUUGACUGCUCCUAUUCUGAUGCAUAGCCUGCUUUUGUACCUGCUAUUGUAACUUACCUGCUUAUCCUAAAUUUCUUAGUACAGGUUGGCUAGUGAUCCAUCAGUGACCCCCACCUUGUCUUUGUUGCCCCUGCUUCAUCAUCGACGACUCGAUCAACGUGAUCGACGACCGGAGCCUGACACCUCACAUCACAUCACGCCCCUUUUUCUUGCUCGACUCUGCAGAGUUACCAUCGAGUGCCGAGGGUGGAACCUCAUACAUCGCUCCUGAUGAGAUCUCUGUAGUGUAGCUAUUCGGUCGUGGUCAUCGAGGGUGGUUCCUCCUUCACCAUUCCUAAUACGGCUCUGUCGUGCAACACCUCAAGUGUGAACCUCGAGGGUGGUUCCUCUUACGUUCACCUUGAUGAUUACAUCAACUGGAAUCCACCGGGGGUGAUUCCUCGGAUUUUCCCCUUGAUGUCUGGACACAUAGUUACCUUGAUACUUGAGACCGUUGUGAAAGCCGGGCGAGCCCGGAGAGCACCCGUGCGAUGUGACGGUGGCGGCUGGCUGUUUAGCGGUAUCACCCGGGAGGGGUGAUAGCUCCGGACUUGUCCCGACAUCCGUCACUUCUUUUAAUAAUGCACUAACACGUUUGUGUAUUUGUUCUGAGUUGGCCUCUGGCCUUUACGCACUAACCACCACGCGAGAAUAGUUAUGGGCCUCGACGUUGCAGUAUCUUUCGAAGCUUUGUCAGACGUCCAGUUCAGCAUUGUGGCCGGGCCGGAUCGUGCCAUCCACUUCACCGGUGGUGCUGGUAUCCCCUUGUGCACAACGACCCGGAGUGCAAUGGGCGAUGGGCCCAGACCCCGGAGUGCUUAGGAUGUAGACCGGCGGGGACCUCUCUACUGAGCCUAGGUAGGGCUGCGACGUGUUGAUCUUCCGAGGCUGGGCAUUGACCCCAGAAAGGUGUGUCCGGCCAGAGUGAUCGAGCGUGUUGGGUAACGUGGUGCGCCCCUGCAGGGAAGAUUAUCUAUUAAUAGCCGUGUCCAUGGUAACGUACCUUCAGACUUAUAUCUUGAUCUUAUACAACUACAAAUGGAUACUUGAGAUAUGUGGCUCCGGGAUUGCUUUCUCGCAGGGAGUCGAGGAAGGAUCUCUGGGCGUUGUUGUUAAAACAUGCUUGUUAAUUAAACUGCUAUUCUUUACUCUUCUACAUGCUGCAAGAUGCUUGGAGCUGCUUGAAGAUGCUAGUCUUUGUUUGGCUAGGCCUUCCCCUCUAUUCUGGCAUUCUGCAAUUCAGUCCACAGAUACAACCCUUCCAUUUGAUACCAAUGCAUACUUAGUAUAGAUCUGAUGCUUGCGAGUACUUUGGAUGUGUACUCGCGGUUGCUUUGCUACCCCUUUUCCCCCUUCUUUCUUCUUUCCGGUUGACGCAACCAUAUGGUGGAUCCUUGGAGCCAGAUGCCACCGCCGAUGGAUGCUAGUACGUGAAGAUCGCCGACGACCAGGAGUAGUUAGGAGGUCCUAGGCAGGAGGCCUUGCCUCUUCGAUCGUUGUUGCUUUUGUGCUAGCCUUCUUAAGGCAUCCUUAUUUAACUUAUGUCUGUACUCAGCUAUUGUUGCUUCCGCUAACUCUUGUGUAUCGAGCUAUGUAUUCGAGCUCUCGAGGCCCCUGGCUUGUAAUAUAAAGCUUGUAUUAUUUUGAUUUGUGUCUAGAGUUGUGUUGUGAUAUCUUCCCGUGAGUCCCUGAUCUUGAUCGUACAUAUUGGCGUGCAUGAUUAGUGUACGAUUGAAUCAGGGGCGUCACACAAGCGGUACUACUGCCCCACCCAGUUUCAGCAUUUCGAGUUUCACCGUUUUGCCCAUAACUUCCACAUCCGGAGUCCGAUUUUUGCAUUUUUUAGCUCGUUGAGUAGCUAUUGACAUCCCCCAUCCAUCUAUAUAGGUUCCAACACCAUUUGACUCCAUCAAAUUUUCCAAAAUUUGGAAAGUUUGCCUAGGCCGUCCACCAUAUCAUCUGCAUAGCCACCACCGACCACCGCAACCUAACCCAUUUUGUUCCCCUUAGCAUUUGAGGUUGUUUGAGUUGUGGCUUGUGUCUCCUAAGGUGUUUCGGCUACUUAGGGAUGGUAACUUCAACUCCAACACGUGUAUAGCCCAUCAUUCCACUUCCGCAUUGCCGAGUGCAAACCACCACCUCUUUCCACUACCACCAUUUGACAUUUACCUUUGUAGAUUUUGAGUUUGCGAUUUUUCCGUUUCCUAGGGUGUUUUGGCUAACUAGGAAUGGGUCGACAUCAGCAACAUCGCCUCUCAUCAUCGCCAAGGACGGUAACCUCGAUGACACCAUUGUAUAUUCCCUUGCCAUUGCAUUGAUAACCCCUAGCCCAUUUUGCGUCACUUGCCUAUCGAGACUAGCCGUUUGAGUAUUGCCGGCAACGUGACUUGUGCACAUUAGUGAUCAUACUUCCCAUAGCAUCAUACCAUAUCAUCGUGGUGCAUAUAUUGGUAGCAUAUCUUGCGUCACAAGUUUGUUGCCGCAUAUACACAAUUGCUAUCUUGGUUUGUGCAUUAUGCAGAAGUGGCCAUACAAAAAAGAGAAAUAAAGCUUUUAAGCAAAAGAAAGAGAGAAAAGAAGCUUGUAAGCAAGUGCCAUAGCAUCAUACCAUAUUGCACAUAAGAUUGUCAUAUCCGAUCAUCUUGGAUCAUCUUGAGAGAACAUCGGGAACCAUACAUACAUAGCAUACUUGGGAUAGAAAGUAUAUCCAUUUGGCAUCUUGUAGGUUGUGCACAAGUGUCCUAUCCGCCUAUUGAGCAAUCGUGCUAGCGUCUCUCUUGAGUUGUGCAACACGAGCGUUUUCUGUGGAUUCCACAUUUUGUGCUCAUUGCUUGGUUGCACGACCCCAUUUAUCUAUCCGUGUGUGUGUUUCCGUGUGUCAUUCUUUGCUAUUGGUCUACUUGUUUCACUUGCAAAUUUGUGAAUCUCUUUCAACAUUAUUGACUCUUGCUAACAUUUUGCAUCAAAUUUUUGUGCCACUAUCCUCACCGAGCUCCACCAUAAGCUUUACUUGAUAGGUGUGAGUGAACAAGUCCGGUACCAAUUCCACUAUUCUUUCAUUUCACAUUGAGUUAAACGGGAUACAUCCUCAACUUUGGGAAAGGUAACUUCCUAUUGUUUAUCUCAUUUCCUACUGGCAUUUCACCUUCGGUCUACAACAACAACGACGAGUUCGAUGCCACGAACAACUCCAACGACGCCAAGAUGCAAGCUCAAAUGGAGGAGAUCAAAGCCCUCAUCAAGUCCUACAAGCAAUCUUCCUCAUCUUCGAGAAGACACUCACGUGCACAUGUUUCCGAGCUACCAUCUCCGGUAAGAUCACAUCAGCAUCGACACCAUCACCAACAAGAACGUGAAGGUCAAGAGCUCAACACCAACUACCGCUCAACGACUUCACCAUCUCCCUUGGCAUCUUCGCCAAGCGACUUCAAGGCAUCUUUGAGUACGGAUAUACGGCAUCUUCGCCAACAAGAACCUCAAGGCUACGCUCAAGAGAAGCUCCCCAAGCUCAAGUCCACGACUUCCAUGAGCUACUACGACCUCGACACCGACCACAAGAUUCCUUUCUAUGGAACUCAAGAACCCGAGGAGUACCUCGAGUGGGAGCGUUUGAUGGACGACUACCUCAAGCUACAUCAAGUCCCUUCCGAAGAUCAAGUGAAGUGCGCCACAAGAAACUUCCACGACUACGCCUCGACAUGGUGGCUUCACACACCUUCGGAGAGCUACGAGAUGAGUUAGCCCAAGACGAAGAGAGCUUUGCAGCGAGAGCUCGUGCCUCCAACCUACAUGGAACAACUUCGACGCCAAUUGGAGAACACCAUCCAAGGAUCCAAGUCCAUCGACGCGUACUUCAAGGAGAUGAAGAAUGCCUUGCGACGAGACGGCGUGGAUGACCCCAUUUCGAUGAAGUUCCACUUCAUGAUGCGAUUGAACAACGACAUCUCCAAGACUAUCUUCCUCGAGAACUACAAGUCCCUGGACAACUACUACAUUGGUGCUCUCAAGGCGGAACAAGAACUCAUGAAAGCCAAGGCUUCUCCACCCCAAGCACACUUCGCGGCGACCAAGCUGUACGACAAGCAUGAGGCUAGUACCACCAUGAUGUCCAAGCCCGACGAGCUCCAAGACAAUGCUCCCAAGUUCGACUUCACCGCCAUCCCUCUUUGUGGCAUUGAUGACGCCGAGUCUACCUUGACUCUUUUUCAAGACGGUGCGGCGACGAGUACGACUACGGAGACCUUCAAGGACCAAGCUUUGGAGGCGAGCGACAAGGUGGCGAGCAAGGAUGGUGUUUCCAUCUUUGGAGGCGAGAGUGAUGAUGUGCCAUCUUCGUCCUUCAUCCACGGCGACGAUGACGAGAUGAUCGAGCAUGGGAUUUUCCCUUCGGUCAUGGAGGAGAGUGAUGAUGUGCCAUCUUCGGCCUUCAUCCACGGAGACGACGACGAGAUGGUUGAGCAUGGGAUUCUCCCUUCGACCACGGUGACGUAUGAUGACUUGAGUGACUUUUGCCACCAUAUUGAGAGUGAGAGUGACUUCACCACUAGCCCCAUAUAUGACGAGUUGCCCCAAUUCCUAUGUGAGGAGAGCCACAACCCCCACCACUUGAGUGAGAUGAGUGACUCCACCAUAUGCGACUUUGAGUGCACCUAUUUUGAGGGAGUGAGUGAACCACCACAUAGAGAGAGUGUGAUAGUUGAUAGGUCUCGUGAGGCCAUUUGCAUUUCUAACAACUUGACCUCUACCUCUAUUGUGUCUUCUCAUUUGGUGCUAGGUCCCAUUUAUGAUGACGCGCCGAUCCUCGACGACUUCGUCCUCCCUUUGGACAAGACGAUGGCCAUGGUGGAAUAUGAUGCACCCCCCACAUGGUUCCAUCAAGAUGAAGAUGACCACCAUUUGGUCUUUCCCACCUCACCUACACCACUUGAGUGGAAUGAAAAAGGUAACAUAGGUGAAGGUGAUGCUCUAGUCCCACUAGUGGACAUUCUUGACAUUGAUUGCUUGCAUGAUGUUGAUCCACCUAGUACCAUGCUUCAUGCUAGUAUGAUUUCCCCAUGUGAUGAUUUGGCCAUUUAUGAUGAGUAUGAUGAUUCUCAUGUGGAGUCUCUUAGUUGUGAUGUCAUGUUACAUAGGAUUUCUUGUGACAAUUCUUUAGGUCACAUCAUGUUUGAUAAUCCGCUUGACUUGUCGUAUGCUAUGCAUGACAUUCACCAUAUGUCAUAUUUGCAAUCUCAUUGUAGUGACUAUGCAUAUGCCAUUCAAAUUAACCCAAUUUGCACUUAUGGCAUAGAUGACAAGCCCAUGGUUAUUGGGAUUUGUUUUUCUUGUGAUGAUAUUGAUAUGGUCCCUUUGCAUCAUUUAUCUCAUAUGCCAUGUCAUGCCCACCUAGCUUCGGAUAUGCAUUGUUUUGGAUGUUGUCCAUUUUCUCCAUAUGAUGUUUCCAAUCUUGCUCAUGAGGAGACCCCCAUAGUUCCCUCAUACAUGUUAGGAGAUUUUGAUCCAUCCCAUCCAUUGCAUGAUCCCAACAAUUGUGUGCACCAUAUGCUCCCCAUGAAUAAACAUGCUAUUGAUGUGCCAUAUACUUGCAUUCUCAAUUUGUGUCCCCAUCGUGUCAUACAUAAUAACUAUUCUUUCAUGAUGGAUGACAUGUUCUUAUACCAUGCAUCAAAUUUCGUUGAGCGAUGCUUAUCUUGUGCUAACUCACACGUGCACAUACACAUCAUGAUGGAUGAUGUGUACAUUUACCACACACACAAUUUAUUUGGUUUGUGUCUCUUUUGUGUAGGUACCCAGGAAUACUUGUCAACCUCGCAAUCCCACGAGUUGACAAAACGAGCUCUAGAGAGCAACGAUGAUUUGGGAUCCCAUGGAUUGUCUUUCCCACCGCUCUCUUCGCGCAAAGACUUAGCGCAUUUCUUCUACAUGGCCCUCACUUGGCUAUGGGUUGUUUUCCAUUACAUAUUAUAUGCCCAUCUUGCCAUGUUCACUUUGCAUGAUAUGCCCAUUCCCAUGCAUUUGUGACCCAUACUUUGCUUUACACAUGAUGAUUGACUCUCAUACUUUUAUGUGUAUUUGCAAGCUUGGUGGAGAUAUUGCUUGUUGUUUCCCUAUUCCAUUUUUGACCCACCCCUAUGAUGAUACUAUGAUCUUGCUUUGUGUUCGUGCUUGUGAUAUGUCAUGUGCAUUGUCUAUCCCUAUUAUUUGCUCACAUGACAUGAUUGCCAUGAUUUACUCUGGUGUGUUGCAUCUUCGCUCCACUAGUUUGCACCACAUGAUUGAUAUGCUUGCUUGUAUUGCAUCCCCCAUGAUUCAUACUUGCUCAUUUCAUGCGAUUGAUGACAACCAUUUCCAUACUUUGCACGUGAUUGCUAUAGCUUCUUGUCACAUAUCUACAUAUGUUGCCUCUCUCAUGCUAGAUCACUUGCCAUGUAUUUAGUGCAACAAUGCUCUUAUUCUUGCUCAUGAGAUUGCCCCCAUAGCAUUCUCACAUAUGAUUGGAGUUGACAUAAUUCUUGUGAAGCAUGCUUGCCUUCCUUCUUUGCACCAUAUGCCUAGUGCCAUGAAUAUUGCCAUUGUUGCAUCAUAUUGUUCAUGCACUUGUGCUACUAAAGGUUAUGUGCAAGAGAUGAGAACCAUCAUGAUGGAUGAUGUGUUUCUCUACCAUGCGCAUAUACUCUUUGUUUUGUUGUGUGCAUGUGUAGGAUACUUGGACUUCGUCUCGACUUCCACUUCAUGUGAGUUGACCAUUCAAGCUCUUAAGAGCGAGCCUCACACAUUCUACCACUACUCGCUUCUACACCGCAUUUGCUUGCGCUUCGGCAUUGUGAAGAAUGCACAAGGACAUGCCUUCAAGGUGACAUCUUUCUUGAGCAUGGAUAUUGCGGAUCAUACUACUUGUGUAGCUUGCACUGUGAGACUUAUUGGUCAUCUUGGACCACUUGAUUGCGCACUUGCUAGAGAUCUUGCUUUGACUUGCCAUUUUCACAUUCCCAUGCAUCAUGAUAUAUAUGCCUUGUGUGUUGCAUCCAAUUCUUGGAUUACUAUCACAACCUAGCUAGUCCAUGCAUUAGAGUGUUGCAUCAUGUCUACCUUUUAUCAGAAACUUGAAUUGGGGAAGACAGAACCCCCCAGAACCCCUCUGAAUUCAACUAGUGCUUACUAAAAAUAUUUUCAAUGAACCUGAAAUGCCCUUCUAAAAAGUUCACCCUCUUUGUCUUGGGUUAGAACCUCUGGCAAAAUUGGUGCACAAUUUUCUAGGUCAACAAAAGGCCAUUGAAUUAAAUCAUAUCUACUUUGAGUUUGGGCAUUUAAACUAUAUAAAAUAUUUCAAAUGCUCAAAUAACUCCAAACUAAAAUGUUCCAUACUGGAUAUAUUCCAACUAGGGACCAUGUGCAGUUUGGUGAUUUUUGGAGUUGCCUAAGUAUUUUUAGAAAUGCAACAAACUUACAGAAACAAUUAAAAACAGAAACAAAUGGGAAAAACCCUUACCUGGCCGAACCAAGCCCCAGCCCAGCUGGCCGGCCCAGCACUGUGCUGGCCCAUGCCAGCCAGCUGCUUCGCCGUCGCCACGCAGGCACAGAGCUGACGCCGGCAAGCGUGAGCUCGCAACGGCGCCAGCUGCUUGCCGCCCGCGCCCCCGAGCACCUGGGUGAGCUCCACGUCGCCGCCCCGACCCCGUGGACACCUCAUUCGCCCCCUGCCUCUCUCCCUCGCUCUCCCGCACCAUGGCCGACGCACCCGCCGCCGCACCCCCGACGUAGUCGCGCCCUCCGUCGUCCUCGUGCUGCACCACCGUGUCCCUUCGCUCCGCCGUCAUCGACUACAUCGAGUAGGCCGAGCCCCGAGCGCUCGCUGGCCCUGUUUCAUCUUCUUCGAGCUCGUCUUCACCGAGCACCGCCACAGAUCCCCUUCGCCGUCGCCGCCGUACCAGCUCGUCCCCGACCUUGCCGACCACUCCGUUGUGACCGCCGUGAGCUCAGCCACCUCCCCAUCCUCCCCGUUUGCCUUCUCGUGCACCGUAGCAACCGCAUGGAGCUUCAUCGCACGCACCACCGACGAGCUCGUCGCCGACGUGCCUCCGGCCAUCCACCGUCCACACCACGGUGUCUAACAUGCUCACCGCAUCGUGUAGAGUCUAACGCCCCACUCCACGCGCCUCGCCGUGCCCCGUAGCCAUGGGUCCAUUUUCAUCCGACUCCGGCGACCGCCGUGGUCGUCGCCGGCGACGUUCCUGGCCACCUCGACCUCAACCACCACCACCAAACGCCGCGACUUGUUCCCGGCUACACGUAGAUGGUCUCCGUCGUCCAUUUGGUCGCCAGAACAUGCUAACCCACUUCCUCCGCCGCGUCUGGCCUCGCCGGCGGCUAGACACCGGCAUGUUUGACCCGUUGACAUUCACUGGGUGGGCCAGGUUGACUCCCCUGAGUCUAUGACAAGUGCCCCCCCCUCUGCUAAUUAACCUAGUUUAGCUCUUACUAAAAUCAGUUAGUUUAAAUAAGUGCUGACAUGCGGGACCCACUGGUCAGUUUGACCUGAACGACCCCUUUGACCACUGACGUCACCCUGAUGCACUGCUGACGCAAUAACCAAUUUCUGGAUUUAUUGUUAUAUAGGAAAUUCCAGAAAUUGUUGCAAACUUCAAAAAUUCAUAGAAAUUAAUCUGUAACUCCAAAUGCAAAGAUUUAUAUAUGAAUUUUGAUCAGAAAAAUUCAAUCUAUCCAUUGGUAAUGGUUUCAUGCAUGUCAGAACAAGUUAACCUUGCUGUUUAAUCAAAACAAGUUAAUGCACUAAUAUGACUAUGUUAAAUGAACUACCAUUUGCAUCUUUGAUUCAAAUGAGUUCAUACCUUUCUGUUCUAGCUUGCAUUAGGCCAGGACACAUUCAUGUUGCCAUGUCAUAGCAUGCAUCAUAUUGUUGUAUAUCGUCAUGUGUUGUUCAUGUUCGGUGUGUUUUCGUGAUAGGUUCUGCCUCCGAGGAUAACCCCGAAUAUCCGUCUGAAGGGCUGUAUCCUACUACCACUACAUCAGGCAAGCAACCCAUUGAUCAUUCCGAUACAAACCCAUGUUCUUGCCUCUGCUCUUGUUUACUGCAUUAAGACAAUGCGAUUCAAACUUUUGUGUGUUGUGGUAGUUGAACCCACUUCCUUUGCAUGACCUGUCAUUGCCACAGUAACUAGAUGAAACUCAGUAGCAUGUGUAGGAGUUGAUUGAGCCAUAUCUGUGUUACCUACCAUGCUAUGCUUGCUAUGCUUAGAGUUGUGUCAGGUCUGGCUCAUUGGGAUGAUGAACUAGAGUGAAAGGUUGUGUCGGUAAUGAAGUGUUGAACACGAUUUGGUAAAGGUAUCGAUGAGAGGCCAUGUAGGAGUACAUGGUGGGUUGUUUCAUUGAGGCCGUCCUUAAGCACUGAGAUCUGUGUGUGUGAUUUAAGAUUCAGCUACUACCACGCAUUGGGCCCGAAACCAAUGGACCCUCUCGACUUAUUAACCACUCUUGUCCUCUGUCCGGGAGUUGCAAGUAGUUUUUGGUGUUUGUAGCAUGAUGGGGGCCGCACGCAGUGCUGACCUUAGGGGUGGGUUGGGUUGCGGUAGGCAUGUGGCACGGUGUAUCGAUUCGCCCGUUUGGUGUCUCGGGAACCAUGUUCACAUCAUUCGGGGCCGUUAGUGGAAACCUCGGCCGGACUCCCUGCGGAUGGAACCCGAAUAGGCGAUAAACCUGGACUAGGGACUCGUGUGUUUAGUCAGGCCGUGGCCGACACCCUCGCUGGGCUUCCGCUUGAGGCUUGCCGAGUACACGUCAUGUAGCGGUGAUAAGUGGUGAGAGCGUGUGUGAAGAAGUACACCCCUGCAGGGUAUAAAACUAUUCGAAUAGCCGCGUCCGCGGUAAAGGACUACUUGGUCACCUAUGCAGUUCAUAGACAAGUAAAUGGAUACUUCUAAAAGCCUCAAGUUAAGUGUGAGUACCGAGGAUGGCCCUCUCGUAGGUUGACAAGAGAGGAUCCUCGGUGGAGUAUUGUGUUGGUGAGUAGUGGACUCGUGUGCGACAAAUGUUUUGCAAGUUGUGUCUAUCGUAGAAUAGCUUAGCCAAGAGUCAAAGCUGGCUUGCUGCAAUAACUCCACUACCUUCUUGAGAAUGUGCAUGUAUGAUAGGAUUCUGUUGUAAGACUUGCUGAGUACCUCUGUACUCAUGUUUGCUUAAAUGUUUUCAGACGACAACACCAACCCCUCCGAUGGGUUCUACGUAGACCUCGACGUUGACGAGUGACUAACCACCCAAGUGGUGAUCCGAGACUUGUGAAGGGCCGAUGUAGAUAGAAAGGCUUCGUCAAGCCCUCUUUCUUUCUAGUGUCUGUACUCAGACUAGUUGCUUCCGCAUGUGCUUGUAUGCUUGUAUGACUUGAGUCUCAGGUCAUGUGACCCCUAUCUGUAUGAACAUGUUAUGUAUGGCUCCUUGGAGCCACUUAAAUAAAGUACUUUGAGUUGUAGAGUUUUGUUGUGAUGCCAUGUUGUAUGUACUCAUAUCGGGCAUAUUGUGUGUAUGUUUGAAAUGCUUGGUAUGAGUGGGAUCCGACAAUCUAGUUGUUUAUCCUUGGCAGCCUCUCAUAUGGGGAAAUGUAGUCUAGUGCUUCCUGAGCGAUAGUAGUCCGCUACAGCCCGGUUCACCGGAGUCCUGCUAGCCCAGUACUACAGCUCUGGACACUUGACUGGACAGCAUGUGUUUCACUUCGUUCCUGUGUCUGUCCCUUUGCGGAAAUGUCACGCGGUGGCAUUCGGAGUCCUGCCUAGCCUGCUACAGCCCGGGUUACUGUUGGGAAACGUAGUAAUUUCAAAAUUUUCCUACGCACACACAAGAUCAUGGUGAUGGCAUAGCAACGAGAGGGGAGAGUGUUCGUCCACGUACCCUCGUAGACCGUAAGCGGAAGCGUUAGCACAACGCGGUUGAUGUAGUCGUACGUCUUCACGAUCCGACUAAUCCAAGCACUGAACGUACGUGGCCUCCGAGUUCAGCACACGUUCAGCUCGAUGAUGAUCUCCGGCCUCCAAUCCAGCGAAGCUCCGGAGAUGAGUUCCGUCAGCACGACAGCAUGGUGACGAUGAUGAUGUUCUACCUGCGCAGGGCUUCGCCUAAAAUCCGCGACGAUAUGACUGAGGUGGAAUAUGGUGGAGGGGGGCACCGCACACGGCUAAGGAACGAUCCAUAGAUCAACUUGUGUGUCUAUGGGGUGCCCCCCCCCCCCCGCCCCUGUAUAUAAAGGAGAAAGGGGGAGGCCGGCCGGCCCCUUGGGCGCGCCAAGGGAGGAGGAAUNNNNNNNNNNNNNNNNNNNNNNNNNNNNNNNNNNNNNNNNNNNNNNNNNNNNNNNNNNNNNNNNNNNNNNNNNNNNNNNNNNNNNNNNNNNNNNNNNNNNNNNNNNNNNNNNNNNNNNNNNNNNNNNNNNNNNNNNNNNNNNNNNNNNNNNNNNNNNNNNNNNNNNNNNNNNNNNNNNNNNNNNNNNNNNNNNNNNNNNNNNNNNNNNNNNNNNNNNNNNNNNNNNNNNNNNNNNNNNNNNNNNNNNNNNNNNNNNNNNNNNNNNNNNNNNNNNNNNNNNNNNNNNNNNNNNNNNNNNNNNNNNNNNNNNNNNNNNNNNNNNNNNNNNNNNNNNNNNNNNNNNNNNNNNNNNNNNNNNUCCGGUUUUCUCCGAAAUCACCCGGAACAAUUUCGGUGUCCGAAUAUAGUCGUCCAAUAUAUCAAUCUUUAUGACUCGACCAUUUCGAGAUUCCUCGUCAUGUCCGUGAUGACAUCCGGGACUCCGAACAAACUUCGGUACAUCAAAACUUAUAAACUCAUAAUAAAACUGUCAUCGUAACGUUAAGCGUGCGGACCCUACGGGUUCGAGAACUAUGUAGACAUGACCUAGAACCAUUCUUGGUCAAUAACCAAUAGCGGGACCUAGAUGCCCAUAUUGGUUCCUACAUAUUCUACGAAGAUCUUUAUCGGUCAAACCGCAUAACAACAUACGUUGUUCCCUUUGUCAUCGAUAUGUUACUUGCCCGAGAUUUGAUCGUCGGUAUCCAAUACCUAGUGCAAUCUCGUUACUGGCAAGUCUCUUUACUCGUUCCGUAAUACAUCAUCUCAUAACUAACUUAUUAGUUACAAUGCUUGCAAGGCUUAGGUGAUGAGUAUUACCAAGAGGACCCAGAGAUACCUCUCCGACAAUCGGAGUGACAAAACCUAAUCCCGAAUUAUGCCAACUCAACAUGUACCUUCGGAAACACCUAUAGAGCACCUUUAUAAUCACCCAGUUACGUUGUGACGUUUGGUAGCACACAAAGUGUUCUUCCGGUAAACGGGAGUUGCACAAUCUCAUAGUUGCAGGAACUUGUAUAAGUCAUGAAGAAAGCAAUAGCAGUAUACUAAACGAUCAAGUGCUAGGCUAACGGAAUGGGUCAUGUCAAUCACAUCAUUCUCCUAAUGAUGUGAUCCCGUCAAUCAAAUGACAACUCUUUUGUCCAUGGUUAGGAAACAUAACCAUCUUUGAUAAACGAGCUAGUCAAGUAGAGGCAUACUAGUGACACUAUGUUUGUCUAUGUAUUCACACAUGUAUCAUGUUUCCGGUUAAUAUAAUUCUAGCAUGAAUAAUAAACAUUUAUCAUGAUAUGAGGAAAUAAAUAAUAACUUUAUUAUUGCCUCUAUGGCAUAUUUCCUUCAGUCUCCCACUUGCACUAGAGUCAAUAAUCUAGAUUACAUGGUAAUGAUUUUGACACCCAUGGAGUCUUGGUGCUGAUCAUGUUUUGCUCGUGAGAGAGGCUUAGUCAACGGGUCUGCAACAUUCAGAUCCGUAUGUAUCUUGCAAAUCUCUAUGUCUCCCACUUGGACUUGGUCCCGAAUGGAAUUGAAGCGUCUCUUGAUGUGUUUGGUCCUCUUGUGAAAUUUGGAUUCCUUUGCCAAGGCAAUUGCACCAGUAUUGUCACAGAAGAUGUUCAUUGGUCCCGAUGCACUAGGUAUGACACCUAGAUCGGAAAUGAGAUCCUUCAUCCAGACUCCUUCAUUUGCUGCUUCUGAAGCAGCUAUGUACUCCGCUUCACAUGUAGAUCCCGCCACGAUGCUUUGUUUAGAACUGCACCAACUUACAGCUCCACCGUUUAAUAAAAACACGUAUCUGGUUUGCGAUUUAGAAUCGUCCGGAUCAGUGUCAAAGCUUGCAUCGACGUAACCGUUUACGACUAGCUCUUUGUCACCUCCAUAUAUGAGAAACAUAUCCUUAGUCCUUUUCAGGUAUUUCAGGAUGUUCUUGACCGCUGUCCAGUGAUCCACUCCUGGAUUACUUUGGUACCUUCCUGCCAAGCUUAUUGCUAAGCAUACGUCAGGCCUGGUACACAGCAUUGCAUACAUGAUAGAGCCUAUGGCUGAAGCAUAGGGAACAUUUUUCAUUUUCUCUCUAUCUUCUGCUGUGGUCGGGCAUUGAGUUUGACUCAACUUCACACCUUGUAGCACAGGUAAGAAUCCUUUCUUUGCCUGAUCCAUUUUGAACUUUUUCAAAAAAAAUUCAAGGUAUGUGCUUUGUGAAAGUCCUAUUAAGCGUCUUGAUCUAUCUCUAUAGAUCUUGAUGAGUAAUAUGUAAGCAGCUUCACCGAGGUCUUUCAUUGAAAAACUUUUAUUCAAGUAUCCCUUUAUGCUAUGCAGAAAUUCUAUAUCAUUUCCAAUUAAUAAUAUGGCAUCUACAUAUAAAAUUAGAAAUGCUACAGAGCUCCCACUCACUUUCUUGUAAAUACAGGCUUCUCCAAAUGUCUGUAUAAAACCAUAUGCUUUGAUCACACUAUCAAAGCGUUUAUUCCAACUCCGAAAUGCUUGCACCAGUCCAUAAAUGGAACGCUGGAGCUUGCAUACUUUGUCAGCACCUUUUGGAUCAACAAAACCUUCCGGCUGCAUCAUAUACAACUCUUCUUCUAGAAAUCCAUUCAAGAAUGCAGUCUUGACAUCCAUAUGCCAAAUUUCAUAAUCAUGAAAUGCAGCAAUAGCUAACAUGAUUCGGACAGACUUAAGCAUCGCUACGGGUGAGAAAGUCUCAUCGUAGUCAACCCCUUGAACUUGUCGAAAACCUUUUGCAACAAGUCGAGCUUUAUAGACAGUUACAUUACCAUCAGCGUCAGUCUUCUUCUUAAAGAUCCAUUUAUUCUCAAUGGCUUGCCAAUCAUCGGGCAAGUCAACCAAAGUCCAUACUUUGUUUUCAUACAUGGAUCCCAUCUCAGAUUUCAUGGCUUCUAGCCAUUUUGCGGAAUCUGGGCUCAUCAUCGCUUCCUCAUAGUUCGUAGGUUCACCAUGGUCAAGUAACAUGACUUCCAGAAUAGGAUUACCAUACAACUCUAGUGCGGAUCUUACUCUGGUAGACCUACGAGGUUCAGUAGAAACUUGAACUCCUCACUAAUUGGUGUAGUUGUCACAGGAACCGGUUCUCGUGAUGAACUACUUUCCAAUAAGGGAGUAGAUACAGUUAUCUCAUCAAGUUCUACUUUCCUCCCACUCACUUCUUUCGAGAGAAACUCCUUCUCUAGAAAGGAUCCAUUCUUAGCAACGAAUGUCUUGCCUUCAGAUCUGUGAUAGAAGGUGUACCCAACAGUCUCUUUUGGGUAUCCUAUGAAAACACAUUUCUCCGAUUUGGGUUCGAGCUUAUCUGGUUGAAGUUUCUUCACAUAAGCAUCGCAGCCCCAAACUUUAAGAAACGACAACUUUGGUUUCUUGCCAAACCACAGUUCAUAAGGCGUCGUCUCAACGGAUUUUGAUGGUGCCCUAUUUAACGUGAAUGCGGCCGUCUCUAAAGCAUAACCCCAAAACGAUAGCAGUAAAUCAGUAAGAGACAUCAUAGAUCGCACCAUAUCAAGUAAAGUACGAUUAUGACGUUCGGACACACCAUUUCGUUGUGGUGUUCCGGGUGGCGUGAGUUGCGAAACUAUUCCACAUUGUUUCAAGUGUAGGCCAAACUCGUAACUCAAAUAUUCUCCUCCACGAUCAGAUCGUAGAAACUUUAUUUUCUUGUUACGAUGAUUUUCCACUUCACUCUGAAAUUCUUUGAACUUUUCAAAUGUUUCAGACUUGUGUUUCAUCAAGUAGAUAUACCCAUAUCUGCUCAAAUCAUCUGUGAAGGUGAGAAAAUAACGAUACCCGCCGCGAGCCUCAACAUUCAUUGGGCCACAAACAUCAGUAUGUAUGAUUUCCAACAAAUUAGUUGCUCGCUCCAUAGUUCCGGAGAAUGGCGUUUUAGUCAUCUUGCCCAUAAGGCACAGUUCGCAAGUACCAAGUGAUUCAUAAUCAAGUGAUUCCAAAAGUCCAUCAGUAUGGAGUUUCUUCAUGCGUUUUACACCGAUAUGACCCAAAAGGCAGUGCCACAAGUAAGUUGCACUAUCGUUAUCAACUCUGCAUCUUUUGGUUUCAACACUAUGAACAUGUGUAUCACUACUAUCGAGAUUUAAUAAAAAUAAACCACUCUUCAAGGGUGCAUGACCAUAAAAGAUAUUACUCAUAUAAAUAGAACAACCAUUAUUCUUUGAUUUAAAUGAAUAACCGUCUCGCAUCAAACAAGAUCCAGAUAUAAUGUUCAUGCUUAACGCUGGCACCAAAUAACAAUUAUUCAGGUCUAAAACUAAUCCCGAAGGUAGAUGUAGAGGUAGCGUGCCGACCGCGAUCACAUCGACUUUGGAACCGUUUCCCACGCGCAUCGUCACCUCGUCCUUGGCCAGUGCUCGCUUAUUCCGUAGUCCCUAUUUCGAGUUGCAAAUAUUAGCAACAGAACCAGUAUCAAAUUCCCAGGUGCUACUACGAGCUCUAGUUAGGUACACAUCAAUAACAUGUAUAUCACAUGUAGCUUUGUUUACUUUGCCAUCCUUCUUAUCCGCCAAAUACUUGGGGCAGUUCCGCUUCCAGUGACCAGUCUGCUUGCAGUAGAAGCACUCAGUUUCAGGCUUAGGUCCAGACUUGGGUUUCUUCUCUUGAGCAGCAACUUGCUUGCUGUUCUUCUUGAAGUUCCCCUUCUUCUUCCCUUUGCCCUUUUUCUUGAAACUAGUGGUCUUGUUGACCAUCAACACUUGAUGCUCCUUCUUGAUUUCUACCUCCGCAGCUUUUAGCAUUGCGAAGAGCUCGGGAAUAGUCUUGUUCAUCCCUUGCAUAUUAUAGUUCAUCACAAAGCUCUUGUAUCUUGGUGGCAGUGAUUGGAGAACUCUGUCAAUGACGCUAUCAUCCGGAAGAUUAACUCCCAGUUGAAUCAAGUGAUUAUUAUACCCAGACAUUUUGAGUAUAUGCUCACUGACAGAACUAUUCUCCUCCAUCUUGCAGCUGUAGAACUUAUUGGAGACUUCAUAUCUCUCAAUCCGGGCAUUUGCUUGAAAUAUUAACUUCAACUCCUGGAACAUCUCAUAUGCUCCAUGACGUUCAAAACGUCGUUGAAGGCCCGGUUCUAAGCCGUAAAGCAUGGCACACUGAACUAUAGAGUAGUCAUCAGCUUUGCUCUGCCAGACGUUCUUAACGUCGUCAGUUGCAUCAGCAGCAAGCCUGGCACCCAGCGGUGCUUCCAGGACGUAACUUUUCUGUGCAGCAAUGAGGAUAAUCCUCAGGUUACGGACCCAGUCCGUGUAAUUGCUACCAUCAUCUUUCAACUUUUCUUUCUCAAGGAACGCAUUAAAAUUCAACGGAACAACAGCACGAGCCAUCUAUCUACAAACAAACAUAGACAAGCAAAAUACUAUCAGGUACUAAGUUCAUGAUAAAUUUUAAGUUCAAUUAAUCAUAUUACUUAAGAACUCCCACUUAGACAGACAUCUCUCUAGUCAUCUAAGUGAUUACGUGAUCCAAAUCAACUAAACCAUAACCGAUCAUCAUGUGAGAUGGAGUAGUUUUCACUGGUGAACAUCACUAUGUUGAUCAUAUCUACUAUAUGAUUCAUGCUCGACCUUUCGGUCUCCGUGUUCCGAGGCCAUAUCUGCAUAUGCUAGGCUCGUCAAGUUUAACCUGAGUAUUCUGCGUGUGCAAAACUGGCUUGUACCCGUUGUAGAUGGACGUAGAGCUUAUCACACCCUAUCAUCACGUGGUGUCUGGGCACGACAAACUUUGGCAAUGGUGCAUACUCAGGGAGAACACUUCUUGAUAAUUUUUGUGAGAGAUCAUCUUAAAAUGCUACCGUCAAUCAAAGCAAGAUAAGAUGCAUAAAGGAUAAACAUCACAUGCAAUCAAUAUAAGUGAUAUGAUAUGGCCCUCAUCAUCUUGUGCUUGUGAUCUCCAUCUUUGAAGCACCAUCGUGAUCACCAUCGUCACCGGCGCGACACCUUGAUCUCCAUCGUAGCAUCGUUGUCGUUACGCCAUCUAUUGCUUCUACGACUAUCUAUACCGCUUAGUGAUAAAGUAAAGCAAUUACAGGGUGUUUGCAUUUCAUACAAUAAAGCGACAACCAUAUGGCUCCUGCCAGUUGCCGAUAACUUCGGUUACAAAACAUGAUCAUCUCAUACAAUAAAAUAUAUCAUCACGUCUUGACCAUAUCACAUCACAACAUGCCCUGAAAAACAAGUUAGACGUCCUCUACUUUGUUGUUGCAAGUUUUACGUGGCUGCUAUGGGCUUAGCAAGAACUGUUCUUACCUACGCAUCAAAACCACAACGAUAGUUCGUCAAGUUGGUGCUGUUUUAACCUUCGCAAGGACCGGGCGUAGCCACACUCGAUUCAGCUAAAGUGAGAGAGACAGACACCCGCCAGCCACCUUUAAGCACGAGUGCUCGUAACGGUGAAACCAGUCUCACGUAAGCGUACGCGUAAUGUCGGUCCGGGCCGCUUCAUCUCACAAUACCGCCGAACCAAAGUAUGAAAUGCUGGUAAGCAGUAUGACUUGUAUCGCCCACAACUCACUUGUGUUCUACUCGUGCAUAUAACAUCAACGCAUAAAACCUAGGCUCGGAUGCCACUGUUGGGAAACGUAGUAAUUUCAAAAUUUUCCUACGCACACGCAAGAUCAUGGUGAUGGCAUAGCAACGAGAGAGGAGAGUGUUCGUCCAUGUACCCUCGUAGACCGUAAGCGGAAGCGUUAGCACAACGCGGUUGAUGUAGUUGUACGUCUUCACGAUCCGACCGAUCCAAGCACCGAACGUACGGGGCCUCCGAGUUCAGCACACGUUCAGCUCGAUGACGAUCUCCGGCCUCCGAUCCAGUGAAGCUCCGGAGAUGAGUUCCGUCAGCACGACGGCGUGGUGACGAUGAUGAUGUUCUACCGGCACAGGGCUUCGCCUAAACUCCGCGACAAUAUGACCGAGGUGGAAUAUGGUGGAGGGGGGGCACCGCACACGGCUAAGGAACGAUCCGUAGAUCAACUUGUGUGUCUAUGGGGUGCCCCCCGCCCCUGUAUAUAAAGGAGCAAGGGGGAGAGGCCGGCCGGCCCCUUGGGCGCGCCAAGGGAGGAGGAAUCCUCCUCCUAGUAGGAGUAGGACUCCUCCUUUCCUACUCCUACUAGGAGGGGGAAGGAAGGAGGAGAGGGGGAAGGAAAGGGGGGGCGCCGCCCCCCUCGUAGUCCAAUUCGGACCAGAGGGGGGGAGGGGGCGUGCGGCCCAUGCUGGCCGCCCCUCUCUCCUUUCCCCUAAGGCCCAUAAGGCCCAAUACUCUCCCGGGGGGUUCCGGUAACCCCCGGCACUCCGGUUUUCUCCGAAAUCACCCGGAACAAUUCCGGUGUCCGAAUAUAGUCGUCCAAUAUAUCAAUCUUUAUGUCUCGACCAUUUCGAGAUUCCUCGUCAUGUCCGUGAUGACAUCCGGGACUCCGAACAAACUUCGGUACAUCAAAAGAUAUAAACUCAUAAUAAAACUGUCAUCGUAACGUUAAGCGUGCGGACCCUACAGGUUCGAGAACUAUGUAGACAUGACCUAGAACCAUUCUCGGUCAAUAACCAAUAGCGGGACCUGGAUGCCCAUAUUGGUUCCUACAUAUUCUACGAAGAUCUUUAUCGGUCAAACCGCAUAACAACAUACGUUGUUCCCUUUGUCAUGGGUACGUUACUUGCCCGAGAUUUGAUCGUCGGUAUCCAAUACCUAGUUCAAUCUCGUUACUGGCAAGUCUCUUUACUCGUUCCGUAAUAUAUCAUCUCAUAACUAACUUAUUAGUUACAAUGCUUGCAAGGCUUAGGUGAUGAGUAUUACCGAGAGGGCCCAGAGAUACCUCUCCGACAAUCGGAGUGACAAAACCUAAUCUCGAAUUAUGCCAACUCAACAUGUACCUUCGGAAACACCUGUAGAGCACCUUUAUAAUCACCCAGUUACGUUGUGACGUUUGGUAGCACACAAAGUGUUCUUCCGGUAAACGGGAGUUGCACAAUCUCAUAGUUGCAGGAACUUGUAUAAGUCAUGAAGAAAGCAAUAGCAGUAUACUAAACGAUCAAGUGCUAGGCUAACGGAAUGGGUCAUGUCAAUCACAUCAUUCUCCUAAUGAUGUGAUCCCGUCAAUCAAAUGACAACUCUUUUGUCCAUGGUUAGGAAACAUAACCAUCUUUGAUAAACGAGCUAGUCAAGUAGAGGCAUACUACUGACACUAUGUUUGUCUAUGUAUUCACACAUGUAUCAUGUUUCCGGUUAAUAUAAUUCUAGCAUGAAUAAUAAACAUUUAUCAUGAUAUGAGGAAAUAAAUAAUAACUUUAUUAUUGCCUCUAGGGCAUAUUUCCUUCAGUUACCGGAGUCCUGUUAGCCCAGUGUUACAGCCCGGAUGUAUACGUUGAUGACCGACAUGCUCGAUGUGACUCAUGUAUGCCUGUCCCCAUAGGUUAGCGCCGCUUUGGGUUCAUGACUAGCCAUGUCAGCCCGGGUUCUCUGUCAUAUGGAUGCUAGCGACACUAUCAUAUACGUGAGCCAAAAGGCGCAAACAGUCCCGGCCAUGGUAAGGCGACACCCGUGGGAUUACCGUGCGUGAGGCCGCAAAGUGAUAUGAGGUGUUACCGGCUAGAUCAAUGUGACUUGGAAUCAUGGUCCAGACAGCAUUGGCAUCAGAGCCGGACUGCCUGUAGGUUCCUAAGCCAAACUGGUCGAUGUCGAGUCUAGAAAUGCUUUAGUUAUAUGUAGGGGAAUUUAUUGUGGGAGGAAACGUAAGGCUCUUUUUACCCCUUUACCUUAUGCCCUCUGAUCUGUGUCAUCCUCUUCUCAUUCUACGUGGGUUAAGGACUAGGCUCUCUUCUCUCUAUCAGGUUCACGUGUUACUAAUCCGUAGUAACUUAUAGGAUUGUUGGUUACCAGUCUCAGUACAGUUCCUACUACUUUAGUAUGUUAUCAGUUGAACCUGAACCUUGAUAUGAUGUUGUUGAGUGGUUUUGCAAUCCGUUGUGAAUGUCUCAAAUCUGCUCCUGAGCAUUUACAGCUGUUAUGUUGUCCAAUUUUCCCUAGGAAUUCUAAUGUCUUUGCAUUGUGGUUGUGCUUUCAGAUGGCCACUCGCGCUCAGAACCAAGUGGUUCGCCUGACGCGGUGCCUCAAUGUGCCCGGUCAUACUGCUAUGUUAGUCCGGGUCAUGAUCGAGACAGGUUACCGUUGGUAUCCCGAAUACAUUGCCGAAGAGCAAUUCCAAGACUUUAAUCAAAGCCAAUACUUCUGCACUGUCAGGAUAUUUCCUUCAUAUCCUGGAUCCACCGAGCCCCUUCACUGCUCCUAUGGACUCGGGGUCACCAUUGAGAUGGCUGUACAGGAUGCGGCCUAUUCUAUGAUGACCAUCAUGCGAGUCAGGACUGGUCUGCUUCGGAACACCGACUUCCGUUAUAUGCCAGCAUCGCUCCCAGGAGCGCAAGGGUAUCUCCAGGCUAUCUAUGCUGAUUCCACCCAUGAGGACUCACUAACUCGCACCAUUGCGGAGAUGCUCGAGGAUAAGGACCGAGAGAAUCAGGCCUUGAGGUUGGAGCUUUUCAACACCUGCGCCGAUCAUUGGGCCACUUUGACUCGGUUUGCACCGGCUGUGCAAGCUGGAUGUAUGGAUAUGAGGGAUCUGUUUCCUGUGAGAUCUGCUCUGCCAGACAUGGUGGAUUGGCGUGAUGUGGGAGGCAUCAUCCCACCCCGUGGUCCCCGUAGGCCAUCGUUUGUUGGUCCAAGACCUCAUCCUAGCCCCUAUGGUCCACAGGCUCCUCAGGACCGUCUGUUCCCGGAUGAUCACGUUGAGCUUCCAAGCUAUGGAGGGGACUUCUAUGAGGACUACUACGGAGCUGUCUGAGUUAGUAGUAGUAUCUUUAGUAUUGUAAUAGUUGUAAUUCCAUCGUCCUGCGUGACCUGUGGAAUAUGACUUAGUGUGUAUCAGUUCCGGAGGUGUAGAAAAAUAAUGUAUCGGAGCUUGGAAUGCCUCCGAUGAGAUGUAACUUCUUCCACCGUAGUUGUACUAUAGUCGGGCUUGUACUAAACUAUGUAUGGUGUGUAUGACUGUUGGUGCAUAUAUGGCAGUUUCUGUAUUACCAUGUCAUACAGAUGAACAUCUCUGCAUUCCUUGUUAUCCAUUACAUUCUGCACUUCCUUGUCCAGAUUUGCCAUCCUUGUCUAAAGCGAUGUCUUGUUUUCCUAGGAUGGUCAACACCCGUAACAACCCUGCUACUCCGGAGCAGGGUGAAGCCAGUGCAGCUAGGAAUGAAAAUCUGCCUCAACCACCUUCUCUGGUCGAAGUUAUGCUGGAGGCAGAGCGAAAUAAGCGUGAGACCAAUCGCUUGCUGGAGCGGAUUGAGCAGAAUACCGCACGCCAGCCGAGGAACGACCUGGUGUCACUUAAUGACUUUGUCAAGCUGUAUCCACCGAAGUUUAAACAUUCCGUCGAGCCCCUUGAUGCGGAUGAAUGGCUUCGCAGCAUUACCCACAAGCUACGUUCUGUCAAUGUGGCCGAAGCUGAUAAGGUUAACUUUGCUACCUAUCACCUCGAAGGCCCUGCUAGCCUUUGGUGGGAAAACUUUGAGGCUAUGCGCCCGGUCGGCCAAAUUACUACUUGGGCUGAAUUCAGUAUGGAGCAUCACAUUCCGGAAGGUCUUAUGGAUCGCAAGCGUGAAGAGUUCUGCAACUUCACCCAGGGUAGACUGACUGUGGAUGCAUACAGUCGCGAGUUUGGAUAUCUAGCACGAUAUGCUCCUAAAGAGGUAUCCACCGACGCCAAGAAGCAGGCAAGGUUCCGCAAGGGACUUAGCCCCGAGCUUCGUCGUGAUCUUCGUCUGCACGAGUGCACCUCCUUCCAGAAGUUAGUCAACAAGGCCAUCAGUGCUGAGACAGGGCAGUCGGACUUUGAAGCUUCACGCAAGCACUCCCGUGACUUUGGACUUCAUCCGGCUGUGCAUCUCAGAAGCGCCGGGUCUGGAUUCCAAGCACUGCUCUGCCACCCAGGUUCACCCCGAGGCCAUCCUUUGACGCGCCUCGCCCCAACCAAUAGUAUACACCGCCCAAGGCCUAUGGUGGCCCCACUGCUAAUGCUACUCCAUGCCCCAAUGUGAUAACUUGUUUCAAGUGUGGGGAGACGGGUCACUACAUUCGUGAGUGUCCCCAAAACAACCCCAACCAGAUUGGAAAGUCUGUUGGCCGUGGCAAGCCAGCAGGAAAGGUGCUCUACGCCAAGCCAGCCACCACUGCCCGUGGCCAUGUCAACUAUGUCUCAGCAGAGGAGACUCAUGAGGAUCCCAACGUCGUUCUCGGUACGCUUCUUGUUAAUUGCCACCCGGCAACCAUUCUCUUUGAUACUGGAGCAUCUCAUUCAUUUAUAUCUGAAAGCUAUGCUCGAUUGCACAACACCACAUUUUGUGACAUGCCCACCUCCAUGGUAAUUCAAACCCCUGGUUCUAAGUGGCAAACCUCUAAAAUCAGCCAUGGAAAUGAAAUCCUUGUCGACAGAUUAGUCUUCCUUGCAUCACUAAUAGCUCUCAAGUCCUCGGACAUAAACAUCAUCUUGGGUAUGGACUGGAUGUCAGCCCAUUACGCUAAGAUCGAUUGCUCCACUAGAACUGUUCAACUCACCCACCCUUCGGGCAAGACAGCCAAUGUUUUGACCCGAGUGUCUAAGCGUCAGCUUUACUCUUUAAAUGCCAACCCCCUUCCAGACCUUGAAGAUAUUCCGGUAGUCCGUGACUUCCCGGAUGUCUUUCCAGAGGAACUGUCAGGUGUUCCACCUAACAGAGAUGUCAAGUUCGUGAUAGACCUUGUUCCAGGAACCAUGCCAACAUCUAGGAGACCUUAUAAGAUGGCACCCCUAGAACUAGCUGAGCUUAAGAAACAACUCGAUGAGUCCUUGCAAAAGGGUUUCAUCCAUCCUAGCUCUUCUCCAUGGGCUUGCCCCGUCCUUUUCGUCAAGAAGAAGGAUGGAACGGAUCGGAUGGUUGUAGAUUACCGGCCAGUCAACUUGGUCACUAUCAAGAACAAGUAUCCGCUCCCCAAGAUCAACGACCUGUAUGAUCAGCUCGCUGGAUCCUCAGUCUUUUCUAAAAUGGAUUUGAGGUUGGGCUACCAUCAAAUCAAAAUUAAGAACGGGGACAUUCCUAAAACGGCCUUUGUUACUCGAUAUGGCCAAUACGAGUACACCGUCAUGUCCUUCGGUCUAACCAAUGCCCCAGCCACCUUCUCUCGGUUAUUGAACUCGAUCUUCAUGGAGUAUUUUGAUAAAUUCGUCGUGGUUUACCUUGAUGAUAUACUCAUCUACUCCAAGAAUGAAGAAGAACAUGCCGAACAUCUAAGGCUAGUGUUGAUGAAACUUUGAGAGCAUUGUCUUUAUGCCAAAUUCUCUAGGUGUGAGUUUUGGUUGCCAGAAGUAACCUAUCUAGGACAUGUAAUCUCUGGUAAGGGCAUUGCUGUCAAUCCCAAGCGAGUUCAAGCCAUCCUUGACUGGACUCCACCUGAAACGGUCAAGCAAGUUCAGAGUUUUGUUGGUUUAGCGAGCUAUUGCCGCUGCUUCAUCGAGAAUUUCUCCAAGGUUGCUAAGCCUCUAACCGAACUCCUCAAGAAAGAUAAAAAGUUCGAAUGGACGCCAUAGUGCGAGUUCAGUUUUCAGGAACUGAAAAGACGCCUGACAUCUGCUCCUGUACUUGUUCCACCAGAUUUCUCUAAGGACUUCGUUAUCUACUGCGACGCCUCGCGACAAGGACUAGGUUGCAUACUCAUGCAAGAUCGUCAUGUGAUUGCCUACGCUUCUCGACAGCUGCGUCCACAUGAGGAUAACUAUCCCACACAUGAUCUACAGCUUGCAGCAGUGGUCCAUGCACUCAAAACCUGGCGACAUUACCUUCUCGGUAAUCGUUGCGAGAUUUACACCGAUCACCAAAGUCUGAAAUACAUCUUCACCAAACCGGAUUUGAAUCUCAGACAAAGACGUUGGGUCGAGUUGAUUACGGAUUACGAUCUAGGAAUAACCUACACCCCAGGAAAAGCCAAUGUCAUGGCUGAUGCAUUAAGCCGUAAAUCUUAUUGUAACAACCUGAUGUUACAACAAAGCCAACCAUUUCUCCACGAGGAAUUUCGUAAGCUUAACCUUCACAUCGUUCCUCGAGGUUUUCUUUCCACCCUGGUGGCGAAACCUACCCUUACGGAUCAGAUCAUCAAGGCACAGAAGGUAGAUCCGGGAAUAUCCCGUAUCAAGAGAAACAUCAAAAGGGAGUUGGACUGUUUCUCCAUAGAUGAUCAAGGUGUUGUGUUCUUUGGAGGCCAUCUAGUGGUUCCCAAGGUAUGCAACCUGAGGCGAUUGAUCCUUAAGGAAGCUCAUGAAUCCCCUCUCACUAUUCAUCCCAGUAGUACUAAAAUGUAUCAAGACCUACGCCAGAGGUUUUGGUGGACUAGGAUGAAGAGAGAAAUCGCUCAAUACAUUACCAAUUGCGACGUCUGUCGUCGAGUUAAAGAAGAGCAUCAACGACCUGCUGGCACCCUGCAACCUUUGGAAAUUCCCGAAUGGAAAUGGGAUAAAAUCGGUAUGGAUUUCAUUACCGGGUUUCCCAGGACCAAGAGGGGGAAUAAUGCUAUCUUCGUUGUUGUCGAUCGUCUUUCCAAAGUAGCCCACUUCCUACACGUUCGUGAGAGUUUAACCGCUAGCCAGCUAGCUGACUUAUACAUCUCCCGAAUAGUGUCUCUUCAUGGUGUUCCAUUGGAGACUAACUCAGACCGUGGAAGUCUCUUCACCUCUCGAUUUCGGGAAAGUUUCCAAAAUGCGAUGGGAACUCGUCUUUCUUUUAGCACCGCUUUCCAUCCUCAAUCAAGUGGUCAAGUAGAACGAGUCAAUCAAAUUCUAGAGGAUAUGCUUCGAGCUUCUGUCAUCUCUUUUGGUAUGAAUUGGGAGAAGUGCCUUCCAUUCGCUGAGUUCGCUUAUAACAAUAGUUAUCAAGCUAGCUUGGACAAAGCUCCUUUCAAAGUUCUCUAUGGAUGAAAAUGUCGAACACCUCUUAACUGGUCAGAAACCGGGUAAAGACAACUCUUUGGCCCGGAUAUGAUCCAGGAAGCAGAGGAGCAGGUUCACGUUAUUCGUGAGAAAUUGAAAACAGCCCAAUCUCAUCAAAAGAGCCAAUAUGACCGCAAACAUACACUAGUAGAAAAGGGGCCAAUGGUCCAGGCCGGUCCAGCCCAUUAGUCCCGGUUCAAUCCAGAACCGGGACCAAUGGGGGCAUUGGACCCGGUUCGUGAGCCCUGGGGGCCGGCCGGGCCACGUGGGCCAUUGGUCCCGGUUCGUCCUGACCUUUCGGUCCCGGUUGGUGGGACGAACCGGGACCAAUGGGCCUCGCUCCUGGCCCACCAACAUUGGUCCCGGUUGGUGGCUUGAACCGGGACCAAAGGCGUCCCUUUAGUCCCGGUUCAAGUCACCAACCGGGACCAAUUAGUUGCCUAUAUAUACCCCUCGCCUGCGAGCAGAGCACUCCCAGUGCUCUGUUUUUCGUGGCUGGCGAGGGGAGAGCUUUGUGGUGCUCUAGCUCACGUCCUAUGCACACAAGGUGUUCGAUGGAAUGCCCGAGCCACACUACUUAAGCUUUCUCCUCUCCAAGCUCGACCUCCAAGCUCCAUUUUCCUUCAUAUUUGUCUAGGUUUAGCGGUUCGUCACGUCCCGUCCCCAUCUUCACCACCGUUGAUCGCCCGCGCCGAUCUCGUCGCCGGCACCACCGUGGUGAGCCUCUUGUUCUUAUCUUCUUUCUGAAAGGAAAAAAAAUUCUUACUUGUAUGUUUAUAUAGAUACUUGUAUAAUUUUCUUACUUUUAUUAUUGCAUCUUAUAUAGUGCGAUGGUUUUGGUAUCCGCCCCCGUCGGCCCUCGUCCUGUCUAUGAUUCAGAUGUGGUAUAUAUAUAUUAUCUUUUCAUAACUAGUGGUUCAUUUAUUGUUUAUGACAAUUAUGCCGACCAACGUGACAUAGAUUUUAUUUAUCUAGGAGGUUGUUGAACCGGAAAUUCCAACCGACCCUAUUGUCGAGAGGUUAAAUUUAGUUGAAGAAAACAAUUUGUUGAAGGGAAAAAUUAGAAAAAUUGAGGAGGAGAAGAUGAUAUUGGAGUUGCAUGUUGCGGAUGUCAUCGAUGAUCACAAGAUCAAGAUGGAUGCAAUGCGCUUGAAGAUUAGAAAGAUUAGAAAAUAUGCCAUUCAUACCGAGGCUUGGUAUCAUUAUGUCGUUGGAUCAGUUGUUACAUUGGUUGCGAUUAUGAUCGUAUUUGUUUUCGCAUUGAAAUGUUUUACAUAGUUUCAGUGUAUGGUUUAAUUAAUUUAGAUGCCCUGCAGAGCUUUAUGUUGUUAGAUGAGAACUAUGUAUGUACUUUGGUUUUAAUGUGAUGAUGAACUUCUAUUAAUUUCGUCACUUAAUUAUCUAUUCAUGAUGUUCUGUAAUGAUUUUUGACACACUUAAUUAUAUAUAAUGCACGCAGAUGAACCGGCAAUGGAUGUACGGUUCAAGACACACCUCCGAGUACAUUAAGGGCGUGCAUGAUUUUCUCGAAGUGCCUGAGGCAACAAGAAGAAUGGUUUUAUGUGUUGUCCAUGCCCUAUAUGUGGGAAUACGAAGUCUUACUCUGACUGGAAAAUCCUCCACACCCACCUUCUUUACAAGGGUUUCAUGCCACACUAUAAUGUUUGGACGAGGCACGGAGAAAUAGGGGUUAUGAUGGAAGACGGCGAAGAAGAAGAGUACGAUGACAACUAUGUGCCCCCUGAAUACGGUGAUGCUACUGAAGAUCAAGAGGAACCAGACGAUGUGCCCGAUGAUGAUGAUCUCCGCCGGGUCAUUGUCGAUGCAAGGACGCAAUGCGAAAGUCAAAAGGAGAAGCUGAAGUUCGAUCGCAUGUUAGAGGACCACAAAAAAGGGUUGUACCCCAAUUGUGAAGAUGGCAACACAAAGCUCGGUACCGUACUGGAAUUGCUGCAGUGGAAGGCAGAGAAUGUUGUGCCUGACAAAGGAUUUGAGAAGCUACUGAAAAUAUUGAAGAAGAAGCUUCCAAAGGAUAACGAAUUGCCCGACAGUACAUACACAGCAAAGAAGUUCGUAUGCCCUCUAGGAUUGGAGGUGCAGAAGAUACAUGCAUGCCCUAAUGACUGCAUCCUCUACCGCGGUGCGUACAAGGAUCUGAACGCAUGCCCGGUAUGCGGUGCAUUACGGUAUAAGAUCAGACGAGAUGACCCUGGUGAUGUUGACGGCGAGCCCCCCAGGAAGAGGGUUCCUGCGAAGGUGAUGUGGUAUGCUCCCAUAAUACCACGGUUGAAACGUCUGUUCAGAAACGGAGAGCAUGCCAAGUUGAUGCGAUGGCACAGUGAGGACCGUAAGAAAGACGGGAAGUUGAGAGCACCCGCUGACGGGUCGCAGUGGAGAAAAAUCGAGGGAAAGUACUGGGAUGAGUUUGCAAGUGAGCCAAGGAACGUAUGGUUUGCUUUAAGCGCGGAUGGCAUUAAUCCUUUCGGGGAGCAGAGCAGCAAUCACAGCACCUGGCCCGUGACUCUAUGUAUGUAUAACCUUCCUCCUUUGAUGUGCAUGAAGCAGAAGUUCAUUAUGAUGCCAGUUCUCAUCCAAGGCCCUAAGCAACCCGGCGACGACAUUGAUGUGUACCUAAGGCCAUUAGUUGAAGAACUUUUAUAGCUGUGGAAUGGAAAUAGUGUACGUACGUGGGAUGAGCACAAACAGGAGGAAUUUAACCUAAAGGCGUUGCUGUUCGUGACCAUCAACAAUUGGCCCGCUCUCAGUAACCUUUCAGGACAGACAAACAAGGGAUACCACGCAUGCACGCACUGUUUACUUGACACCGAUAGUAUAUACCUAGCAAGUUGUAGGAAGAAUGUGUACCUGGGCCAUCAUCGAUUUCUUUCGACCAACCAUCAAUGUUGAAAGAAAGGCAAGCAUUUCAAAGGCGAGGCAGAUCACCGGAAGAAGCCCUCCAUGCGUACUGGUAUCACGUACUUGCUAUGGUAGUGAUUUACACGUAAUCUUUGGAAAGUGUCCCGGCGGACUAGCUGUUCCGAAUGACGCUGAGAAUCACGCACCCAUGUGGAAGAAGAAAUCUAUAUUUUGGGACCUACCCUACUAGAAAGACCUAGAGGUCCGCUCUUCGAUCGACGUGAUGCACGUGACGAAGAACCUUUGCGUGAACCUGCUAGGCUUCUUGGGCAUGUAUGGGAAGACAAAAGAUACAACUGAGGCACGGGAGGACCUGCAACGCUUGCACGAAAAAGUGGGCAUGCCUCCGAAGCAGUAUGAAGGUCCUGCCAGCUACGCUCUUACGAAAGAAGAGAAAUAAAUCUUCUUUGAAUGCCUGCUCAGUAUGAAGGUCCCGACUGGCUUCUCUUCGAAUAUAAAGGGAAUAAUAAAUAUGCCAGACAAAAAGUUCUAGAACCUAAAGUCUCAUGACUGCCACGUGAUUAUGACGCAACUGCUUCCGGUUGCAUUGAGGGGGCUUCUACCGGAAAACGUCCGAUUAGCCAUUGUGAACCUAUGUGCAUUCCUCAAUGCAAUCUCUCAGAAGGUGAUCGAUCCAGAAAUCAUACCAAGGCUAAGGACUGAUGUGGUGCAAUGUCUUGUCAGUUUCGAGCUGGUGUUCCCACCAUCCUUCUUCAAUAUCAUGACGCACGUCCUAGUUCAUCUAGUUGACGAGAUUGUCAUUCUGGGCCCCGUAUUUCUACACAAUAUGUACUUCUUUGAGAGGUUCAUGGGAGUCCUAAAGAAAUAUGUCUGUAACCGCGCUAGGCCAAAAGGAAGCAUCUCCAUGGGCUAUCAAACAGAGGAUGUCAUCGGGUUUUGUGUUGACUUCAUUCCUGGCCUUAAGAAUAUAGGUCUCCCUAAAUCGCGGUAUGAGGGGAGACUGACUGGAAAAGGCACGCUUGGAAGGGACUCAAUUAUAUGCAGGGACGGAUAUUCUUGGUCUCAAGCACACUACACAGUUCUACAGAACUCUACCUUGGUGACCCCGUAUGUCGAUGAACACAAGAACAGUCUGCGCUCCAAACACCCGGAGCAGUGCGACGACUAGAUUACAUGUGAACACAUCAGGACUUUCAGUAGUUGGUUGGAAGCACAUAUCAGAGGUGACAACACUGUUUGUGAUGAGUUGUACUUGUUGUCCAGGGGACCAUCUUUGACUGUAUUGAUUUGGAAAGGAUACGAGAUAAAUGGGAAUACAUUUUACACGAUUGACCAAGAUCAAAAGAGCACCAACCAAAACAGCGGUGUCCGCUUUGAUGAAACAACCGAGAGGGGAAAGGACACAUAUUGUGGUUACAUAGUGGACAUAUGGGAACUUGACUACGGACACGAUUUUAAGGUCCCUUUGUUUAAGUGCAAAUGGGUCAAUCUGUCAGGUGGCAGGGUACAGGUAGACCCACAGUACGGAAUGACAAUAGUGGAUCUGGAAAAUCUUGGAUACACUGACGAACUGUUCGUCCUAGCCAAUGAUGUGGCACAGGUUAUCUAUGUGAAGGACAUGUCUACCAGACCAAGAAAGAGAAAAGAUAAGGAAGCGAAUACAUCAUACGAUGAGCCAAAGUGCCACAUAGUUCUUUCAGGAAAAAGGGACAUCGUGGGAGUGGAGGACAAGACAGACAUGUCUGAAGAUUAUGAAAAGUUUCAUGAAAUUCCUCCCUUUAAUGUCAAGGCUGACCCCAGCAUCCUGAUAGACGAUGAAGAUUAUCCAUGGUUACGGCGCAAUAAGCAAAUGACACAAGCGAAGAAAAAGUGAAGACUUUCUCCCGCAACUAUUAUGAUGAUACCAUGCCAAAUUUGUAACUGACGAGUAUGAUACCAUUGUCCGUUUUGUACAUGCACAUGCUAUGUGGGUCAAUUUAUGAUACCAUGCCAACUUUCAACUUUUUCAGAGUUCAUUUGAAAUGCUUUAAUGUCUUAUGGUUCGGCCCUCGUAAUGAUUAAAAAUAGCAACAAUAAGUAUUUUGUUGUAAGUAGAAACAAAAUAAAAUAAAUAAAGCAAGAAAGAAAACAAAAAAAACAAAAAAAGUGUUUUCAAAUUUGAAAACUAAUGGUACUAACAGAAAGUUUAUAAUUUUCCUAAAACUAAAAGCAAAAAGAAUUGAAAAAUAAAGCAAAAAACAAAAGACAAUAAAUAAUGCAGAAAUCAAAACAAAAAACAACAAUAAGUAUUUUGUUGUAUGUAGAAACAAAACAAAAUAAAUAAAGCAAGAAAGAAAACAAAAAAACAAAAAAAGUGUUUUCAAAUUUGAAAACUAGGGCACUAACAGAAAGUUUAUAAUUUUCCUAAAACUAAAAGCAAAAAGAAUUAAAAAAUAAAGCAAAAAACAAAAGAAAAUAAAUAAUGCGGAAAACAAAACAAAAAAACUGGAAAAAAAAUAAAAUAGCAAAAAUAAGUAAAGAAAACAAAAAAAUGCCUCCUACUGGGCCCCCACGGCCUGAAUACGACUAGAAACCCUACUAUGGGCCAGGAUUCAGGCCCGCAGUAGGCCCAGAAGGCCCAUCAGGCAAAGCAAUAGCAAGUAGGCCCGAAAGCCUGCGGUGGAGAGGAGCUCGAGAGGGGUGCGGCAGUGGGGCUUAUAAACCACUGCACGCCCCUCUCAACUAGCGAGGUGGGACUAAACUUUGGCCCCGACGCGGGAAGCACAGGGGCCUUUGGUCCCGGUUGGUGGCACCAACCGGGACUAAAGGGGGGGGCAUUGGUACCGGUUCGUGGCACCAACCGGUACCAAAGGCCGCCGCUUCCCGCCCUUUGGGCUGCCGAAAAGGAGGCCUUUGGUCCUAGUUGGUGGCACUAACCGGGACUAAAGGGUGCAUUAGUCCCGGUUGAUUUCACGAACCGGGACCAAUGCCUUUGCUAUAUAAGCAAACACUUUGCAAAAUUUCAGAAUCCCAUCGCCAGUUGCCCCCGACGACGCCGACCCUCCUCGACGCUGCCAGGCUGCUCCACCUCGCCGUCGUCGCCGCCACCGCCAAGCCGUCGCCUCCCCGAGCCCGCGCCAUCCUCGUCGCCGGCCUCCCUGAGCCCGCGCCGUCCUCGUCGCCGGUCUCCUCGAGCCCGCUCCCCGUCCCGCCCCCGCGCGCCGCCGCCCCGAGCCCCUGCCCCGUCCUGCCCCCAUGCGCNNNNNNNNNNNNNNNNNNNNNNNNNNNNNNNNNNNNNNNNNNNNNNNNNNNNNNNNNNNNNNNNNNNNNNNNNNNNNNNNNNNNNNNNNNNNNNNNNNNNNNNNNNNNNNNNNNNNNNNNNNNNNNNNNNNNNNNNNNNNNNNNNNNNNNNNNNNNNNNNNNNNNNNNNNNNNNNNNNNNNNNNNNNNNNNNNNNNNNNNNNNNNNNNNNNNNNNNNNNNNNNNNNNNNNNNNNNNNNNNNNNNNNNNNNNNNNNNNNNNNNNNNNNNNNNNNNNNNNNNNNNNNNNNNNNNNNNNNNNNNNNNNNNNNNNNNNNNNNNNNNNNNNNNNNNNNNNNNNNNNNNNNNNNNNNNNNNNNNNNNNNNNNNNNNNNNNNNNNNNNNNNNNNNNNNNNNNNNNNNNNNNNNNNNNNNNNNNNNNNNNNNNNNNNNNNNNNNNNNNNNNNNNNNNNNNNNNNNNNNNNNNNNNNNNNNNNNNNNNNNNNNNNNNNNNNNNNNNNNNNNNNNNNNNNNNNNNNNNNNNNNNNNNNNNNNNNNNNNNNNNNNNNNNNNNNNNNNNNNNNNNNNNNNNNNNNNNNNNNNNNNNNNNNNNNNNNNNNNNNNNNNNNNNNNNNNNNNNNNNNNNNNNNNNNNNNNNNNNNNNNNNNNNNNNNNNNNNNNNNNNNNNNNNNNNNNNNNNNNNNNNNNNNNNNNNNNNNNNNNNNNNNNNNNNCGCUGCAUUGGCUCUGUUUUUUUUUCAUUUUUAUUAGUUUAAUUAUUUUUUUGUUCAUAUAUAUAUAUAUAUAUAUAAUGUAUAUGUGUAUGUAUGUGGCUAUAUAUGUGUAUGUAGAUGUUCAAAAAUUAUUCAGAGCACGUUUUUAUUCAUAUAUGUAUUUUUUGUUCAUAUGUGUAUUAAUGUUUUCAUAUAUGCAAAAGAUAGAUUUUUAGAAAAGUUAGGGUUUUUUUUUCUAUUCAUAGAUUUUUUUGGUGAUAUUAAUUAUUGUAGAAUAUGCAAAUGUUUGUAUAUUCAUAUGAACAAUGCAUUAGGCAAAACCUUUGUUUUUUUUGAAAUUUUUUAUUUGAACAUUUUUUAAAAACAAGCAAUACUAAAAGAAUGAGAGGAAAAAGGAAAAUAAGAAGAGGAAGAAAGGAGAAGAAGAGGAGAGGAAGAAGAGGAGAAAUAAAUAAGAAGAGGAAAAAAGAAGAGGGGAAGAAGAAAGGAAUAGAGGAGAAGAAGAAAAAUAGAAAUUUUCUAUUUUUCUUCUUCUCCUCUAUUCCUUUCUUCUUCUCCUCUUUAUUUUCUUCUUUUUUUUCUUCUUCCUUCUUCCUCUUUUCUUCCUUUUCCUUAUUUUCCUUUCUCGAGGGAGAAGAAGAAAAAGAAGAGUAAAAGAAGAAGAAAGGAAUAGAGGAGAAAGAAGAAACUUCAACACAAGGGGGGGUUACCGAUACCCCCUCCCCGAUAACAUUAUUUUCCCAUGUAUAUGUAUGUCGCGUCAUUGUCGAUAUAACCCCCUCGAGAUAACUUCGACAUGAGGGGCGGUCGAUAUAUAUACCCCCUCUCGACCGUGAUAACUUAUACAACGGCAGCACCCCCCUCGGCCCUCUCGCUCGACCAAAACUCUUGAGGACACCCAAACCCUAGAGAGAAAACGAUGUUGGUCUCCUACCCCCUCCCGCCGCGCCCCUACCCGACAUAUUAACUCUCUCGAGGCCACCCAAAUUUACCAAGUUAAAAGAGCGUUGUCGUCGAGGCCACCCCAAACCCUUGAAGCGUUGUGUCGAGGAGACCCCAAACCCUAGAGAAGCAGCGUCGAGGCCACUAACAUGGAUCGAUCCAUCUGUAAUAAUAAUUGACAUGGUGUAAAUAUUUGCAGAAACUAUGGAGCACUCCCGAGACGAAGAAACAGAAGCGAUGUUGGGGGACAUUAUCGCACAAGGAAGUGAUGAAGUUGCGUCAUUUCUCAACGACACCGAUGGUCAGGAACGACUGGGUGAAGAAGAGGGCUAUGUUCAUGAUGGCUUCGACCCAUUAAUGCCGGUACAAGAAGAGGACUAUGUUCAUGAUGGCUCUGGUGACACAAUGGAGGUACAAGAAGGAGACCGUGCUGACUGCUCCGGUGACCGAACCGAGUCCGGCCAGGUAUAUAUAUAUAUAUUAGUUAAGCCCGUGCUGACUAGUUAAUUGAUGCAUCCAUUGUUUUGGUAUAUGUACACAUAUUAAUUACUCUCGUCUUUCUUCCUUAUAAUUUCUAGCCCUCCGGAUCGAGCACAACUUCGGUAAGAAGACGAAGCCCGAAGAAAAAGUUGAGCUCGGAUGAAAAGUUUGAGAUCAUAGAAAUCGCGCCCGACGGCGAACCGAUUGAACCCAUCCGGACAAGGAAGGCAUUUUCUGCUCAGUGCGGGGUUCUUGUUAGGGACAAGAUCCCGAUCAGCAUCCAUCAAUGGUAUAAGCCUAAGGAGGAAGACCCCGAGGUGUCUUAUGUCAAUGAUAUGCAGAAAGAAGAUCUUUGGACUGAGCUAAAGGCAAAUUUCACCCUACCGCUAGAGGAGGAUCCGGAGAAGCCAGUUAUAGAGCAAUUAAUCAAUUCUUGUGCUCUUAAGAAGAUGGCAACCCUAAUGAGGAGGUGGAGGAAAGAGGUGAACCAGUUUGUCGAGAAAGAUAAGACACCAGAAUUCAUCGGCAAAUAUGAGAAGAUCAAAGAUCACUGGCCCGCAUUUGUGGCCCACAAGACAUCGGAAAAGAGUAAGAAGAUGUCGGCAACAAACAAGAAAAAUUCUGCAAAGAAGAAGCUUCACCAUCGCACGGGGUCAGGUGGCUACCUCAAAGCCCGGCCUAAGUGGUCCAAGGCUGAGCAUGAUCUGCUUGAAAAAGGGAUCGAACCAGAGACAAUGUACUGGCCAGACCGUUGUCGGACUUGGUUCUUCGGGGCUGGCGGAACCUUGGACCCUGUAACAGGGAAGUGCCAGUGGACGGAUGAGCAACUACAAAUACCAGUCAAGAAACUUCGACACUAUAUCGAUGCAGCGUAGCGAGGGACGCUCCUUCCAAACAGGGAGAAGGACGAGCUCACAAUGGCCCUUGGGAAUCCUGAGCACCCUGGAUGGACACGAGGCACGCCAGGCUCCAUUCCAUGGAAGGUUGGUCUUCCGCACACAGGGGGUUACAAAACCCACGAGAGGAGGAAGAAACUGGAGCAGGACCAAAUGCAGGCGCUGCACGAAAGGGUAAUGGGGCUAGAGGAACGAGAAGCAGCAGAUCGCAGCAAACGACAUGCCGAAGCUUCCCCCGAAGCUACCUCGCCAUCUCAGCGGAGAAGCAGCGUGGCUUCCACCGAGCUGCUUCAGCCGGAGCAUGUCUUGACGUCUCCUGCCAGCUAUCCCGUGGAUGGUAUCACGGAGUCUCAAAGUUGCCACAUUAUGACGCAAUGUAUGAAUUUGAAGGUCAAGGCGGCUGUUGGCCAAGUUUAUCCUAGUGGACCCGGCACAACUUAUCACUGCCAGCCGAUUCCAGAAGGAUUUGCUAAGGUGAUGGUGGAUGAAAUAACGGAGGGAUUUGAGGACCUCCUGCUUGAGCACCCUACCGGUGAAGGGGAGACUAGGCUGGGUUCUGCUCUGAAGACUCCAUGCCUAUGGCGGAAGGAGCUCAUCAACCUUCCGAACUGGACGCCUCCGCCUCCUCCUCCUCCUCCGGCGAGUCAGGGCACUCCGCCUCCUCCACCGCCUCCUCCUCCGGCGAGUGAUGAUCAGGGCACACGUGGCAGCACUCCGCCUCCUUCUCCGCCUGCGCCGGCGCGCCCGAGCAGCCAGCCUCCUCCUUCUCCGCCUCGUCAGCAAGGGCGAAAGAGACCCGCCGCUGCUCCGGCUGCUCCGGCGCGUCGUAAUCCUUCUCCUCCGCCUCACAAAAAGCAAGCAAAGAAGACAUCCACUCCGUCUGCUCUGUCGGUGUCUAGCAGUACAGCCAAAGGCGGGAAGAAAUACAGAUUUGGUCCUUCUCCGAAGACUCCAGAGAAGUUACCGUACGAGAGGACCGAGGAGGAAAACGCGGAGAUCACGCAGAACGAACUGGAUGGCUGGUUUGCAGGGUUGAAAGCAAAGAGACAUCCACCUCCGGAGGAGAAGGUAGAUCCGGUGAAAGUGAAGCGCACUCUGGCUGCCCUGAGGAAACCGGCAAAGUCUCCGCCGAGAACCAACUAUGAGCGCAUUACUGAACAGACAUAUCUCCAAGCGGAGCAGUCGGGAAGUACUGUCAGACAUCAAAGAGCAAAAGAACGAGCAGCUGCGAAAAAAGUUGACCAGCUCGGCGAACAACCAAACCAAUCGUGCCCCCCGCUCAAUGUGUCUAGCGGCAACAUCGUCGCUAAUGUUCCGGGGAUCAUGGACGGUUAUGGCAAUCCACAAUAUUACCUGCCUGACGAUGCACUUCCUGAAUUCAUGAUGGUGGAAGAACGCAGAUACGAGUACGGGAAGCCUCUCAUCAAAGAUGUAAAAUCUCUAACAACGAUGAUGCGAAGAUUCCAUACUUGGUACAUGAAAACCUGCAGAGAGUCUGGGGGGACGAAUAGUUUGUAUCUACACAUUAAAGAGGAGCACGACCUCGUUGGAACUGAUCUGUUGUGUGUUCCAUUUGAGGAGUUCUUCGCGUUCUUCAAUCAAAUAGCCCUCGAUAAAUUAACGGUCUUUUGCUACUGCCUGUAAGUACUAUUUCUGUCAUUAAGUCUCUAUAUAUAGCUUGGCUUUCAUUACAUGUAUUUAUAAUUAAUUAUCCUCAAUAUAUUAUGCAGAUUGAAGAUCGUCGAGUGCAAAAAAAUGAAAUCUAUGAUAUUGGGUUCAUUAACACAAAUAUCAUAGAUGUAUUUCUGGUUGAAAAGCACAUCGAAGAGGCCGAGGACAACUUGCUACGAUCAUUGAUCAAAAAUCAAAACAAAGAUACCAUACUCUUUCCUUACAACACCAAGUGAGUGUUACUGAUCAUUUGCAUAUUCGGUUUCCCUUAUUACUCGAGCGAGGUUAUAGUAAUGUAAUUGAUGAGUUAUGCAUGUGUGCGCAGGUACCACUAUAUUCUUCUGGAGAUUAAGCUUGAGCGUGGACUAGUAACCGUCUUAGACUCGAGACGGAAAGAUCCCAGCACCUAUGCGGACAUGACUGAAAUGCUCAGCAAGUAAGUUCAAUCGAUCAUUAUCGCACCAUAGCGGCAACUUUUUGUUCAUUUCCUGAUAUCUCAAGUAAUAAUAAUUAUUUUCUUUGUCUUGCAGGGUUUGGAAACAGUUCACCACAGUAGCUCGGGGACUGCCGAAGGAGCUGCGAUAUAUAUACCCGAAAGUAAGUACUACUGGCUAGCUAGUUGUGUGCAUCUCCUGUUGAUUCUAUAGCUAUACUUUCAUCACAUUUAUAAUGCUUCAUUAUCAGUUUGAUAGACCUCUAUUUCUCGUAAAGUGCUUGUGGUAGGAACAAGGGAAUGAUUUCUAUAGAUACUACGUGUGCGAGUUCAUCUACAACGCGACUUUGAAAAAUAAGCGGGGCUACUCUCAAAGACAAUAUGAAGUGCGUAAGCAAUUAAUAAUAUUCACAAUUUCUGUUGAGUUUCAUUCAUAUAUAUAUAUAUAUAUAUAUAUAUAUAUAUAUAUGUAUUAAUUAACCCCCUUCUUCAAAUUAGACGUGGCAGAUGCGGAAUGAACUCCUAGAACCAGAUCGCAUGAAAGGAAUUCAAGAGGAAUUGGCGGGAUUCUUUCUUGACCACGUCAUCAAUAAAGCCGGAGAAUACCAUGUGGAACUUGAUUUCAAAUGCUAGGGGACUGUAAUUGAGAGAUCUUAUAUAUUGUACAUGUUGUAUGUAGCCAGUAGCGUCGGACAUACAUGAUACAAAAACUUGUUGUUUGACCAAUCUCUCGGAGAAGGAGACGUCGAUCGAUCACUUCUCUCGGUAUGCAUGACGAACUUCUGUACUUAAUGGUUUCCUUCAUUUUCUUACUAGCUAGCGUGUCGAGAGCCUCUCUAUGUAUAGUACGUAGCGUCGACCAAGCACGGACAUAAGAGAGGACACUUCUCUCUAUUAAUUAGCUAGCUAACACAAUAUAUGAAACACCUAAAUUAACCCCCAAAACCNNNNNNNNNNNNNNNNNNNNNNNNNNNNNNNNNNNNNNNNNNNNNNNNNNNNNNNNNNNNNNNNNNNNNNNNNNNNNNNNNNNNNNNNNNNNNNNNNNNNNNNNNNNNNNNNNNNNNNNNNNNNNNNNNNNNNNNNNNNNNNNNNNNNNNNNNNNNNNNNNNNNNNNNNNNNNNNNNNNNNNNNNNNNNNNNNNNNNNNNNNNNNNNNNNNNNNNNNNNNNNNNNNNNNNNNNNNNNNNNNNNNNNNNNNNNNNNNNNNNNNNNNNNNNNNNNNNNNNNNNNNNNNNNNNNNNNNNNNNNNNNNNNNNNNNNNNNNNNNNNNNNNNNNNNNNNNNNNNNNNNNNNNNNNNNNNNNNNNNNNNNNNNNNNNNNNNNNNNNNNNNNNNNNNNNNNNNNNNNNNNNNCCCCCUGCCUGGGCUCGGCGCGUGGAUGCCUUUUGGUCCCGGUUGGUGCCACCAACCGGGACCAAAGGCCCCCCUGCCUGGGCUCGGCGCACAGGCCACGUGGAGGACCAUCUAUCCCGGUUCGUGUUACAACCGGGACUAAAGGGGGGAGGUAUUAGUAACGACCCAUUAGUCCCGGUUCAUGAACCGGGAGUAAAGGCCCUCACGAACCGGGACUAAUAGGUGUUUGUCUACUAGUGAUAAGCCUAUGACUUAUGAAGUUGGUGAGAAGGCUUACCUUCGGGUUACACCUUUAAAGGGAACCCAUCGAUUCGGUAUCAAGGGCAAGUUGGCCCCUUGUUACAUUGGACCCUUUUGCAUUCUUGCCAAACGAGGGGAAGUUGCCUACCAGUUGGAACUACCUCCACAUCUUUCUAGAGUUCAUGAUGUCUUCCACGUCUCUCAACUCAGGCAUUGCUUCUCGAAUCAUAUCCGCGAAGUAGACCAUGAAACGCGUGAUCUCCAAGAAAAUCUCACUUAUCGAGAAUAUCCAAUUCGCAUCCUUGAUCAAGCCGAGCGUACCACUCGACGCCAGAAUAUCAAGUUUCUCAAGGUUCAAUGGUCACACCACUCCGAUCAAGAAGCAACUUGGGAAAGGGAGGAUCAUCUACGACUUGAGUAUCCCACCUUCUUCCCGAUAGACCCUAAAUCUCGGGAUGAGAUUCUUUUGAGUGGGGGUGAGUUGUCACAACCUAGCUAGUCCAUGCAUUAGAGUGUUGCAUCAUGUCUACCUUUUAUCAGAAACUUGAAUUGGGGAAGACAGAACCCCCCCAGAACCCCUCUAAAUUCAACUAGUGCUUACUAAAAAUAUUUUCAAUGAACCUGAAAUGCCCUUCUAAAAAGUUCACCCUCUUUGUCUUGGGUUAGAACCUCUGGCAAAAUUGGUGCACAAUUUUCUAGGUCAACAGAAGGCCAUUGAAUUAAAUCAUAUCUACUUUGAGUUUGGGCAUUUAAACUAUAUAAAAUAUUUCAAAUGCUCAAAUAACUCCAAACUAAAAUGUUCCAUACUGGAUAUAUUCCAACUAGCGACCAUGUGCAGUUUGGUGAUUUUUGGAGUUGCCUAAGUAUUUUUAGAAAUGCAACAAACUUACAGAAACAAUUAAAAACAGAAACAAAUGGGGAAAAAACCCUUACCUGGCCGAACCAAGCCCCAGCCCAGCUGGCCGGCCCAGCACUGUGCUGGCCCAUGCCAGCCAGCUGCUUUGCCAUCGCCACGCAGGCACAGAGCUGACGCCAGCGAGUGUGAGCUCGCCACGGCGCCAACUGCUUGCCGCCCGCGCCACCGAGCACCUGGGUGAGCUCCACGUCGCCACCCCGACCCCGUGGACACCUCAUUCGCCCCCCUGCCUCUUCCCUCGCUCUCCCGCACCAUGGCCGACGCACCCGUCGCCGCACCGCCGACGUAGUCGCGCCCUCCAUCGUCCCCGUGCUGCACCACCGUGUCCCUUCGCUCCGUCGUCAUCAACUACAUCGAGCAGGCCGAGCCCCGAGCGCUCGUGGGCCUUGCUUCGUCUUCUUUGACCUCAUCUUCACCGAGCACCACCGCAGAUCCCCUUCGCCGUCGCCGCUGCACCAGCUCGUCCCCGACCUCGCCGACCACUCCGUUGUGACCGCCGUGAGCUCAGCCACCUCCCCAUCCUCCCCGUUUGCCUUCUCGUGCACCGUAGCAGCCGCAUGGAGCUUCAUCGCACGCACCACCGCCGAGCUCGUCGCCGACGUGCCUCCGGCCAUCCACCGUCCACACCACGGUAUCUAACAUGCUCAUUGCAUCGCGUAGAGUCUAACGCCCCACUCCACGCGCCUCGCCGUGCCCCGUAGCCACGGGUCAAUUUUCACCCGACUCCGGCGACCGUCGCGGUCGUCGCUGCCGACGUUCCUGGCCACCUCGACCUCAACCACCACCACCAAACGCCGCGGCUUGUUCCUGGCUACACGUAGAUGGUCUUCGCCGUCCAUUUGGUCGCCGGAACGUGCUAACCCACUUCCUCUGCCGCAUCUGGCCUCGCCAGCGGCUAGACGCCGGCGUGUUUGACCCGUUGACGUUGACUGGGUGGGCCAGGUUGACUCCCCUGAGUCUAUGACAAGUGGGCCCCCCCCUCUGCUAAUUAACCUAGUUUAGUUCUUACUAAAAUCAGUUAGUUUAAAUAAGUGCUGACAUGCGGGACCCACUGGUCAGUUUGACCUGAACGACCCCUUUGACCAUUGACGUCACCCUGAUGCACUGCUGACGCAAUAACCAAUUUCUGGAUUUAUUGUUAUAUAGGAAAUUCCAGAAAUUGUUGCAAACUUCAAAAAUUCAUAGAAAUUAAUCUGUAACUCCAAAUGCAAAGAUUUAUAUAUGAAUUUCGAUCAAAAAAAUUCAAUAUAUCCAUUGGUAAUGGUUUCAUGCAUGUCAGAACAAGUUAACCUUGUUGUUUAAUCAAAACAAGUUAAUGCACUAAUAUGACUAUGUUAAAUGAACUACCAUUUGCAUCUUUGAUUCAAAUGAGUUCAUACCUUUCUGUUCUAGCUUGCAUUAGGCCAGGACACAUUCAUGUUGCCAUGUCAUAGCAUGCAUCAUAUUGUUGCAUAUCGUCAUGUGUGGUUCAUGUUCGGUGUGUUUUCGUGAUAGGUUCUGCCUCCGAGGAUAACCCCGAAUAUCCGUCUGAAGGGCAGUAUCCUACUACCACUACAUCAGGCAAGCAACCCAUUGAUCAUUCUGAUACAAACCCAUGUUCUCGCCUCUGCUCUUGUUUACUGCAUUAAGAUAACGCGAUUCAAACUGUUGUGUGUUGUGGUAGUUGAACCCACUUCCUUUGCAUGACCUGUCAUUGCCACGGUAACUAGAUGAAACCCACUAGCAUGUGUAGGAGUUGAUUGAGCCAUAUCUGUGUUACCUACCAUGCUAUGCUUGCUAUGCUUAGAGUUGUGUCAGGUCUGGCUCAUCAGGAUGAUGAACUAGAGUGAAAGGUUGUGUCGGUAACGAGAGUGAAGUGUUGAACACGAUUUGGUAAAGGUAUCGAUGAGAGGCCAUGUAGGAGUACAUGGUGGGUUGUUUCAUUGAGGCCGUCCUUAAGCACUGAGAUCUGUGUGUGUGAUUUAAGAUUCAGCUACUACCACGCAUUGGGCCCAAAACCAAUGGACCCUCUCGACUUAUUAACCACUCUUGUCCUCAGUCCGGGAGUUGCAAGUAGUUUCUGGUGUUUGUAGCAUGCUGGGGGCCGCACGCAGCGCUGACCUUAGGGGUGGGUUGUGUUGCGGUAGGCACGUGGCACGGUGUAUCGAUUCGCCCGUUUGGUGUCUCGGGAACCCUGUUCACAUCGUUCGGGGCCGUUAGUGGAAACCUCGGCCGGACUCCCUGCGGAUGGAACCCAAAUAGGCGAUAAACCUGGACUAGGGACUCGUGUGUUUAGUCAGGCCAUGGCCGACACCCUUGCUGGGCUUCCGCUUGAAGGUUGCCGAGUACACGUCAUGUAGUGGCGAUAAGUGGUGAGAGCGUGUGUGAAGAAGUACACCCCUGCAGGGUACAAAACUAUUCGAAUAGCCGCGUCCACGGUAAAGGACUACUUGGUCACCUAUACAGUUCAUAGACAAGUAAAUGGAUACUUCUAAAAGCCUCAAGAUAAGUGUGAGUGCCGCGGAUGGCCCUGUCGUAGGUUGACGAGAGAGGAUCCACGGUGGAGUAUUGUGUUGGUGAGUAGUGGACUCGUGUGCGACAAAUGUUUUGCAAGUUGUGUCUAUCGUUGGAUAGCUUAGCCAAGAGUCAAAGCUGGCUUGCUGCAAUAACUCCACUACCUUCUUGAGAAUGUGCAUGUAUGAUAGGAUUCUGUUGUAAGACUUGCUGAGUACCUCUGUACUCAUGUUUGCUUAAUUAAUGUUUUCAGACGACAACACCAACCCCUCCGAUGGGUUCUACGUAGACCUCGACGUUGACGAGUGACUAGCCACCCAAGUGGUGAUCCAAGACUUGUGAAGGGCCGAUGUAGAUAGAAAGGCUUCAUCAAGCCCUCUUUCUUUCUAGUGUCUGUACUCAGACUAGUUGCUUCCGCAUGUGCUUGUAUGCUUGUAUGACUUGAGUGUCAGGUCAUGUGACCCCUAUCUGUAUGAACAUGUUAUGUAUGGCUCCUCGGAGCCACUUAAAUAAAGUACUUUGAGUUGUAGAGUUUUGUUGUGAUGCCAUGUUGUAUGUACUCAUAUCGGGCAUAUUGUGUGUAUGUUUGAAAUGCUUGGUAUGAGUGGGAUCCGACAAUCUAGUUGUUUAUCCUUGGCAGCCUCUCAUAUGGGGAAAUGUAGUCUAGUGCUUCUUGAGCGAUAGUAGUCCGCUACAGCCCGGUUCACCGGAGUCCUGCUAGCCCAGUACUACUGCUCUGGACACUUGACUGGCCGGCAUGUGUUUCACUUUGUUCCUGUGUCUGUCCCUUCGGGGAAAUGUCAAGCGGUGGCAUCCGGAGUCCUGCCUAGCCUGCUACAGCCCGGGUUACCGGAGUCCUGUUAGCCCAGCGUUACAUCCCGGAUGUAUACGUUGAUGACCAACAUGCUCGAUGUGAUUCAUGUAUGCAUGUCCCCAUAGGUUAGCGCCGCUUGGGUUCACGACUAGCCAUGUCGGCCCGGGUUCUCAGUCAUGUGGAUGCUAGCGACACUAUCAUAUACGUGAGCCAAAAGGCGCAAACGGUCUCGGGCCAUGGUAAGGCGCCACCCGUGGGAUUACCGUGCGUGAGGCCGCAAAGUGAUAUGAGGUGUUACCGGCUGGAUCAAUGUGACUUGGAAUCGGGGUCCUGACAAUUACUUGCUCCUAUCAUAUGUUUGGUUGCAACAAUGUCACUUCUUCACAUAUGCCAUGUCCCAUUGCUUGUCUCAUGCUUGACUUCAUUGCCUCACACAUGAUGAACAAUUGCUCUUUAUAUUGUGUUGAGUGUUACACUAUAUUCACUACAUCCUAUGCACGUUAUGUUUGGAUUGUCUUGCACUUGACCCAUGUGUUUAGACACUUCAUUUUAUUUGGUGUUGUGAAUCCUUCCUAUGCCUACCAUAGACCUUUCAUUGAGCAAUUUGUGAAUGCUUGCUAUGACCUCGAGGUAGAUGCUUAUGCUCUUGUCACACAUAUUUGCAUCUCUACCUCACAUUUACAUGCUUGUUCCCAUGAUAUUUUUGCUUGUGCUCGAUUGAUAUGCUUACAUGCCAUGUCACAAUCCUUUGUCACACCCUAUGCUAUGCUUGAUGACAACACUUGUUUGGUGAAUCACCUCUUGAAUGCUUGGUUUUGCACGAACGCAAACCACAUUUGUUUUUCCACGGGUUUGUUCUAUUUGCUCCUUUUGAAGGAAUCACAAGAUGGUGCGACACUGGAGAGUGCCCACUUCGAGCUACUAGACGAUGAGUGCUUGGUGAUCGACCACUUCGAUAUGGCACCGCCAUCUCUUUCCUAUGGUGAUUUGGUUUUCGAUCCGAGGUCGAAUCCUUCUCAAGGGGGAGGGGAUGAUGCGGAGCAUCCUAUGGACAUCACCAUGUCAAGAGUCCAUUCGGCAAGUGACACGUGCGACAUCUACUUCUCAUACAUAAAGGUGAAUCUUCUCCUUUACACGUGUUCACUUGACCCCUUCGAGGAUGGUAUACUACUUGACACUUCUCCCGUGUGCAUGCAUAGGUAUUGUCAGAGCUUUACGGAUGUCGAGGAGUGCAAGCGCCAAGGAACGACUACACCGUCCGCGAGGGAAGCAUGGAAGAGAAGGAGGAAGAGAACCUGGUGUUGGGGAACGUAGUAAUUUCAAAAUUUUCCUACGCACAUGCAAGAUCAUGGUGAUGAUAUAGCAACGAGGGGAGAGUGUUGUCUACGUACCCUCGUAGACCGAAGCGGAAGCGUUGACGCAGCGUAGAGGAAGUAGUCCUACGUCCUCCCGGUCCGACCGAUCCAAGCACCGUUACUCCGGCACCUCUGAGUUCUUGACACACGUACAGCUCGAUGACGCACCCUCGAUCUCCAAUCCAGUAGAGGCUCCAAGGGGGAGUUCCGUCAGCACGACGGCGUGGUGACUAUCUUGAUGUUCUCCUGUCGCAGGGCUUCGCCUAAGCACCGCUACAAUAUGACCGAGGUGUAAUAUCGUGGAGGGGGGCACCGCACACGGCUAAGGAACGAUCAAUGAUCAACUUGUGUGUUCUAGGGUGCCCCCUACCCCCGUAUAUAAAGGAGGGAGGGAGGAGGUGGCCGACCCAAGGAGGGGGCGCGCCAUGGGAGGAGGAAACCUACUCCAAGUAGGUUUCCCCUCUUUUUCCUUAUCUUAUUUGGAGGGGGAAGGAAGGAGUACUAGUAGUAGGAAGGAGUACUAGUAGUAGGAAAGGAAGAGGGGGAAGGAGAAAGGAAAGGGGGGGCCGGCCCCCCUCCCCAAUUCGGAUUGGGCUUGGGGGGGCGCGCCCCCCUCCCUUGCUCCUUCUCCCUUCCUCCUACAUGGGCCCAAUAAGGCCCAUAUACCUCCCGGGGGGGUUUCGGUAACCUCCCGGAGCUCCAAACUCUUCCGGAACCUUUCCGGUGUCCAAAUAUAUCCGUCCAAUAUAUCGAUCUUUAUGUAUCGACCAUUUCGAGACUCCUCGUCAUGUCCGUGAUCAUAUCCGGGACUCCGAACAAACUUCGGUACAUCAAAAUACAUAAACUCAUAAUAUAACUGUCAUCGAAACCUUAAGCGUGCGGACCCUACGGUUCGAGAACGAUGUAGACAUGACCGAGACAUGUCUCUGGUCAAUAACCAAUAGCGGGACCUGGAUGCCCAUAUUGGUUCCUACAUAUUCUACGAAGAUCUUUAUCGGUCAAACCGCAUAACAGCAUACGUUGUUCCCUUUGUCAUUGGUAUGUUACUUGUCCGAGAUUUGAUCGUCGGUAUCCAAUACCUAGUUCAAUCUCGUUACCGACAAGUCUCUUUACUCGUUCUGUAAUACUUCAUCUCAUAACUAACUCAUUAGUUAUAUGCUUGCAAGGCUUAUGUGAUGAGCAUUACCGAGAGGGCCCAGAGAUACCUCUCCGACAAUCGGAGUGACAAAACCUAAUCUCGAAUUAUGCUAACUCAACAUGUACCUUCGGAGACACCUGUAGUACUCCUUUAUAAUCACCCAGUUACGUUGUGACGUUUGGUAGUACCCAAAGUGUUCCUCCGAUAAACGGGAGUUACACAAUUCUCAUAGUUACAGGAACAUGUAUAAGUCAUGAAGGAAGCAAUAGCAGAAUACUAAACGAUCAAGUGCUAAGCUAACGGGAUGGGUCAUGUCAAUCACAUCAUUCUCCUAAUGAUGUGAUCCCAUUAAUCAAAUGACAACACAUGUCUAUGGUUAGGAAACAUAACCAUCUUUGACUAAUGAGCUAGUCAAGUAGAGGCAUACUAGUGACUAUAUGUUUGUCUAUGUAUUCACACAUGUAUCAUGUUUCCGGUUAAUACAAUUCUAGCAUGAAUAAUAAACAUUUAUCAUGAUAUGAGGAAAUAAAUAAUAACUUUAUUAUUGCCUCUAGGGCAUAUUUCCUUCAGUCUCCCACUUGCACUAGAGUCAAUAAUCUAGUUCACAUCGCCAUGUGAUUUAACACCAAUAUUCAUAUCUGUAUAUGAUUAACACCCAUAGUUCACAUCAUCAUGUGACCAACAUCCAAAGUGUUUACUAGAGUCAAUAAUCUAGUUCACAUCGCUAUGUGAUUAACACCCAAAGAGUACUAAGGUGUGAUCAUGUUUUGCUCGUGAGAGAAGCUCAGUCAACGGGUCUGUCACAUUCAGAGCCAUAUGUAUUUUGCAAAUAUUCUAUGUCUACAAUGCUCUGCACGGAGCUACUCUAGCUAAUCGCUCCCACUUUCAAUAUGUAUCCAGAUUGAGACUUAGAGUCAUCUGGAUCGGUGUGAAAACUUGCACCGAGAUAACUUUUACGACGGGCUCUUUUAUCACCUCCAUAAUCGAGAAAUAUUUCCUUAGUCCUCACUAAGGAUAUUCUUGACCAAUGUCCAGUGAUCUACUCCUAGAUCACUAUUGUACUCCCUUGUCAAAUACAGAGCAAGGUAUACAAUAGGUCUGGUACAUAGCAUGGCAUACUUUAUAGAACCUAUGACUGAGGCAUAGGGAAUGACUUUUCAUUCUCUUUCUAUUUUCUGCUGUGGUCGGGAUUUGAGUCUUACUCAAUUUCAUACCUUUGCAACACAGGCAAGAACUCUUUCUUUGACUGUUCCAUUUUGAACUACUUCAAAAUCUUGUCAAGGUAUGUACUCAUUGAAAAUCUUAUCAAGCGUCUUGAUCUAUCUCAAUAGAUCUUGAUGCUCAAUAUGUAUGUAGUUUUACUGAGGUCUUUCUUUGAAAAAACUCUUAUUCAAGUAUCCUUUAAUGCUUUGCAGAAUAAUUCUACAUUAUUUCCGAUCAGCAAUAUGUCAUUCACAUAUACUUAUCAGAAAUGCUGUAGUGCUCCCACUCACUUUCUUGUAAAUACAGGCUUCACCGCAAGUCUGUAUAAUACUAUAUGCUUUGAUCAACUUAUCAAAGCGUAUAUUCCAACUCUGAGAUGCUUGCACCAGUCCAUAGAUGGAUUGCUGGAGCUUGCACAUUUUGUUAGCACCUUUAGGAUUGACAAAACCUUCUGGUUGUAUCAUAUACAACUCUUCUUUAAUAAAUUCAUUAAGGAAUGUAGUUUUGACAUCCAUUUGCCAAAUUUCAUAAAAUGUGGCAAUUGCUAACAUGAUUCGGACAAACUUUUAAGCAUCGAUACGAGUAAGAAAAUCUCAUCGUAUUCAACACCUUGAACUUUGUCAAAAACCUUUUUUCGACAAGUCUAGCUUUGUAGAUAGUAACACUACUAUCAACGUCCGUCUUCCUCUUGAAGAUCCAUUUAUUCUUAAUGACUCACUGAUCAUCGGGCAAGUCAAUCAAAGUCUACACUUUGUUCUCAUACAUGGAUCAUAUCUCAGAUUUCAUGGCCCCAAGCCAUUUCGUGGAAUCUGGGCUCAUCAUCGCUUCCUCAUAGUUCGUAGGUUCAUCAUGGUCUAGUAACAUGACUUCCAGAACAUGAUUACCGUACCACUCUGGUGCGGAUCUUACUCUGGAAGACCUACGAGGUUUGGUAGCAACUUGAUCUGAAGUUUGAUGAUCAUCAUCAUUAACUUCCUCACUAAUUGGUGUAGGAAUCACUGGAACUGAUUUCUGUGAUGAACUACUUUCCAAUAAGGGAGAAGGUACAAUUACCUCAUCAAGUUUUACUCUCCUCCCACUCACUUCUUUCGAGAGAAACUCCUUCUCUGGAAAGGAUCCAUUUUAGCAACGAAUGUCUUGCCUUCGGAUCUGUGAUAGAAGGUGUACCCAACAAUUUCCUUUGGGUAUUCUAUGAAGACGCACUUCUCCGAUUUGGGUUCGAGCUUAUCAGGAUGAAACUUUUUCACAUAAGCAUCGCAGCCCCAAACUUUAAGAAACAACAGCUUAGGUUUACUGCUAAACCAUAGUUCAUACGGUGUCGUCUCAACGGAUUUAAAUGGUGCCCUAUUUUAAAACGUGAAUGCAGCUGUCUCUAAUGCAUAACCCCAAAACGAUAGUGGUAAAGAGACAUCAUAGAUCGCACCAUAUCAAAUAAAGUGCGGUUACGACGUUCGGACACACCAUAACGAUGUGGUGUUCCAGGUGGUGUGAGCUGUGAAACUAUUCCACAUUGUUUUAAUUGAAGACCAAACUCGUAACUCAAAUAUUUGUCUCCGCUAUCAGAUCGCAGAAACUUUAUUUUCUUGUUACGAUGAUUUUUCCACUUCACUCUGAAAUUCUUUGAACCUUUCAACUAUUUCAGACUUAUGUUUCAUCAAGUAGAUAUACCCAUAUCUGCUCAAAUCAUCUUGUGAAGGUCAGAAAAUAACGAUACUUGCCACGAGCCUCAACACUCAUUGGAUCGCAUACAUCGGUAUGUAUUAUUUCCAAUAAGUCAGUAGCUUGUUCCAUUAUUCCGGAGAACGGAGUUUUAGUCAUCUUGCCCAAAAGGCACGGUCCGCAAGCAUCAAAUGAUUCAUAACCAAGUGAUUCCGAAAAUCCAUCUUUAUGGAGUUUCUUCAUGCGCUUUACACCGAUAUGACCCAAACGGCAGUGCCACAAAUAAGUUGCACUAUCAUUAUUAACUUUGCAUCUUUUGGCUUCAAUAUUAUGAAUGUGUGUAUCACACGAUCGAGAUCCAACAAACCAUUUUCAUUGGGUGUAUAACCAUAGAAAGUUUUAUUCAUGAAAACAGAACAACAAUUAUUCUCUAACUUACAUGAAUAACCGUAUUGCAAUAAACAUGAUCAAAUCAUAUUCAUUCUCAACGCAAACACCAAAUAACACUUAUUUAGGUUUAACACUAAUCCCGGAAGUAUAGGGAGUGUGCGAUGAUGAUCAUAUCAAUCUUGGAACUAUUUCCAACACACAUCGUCACUACACUCUUAACUAGUCUCUGUUUAUUCUGCAACUCCCGUUUCGAGUUACUAAUCUUAGCAACCGAACAAGUAUCAAAUACUUAGGGGCUACUAUAAACACUAGUAUGGAACACAUCAAUAAUCUGUAUAUCAAAUAUACCCUUGUUCACUUUGCCAUCCUUCUUAUCAACCAAAUAUUCAGGGCAUUUCCGCUUCCAGUGACCAUUUCCUUUGCAGUGUAAACACUCAGUUUCAGGCUAUGGUCCAGCUUUGGGCUUGUCUUUCCACUUGAAGUUCCCUUUCUUUCCCUUUGCCCUUCUCUUGAAACUAGUGGUCUUGUCAAUCAUCAACACUUGAUGCUCUUUCUUGAUUUCUACCUUCGUCGAUUUCAACAUCACGAAGAGCUCGGGAAUCAUUUUUUCGUCAUCCCUUGCAUACUAUAGUUCAUCACGAAGUUCUAGUAACUUAGUGAUGGUGACUAGAGAAUUCUGUCAAUCACUAUCUUAUCUGGAAGAUUAACUCCCACUUGAUUCAAGCGAUUGAAGUACCCAGACAAUCUGAGCACAUGCUCACUAGUUGAGCGAUUCUCCUCCAUCUUUUAGCUAUAGAACUUGUUGGAGACUUCAUAUCUCUCAACUCGGGUAUUUGCUUGAAAUAUUAACUUCAAUUCCUGGAACAUCUCAUAUGGUCCAUGAUGUUCAAAACAUCUUUGAAGUCCCGAUUCUAAGCCGUUAAGCAUGGUGCACAAAACUAUCAAGUAGUCAUCAUAUUGAGCUAGCCAAACGUUCAUAACGUCUACAUUUGCUCCUGCAUUAGGUCUUUCACCUAGCGGUGCAUUAAGGACAUAAUUCUUCUGUGCAGCAAUGAGGAUAAACCUCAGAUCACGGAUCCAAUCCGCAUCAUUGCUACUAACAUCUUUCAACACAGUUUUCUCUAGGAACAUAUCAAAAUAAACAUAUGAAAGCAACAACGCGAGCUAUUGAUCUAUAACACAAUUUGCAAAAUACUACCAGGACUAAGUUCAUGAUAAAUUAAAGUUCAAUUAAUCAUAUUACUAAAGAACUCCCACUUAGACAGACAUCUCUCUAGUCAUCUAAGUGAUCACGUGAUCCAAAUCAACUAAACCAUGUCCGAUCAUCACGUGAGAUGGAGUAGUUUCAAUGGUGAACAUCGCUAUGUUGAUCAUAUCUACUAUAUGAUUCACGCUCGACCUUUCGGUCUCCGUGUUCCGAGGCCAUAUCUGUAUAUGCUAGGCUCGUCAAGUAUAACCUGAGUAUUCCGCAUGUGCAACUGUUUUGCACCCGUUGUAUUUGAACGUAGAGCCUAUCACACCCGAUCAUCACGUGGUGUCUCAGCACGAAGAACUUUCGCAACGGUGCAUACUCAGGGAGAACACUUCUUGAUAAUUAGUGAUAGAUCAUCUUAAAAUGCUACCGUCAAUCAAAGCAAGAUAAGAUGCAUAAAGGAUAAACAUCACAUGCAAUCAAUAUAAGUGAUAUGAUAUGGCCAUCAUCAUCUUGUGCUUGUGAUCUCCAUCUCCGAAGCACCGUCGUGAUCACCAUCGUCACCGGCGCGACACCUUGAUCUCCAUCGUAGCAUCGUUGUCGAUUACGCCAUCUAUUGCUUCUACGACUAUCGCUACCGCUUAGUGAUAAAGUAAAGCAAUUACAGGGCGUUUCCAUUUCAUACAAUAAAGUGACAACCAUAUGGCUCCUGCCAGUUGCCGAUAACUUCGGUUACAAAACAUGAUCAUCUCAUACAAUAAAAUAUAGCAUCACGUCUUGGCCAUAUCACAUCACAACAUGCCCUGCAAAAACAAGUUAGACGUCCUCUACUUUGUUGUUGCAAAUUUUACGUGGCUGCUACGGGCUUAGCAAGAACCGUUCUUACCUACGCAUCAAAACCACAACGAUAGUUUGUCAAAUAGACUCCGUUUUAACCUUCACAAGGACCGGGCGUAGCCACACUCGGUUCAACUAAAGUUGGAGAAACAGACACCCGCCAGUCACCUGUGUGCAAAGCAUGGCGGUAAAACCAGUCUCGCGUAAGCGUACGCGUAAUGUCGGUCCGGGCCGCUUCAUCCAACAAUACCGCUGAACCAAAGUAUAACAUGCUGGUAGGCAGUAUGACUUAUAUCGUCCACAACUCACUUGUGGUCUACUCGUGCAUAUAACAUCAACGAAUAAAACCUAGGCUCUGAUGCCACUGUUGGGGAACGUAGUAAUUUCAAAAUUUUCCUACGCACAUGCAAGAUCAUGGUGAUGAUAUAGCAACGAGGGGAGAGUGUUGUCUACGUACCCUCGUAGACCGAAGCGGAAGCGUUGACGCAACGUAGAGGAAGUAGUCGUACGUCCUCCCGGUUCGACCGAUCCAAGCACCGUUACUCCGGCACCUCCGAGUUCUUGACACACGUACAGCUCGAUGACGCACCCUCGAUCUCCAAUCCAGUAGAGGCUCCGAGGGGGAGUUCCGUCAGCACAACAGCGUGGUGACUAUAUUGAUGUUCUCCUGUCGCAGGGCUUCGCCUAAGCACCGCUACAAUAUGACCGAGGUGUAAUAUCGUGGAGGGGGGCACCGCACACGGCUAAGGAACGAUCAAUGAUCAACUUGUGUGUUCUAGGGUGCCCCCCUACCCCCGUAUAUAAAGGAGGGAGGGAGGAGGUGGCCGGCCCAAGGAGGGGGCGCGCCAUGGGAGGAGGAAACCUACUCCAAGUAGGUUUCCCCUCUUUUUCCUUAUCUUAUUUGGAGGGGGAAGGAAGGAGUACUAGUAGUAGGAAGGAGUACUAGUAGUAGGAAAGGAAGAGGGGGAAGGAGAAAGGAAAGGGGGGGCCGGCCCCCUCCCCAAUUCGGAUUGGGCUUGGGGGGGCGCGCCCCCCUCCCUUGCUCCUUCUCCCUUCCUCCUACAUGGGCCCAAUAAGGCCCAUAUACCUCCCGGGGGGUUCCGGUAACCUCCCGAAGCUCCAAACUCUUCCGGAACCUUUCCGGUGUCCAAAUAUAUCCGUCCAAUAUAUCAAUCUUUAUGUCUCGACCAUUUCGAGACUCCUCGUCAUGUCCGUGAUCACAUCCGGGACUCCGAACAAACUUUGGUACAUCAAAAUACAUAAACUCAUAAUAUAACUAUCAUCGAAAACUUAAGCGUGCGGACCCUACGGUUCGAGAACGAUGUAGACAUGACCGAGACAUGUCUCUGGUCAAUAACCAAUAGUGGGACCUGGAUGCCCAUAUUGGUUCCUACAUAUUCUACGAAGAUCUUUAUCGGUCAAACCGCAUAACAGCAUACGUUGUUCCCUUUGUCAUCGGUAUGUUACUUGUCCGAGAUUUGAUCGUCGGUAUCCAAUACCUAGUUCAAUCUCGUUACCGACAAGUCUCUUUACUCAUUCUGUAAUACUUCAUCUCAUAACUAACUCAUUAGUUAUAUGCUUGCAAGGCUUAUGUGAUGAGCAUUACCGAGAGGGCCCAGAGAUACCCCUCCGACAAUCGGAGUGACAAAACCUAAUCUCGAAUUAUGCUAACUCAACAUGUACCUUCGGAGACACCUGUAGUACUCCUUGAUAAUCACCCAGUUACGUUGUGACGUUUGGUAGUACCCAAAGUGUUCCUCCGGUAAACGGGAGUUACACAAUUCUCAUAGUUACAGGAACAUGUAUAAGUCAUGAAGGAAGCAAUAGCAGAAUACUAAACGAUCAAGUGCUAAGCUAACGGGAUGGGUCAUGUCAAUCACAUCAUUCUCCUAAUGAUGUGAUCCCAUUAAUCAAAUGACAACACAUGUCUAUGGUUAGGAAACAUAAUCAUCUUUGACUAAUGAGCUAGUCAAGUAGAGGCAUACUAGUGACUAUAUGUUUGUCUAUGUAUUCACACAUGUAUCAUGUUUCCGGUUAAUACAAUUCUAGCAUGAAUAAUAAACAUUUAUCAUGAUAUGAGGAAAUAAAUAAUAACUUUAUUAUUGCCUCUAGGGCAUAUUUCCUUCACCUGGCCGCUCCAGAACGAGCGGUACUACCGCCCACUCCAAGCGGUACUACCGCUGAGGCCACCCAAGAGGCACUACCGCCCAGCAUCCGCCCUACUACCGCUCAACCCGACAAACUCCAGUGAUCGAGCGGUAUAAGCCCGGUACUACCGCCCCUCCAAGCGGUACUACCGCUCAAGCGGUACUACCACCCAUGAGUCCGGUACUACCGCCCUGCUUGUGAGCAGCCGCGGGCCUUUGGCCUUGUAUCCCUCUCCCACUUACCCCUUCGUGGCUUAGACUAUAAAUAGACCACCUCCACCUCCUUUCUAGGGUUAGAACAGAUUGAGCUUAUUUUGAGAUAGAGCUUUACUCAUCCAUACGGAUCUACUCCUCGUGAGAGACUGCGGCCUCUUCGGAGAAGAUCGAUCUUGGAUUCAAGACCCCUCGUGGGAAGAUCCGUCUAGGAUCAUCAAGACCUCCUCUUGGAGAUGAACCUUACCUUGUAUCUUUCCCUUUGUUGUUCAUGUACCCUUGUGGAUCUUGUGUGUUUGAUUGUCUAGUGGAUGUGUGAUUGGACUUGUUCUUGAGUGUUUCCCCUUGUGAUUUCUCUCCGUUCUUCCCUGUGUUCUUCGUGUUCUUCGUGGGGAUCCACUCCAAACGUGAAAAAUCGGCCUCUAGGGUUCUACCCUACAUCAUCAUCCUUCAAAAAUAUGGAGGGCCAUUAUUGACGGAAGGGAUAUUAUAUGGCGCAAGGUAUAAUCAGACGCAUCGGGGAUGGAGCGACUACACACAUAUGGGAUCACAACUGGAUUAUGAUGGAAAGCUAUAAGAGGCCAAUAACUAAGUUAGUGCAGAACCCCCCUCAGAAACAUUUUAUGUAUACACGUUAACAUUUCCCAGAUAUAUGAUUAAUAUUUUUGGAAAACUUCUAUUUUUUAUGUGUACUUUUUUAUACAUUUUGUAAUAUCAGAAAUAGUUUUUAUAGAAGGUUUAACAUUUUUCAAAUACAUGAUUACCUUUUUGUAAACUUAUAUUGUUUGACGUUUACUUUUUUUCAUAGACAUAGUGAGGGGUUAUAUCUAAGGAAUAGGCCCAAGUACAUGUAUGGCACAACCAAAUGCCCAUGUUAAUCAAGGAUGUUCCACAAGACAAAUGGGGAAACACACCAAGGCCAAUGGAGCUACAAGGCCAAGGCAUCGGAUACAAGGGGAGAGUCAACUAUGUACAGUCGGAUUACACAGCCCUUAACAGACAAGACUCAUCAGUUGGUCCACUAUUGGAAUCAGGUCAUUUGCCGUCAGCCCAGAAUAGACGCGAAGACUUUGCCGUGAGCAAGUUGACGACAAACACAAUCAGCAAAGACUAUAUCGGCAGAGAGCUAAUUUGACGUCAACUUUUCAUCGCGCUGAUGACAAAGACUUUGCCGUCAAUUAAACUAUGUGUUUGUAGUCUGUAGAGAAAACACAAACGGCAAAGAAAUUAAAAAAAUGGUCAUUUUAAAAUAAUUUUUAGAAAUCUAUAUACUGUUUUUUAAAAUGUUUAAUAUGUACCAAGAAUUAUUUCGUAAGUAUACAAAAGAUGUAUAACGUGUAUGAAAAUUACGUAGACAUCAGAACAUAUUAUAGAAAUGUUAAUCUUGUAUUUAAAAAUUUUAAAUACACAUGCAUAAAAAUGUUUUUGAUGUACAUAAAAAAAUUGUACAUAGUGUGUGAACAAAGUAUGCAUUGAAAAAACAAAAAUCUUGUUGGAAAAAAAUCUCGUGUUGUAUACGAAAAUGUAAAAGGUGUAUGAAAAUAAUUAGAUAUAUGUUUAAUGAAAAAAGGAAAGAAGGCGCAAAAAAUCCGAUUAACACCAAGAUAGGAACAAGAAAACCUGAAGAAGACCAUUGAAAAAAAGAAAUGAAUACAAGAAAGAGGAAGAAAAACAAAAAAAAUGAAGAAGCUGAUGCAGAACAGGGAACUUAGUGAAAACGAAUAAAAAUUGAUGAAAACCGAGAAGAAAAACAAGAAAACUGAAGCAAAAAUUAAGAAAAAUAUGUAAAAAAAAUGAUGAAACAUUGCGAAACAGUGAAAUACUAUGAAAACCAAAGGAAAAAAAGACUCAAAAAUAAGAACGUACAGCAAGCGAAUGAACAACAACUGAGUGAACGAGCGAACAUGCGAGAAUACGUUAAUUGUCUGGCCCAUACUUGUGGAUUCCAGAGGCGAGCCAGAAUAGGCGAGAUAUAGCUAUGACGAUUUGAUACCCUUCAUAGCUUCACGAAUGCUAUAUCUCGCUCACAGCGAAAGUAUUUUUUGUCUGGCCUGAAGGUGAAAGAAUAGCAUCAGGUCGCUGUAAGUUUUGUGAUCCUACAAUCAGAGCUCGAUAAGAUUAAAAUUCAUGUUUCUGACAACCAGUCAUUCGCUCACUCAAUUCCACGUACUAGUUUGGUUAGGUUUUUUUUUCAUUUUUUUCUGUUUUUUAUUUCUUCACUGGCUUUCUUUGGUUUUUUUAUCGGUUUUCUUUGUUUCCUUCACGUUUUACUCUUUCUUUUCCUUUUUACUGGUUUAUCUAUUCCUUUUUUCUUUGUUUCUUUCUUGGUUUUCUUUGUUUUUUCUUUCUUUUGAUGUCAACCUUUUUACAUACACAUUCAACAAUUUUCGUAUACAUCAGAAACAUUUUAUGUAUACACGUUAACAAUUCCCAGGUACAUGAUUAAUAUUUUUGGAAAACUUCUAUUUUUUAUGUGUACUUUUUGAUACAUUUUGUAUAUAUCAGAAAUAUUUUUUAUAGAAGGUUUAACAUUUUUUAAAUACAUGAUUACCUUUUUGUAAACUUAUAUUGUUUGACGUUUACUUUUUUUCAUAGACAUAGUGAGGGGUUAUAUCUAAGGAAUAGGCCCAAGUACAUAUAUGGCCCAAGUACAUUUAAUCAAGGAUGUAGUCCACAAGACAAAUGGGGAAACAGACGGGGGCCAAUGGAGCUACAAGGCCAAAGCAUCGGAUACAAGGGGAGAAUCUACAGUCGGAUUACACAACCCUUGACAGACAAGACUCAUUAGUUGGUCCGCUAUAGGAAUCGGGUAAUUUGCCGUCAGCCGAGAACAUACUCAAAGACUUUGCCGUCAGCAAGUUGAUGACAACUUUUCAUCACGUUGAUGACAAAGACUUUGCCGUCAAUUAAACUAUGUGUUUAUCGUCUAUAGAAAAAACACAAACGGCAAAGGAAAGCACCUUUGCCAUCAGCGGCUAAUCUGCAUGUGUCUUCAACAAGACUCGUCUUGUCACUAGCCUCAAACAUCACAGAUGGAAAAGAAAUUUUUUAUUUUAAAAAAUCUGCGUCGACCACCCUACUUCGCACAUGUAGCCACCGCCUGGCCGCGCUCGCUGAUCACCCACAAGUGUAGGGGAUCUAUCGUAGUCCUUUCGAUAAGUAAGAGUGUCGAACCGAACGAGGAGUAGAAGGAAAUGACAAGCGGUUUUUAGUAAGGUAUUCUCUGCAAGCACUGAAAUUAUCGGUAACAGAUAGUUUUGUGAUAAGGUAAUUCGUAACGGGUAACAAGUAACAACAGUAAAUAAAGUGCAGCAAGGUGGCACAAUCCUUUUUGUAGCAAACGACAAGCCUGGACAAAUUCUUAUAUGAAGGAAAACGCUCCCGAGGACACAUGGGAAUUAUCGUCAAGCUAGUUUUCAUCACGCUCAUAUGAUUCACGUUCAUUACUUUGAUAAUUUAAUAUGUGGAUGGACCGGUGCUUGGAUACUGCUCUUUCUUGGAUAAGCAUCCCACUUAUGAUUAACCCCUAUUGCAAGCAUCCGCAACUCAAAAGAAAUAUUAAGGUAAACCUAAUCAUAGCAUGAAACAUUGACACGGCACAUUAUAAAGAGUUCAACCCAAAUUUUGUAGUAACACUAUUAUAUUUAAAUAGUGAUUAUUCCAACACAUGGAUAAUUAAUUAAGGCACCAGGUUGCGCUUGUGACCAGGAAAGACAAACUUAUGAACUUGCAAGCAUGACAAUCAGAUCGACAUCCACACAAUGUCAAUAUGAACAUUGUCUUGAUACAACUUUAUUUGUAUUUUAUUUCAGAAUUUAAACAACUAGUUUGGGCGGGUCACACACGACGUUGUGUGACACUUUAUUUGUCACCGCUGCAUCGACAUAUCCAUCGACUAAACAACGGUGAUCCAACUAUAUAUUACUAGAGACCUUUCCUUAUCAGUAGGCACCAACUCCAGUGCCAACGCCAAAUGGCACACUAGUGGUGGUCCUAUACAACGGCACAUUGACACGGCACAUCAUUGGCAGGGUACGGAGCGCAAUGGAAGUCAUCACCUCAAGCUGAGCUAUCUGGUGUGGCUGCAAAAAGGUACCCUGUGCCAAUUGUUGUUGUUGAGGUUGUUGCCCGAGUUGCUGCUGUGACUGCUGUUGGGGUUGGGAAACGCAUUGGCCCAACUGUUGCGGUUGCUGCUGCUGAGUUUGGAUGGAACCCCGAACCUGUUGUUGUUCUUGCAGGACGAUGGA